UGAACAUGAUUGGAUAUACGAAAGUACAUGAUCAAUUACACUGAGUAUCAACUAAAUUAGUGAUGUCUUCUUUGUAAACAUGUUUAACAGAUAUGUCCAUUUCCAAUAUCAAUCAUACUGAAUAUUUAACAUGAACCGCAAGCAUAUAUAAUAAUGGCAUAUAAGGACCACUAAAUUUAGAAAAAAAAUUGAGAAUAGGACCACGAAAUUUCAAUCAAGCCACAUAUAUAAAAGAGAGUUUUUAUAACUCGGAGGCUCAGUAUUUCUGAAAAGACAUCUUCACAUACAUAUGGAGAUUAAUAUCACGAUGUAUGAUUGAUGCCUCAAGACCCUGAAUGAUAGCAUCACCUUAUACAUUCAAUAUAUAAAAAAGAUACAUAUCAAGGAGGCUUGUUCCAGUGGCACCGAGAUUCGAGCCUUUUCAGUUUUCGUUUUGUGCCUGAAUUUCCUACUAAUGAAUAUGCUAACUAGUUCCUCCUUGACAUUCUCAUUCUUUAUACAACCCGCUUGCACCAUUCUCAUUCCCAACUGCGAACCAUACAGUUCUUCAGUUAAGCAUCCAACAACCUUCAGCUUAAUCUUCAUGGUUGUUUUCGCCUUCAGAAUCUGUUUAAUAGCAGGGGUAGCUUAUAACAAAUCCAUAAGAGUAUGCUGCCGAGAAAGAAAAUAAAUCUAACACCAAGGAAAUGAGCAAGAAAAGAAUCACUGACCGGAUCGAACAUCCUCACCAACAUGACCUCUGGACUGAAUUUGUUUGACAAGCAUCCGGUAAAUCAGUACCCACCAAUAUAUGUGAAAGACUAGAAGUGAAAACAAGAGAGUGUUGAAAAGAUAGUAGUAUGAGGUUCUGUAGAUUUUUUUGUUCUCCUUGUCCAAGAUCAUAGCUAUUUCAUAACUGAAAAAGACACAAGACCAUUGAAUUGAUCAACAAAUGCUCUAAAAAAACUAAGUAGAGUAAUGCUGCUUCCUAAUCAGGUAAAGUAGCACCACAUGCCAGAACAACCAAGAAUGUUACCUUGUGCUUCUUAGAAUCCAGAAAGGAAACACUAUUAGCCGAAGAAAGAUCCACGGAGCCACAAAAAGUAGAAAUGCUACAACAGCUAGCCACUCACAGCUACUGUACUUCGCCAUCUUUCCGAUCUCUAGGAAUAUAUCACUUGCAUCAUGGAGGGGUAAAAUGACCGAGCCAGGACGAGAUAAUCUGUUUGGAAGUAGCAACAACUUCAAGUUUGACUAUGCUGUAUAUUGUUAUGGUAUACAAGGGCGAUUACACUCAUCUGCAUACCUGCAAAUAUAGGACACAACAAUCAGAACAACAAUUGCCACACGGUGAGACAUCAUGACUCCGAAGUCCUUGCGUCUUGUUUCCCAGAACAGAAGAUCAAAGAUAGAAUAUACGUAAAAUCCAGCGGCAUACAUGUAUACAGACUUAAGCUUCAGCCUGGAGAGAAAAACAAACAAUGUUGAAAGCAGCAGCACCGACAAAGCUUCCAAGAGGAUAUAGAGGAAGGCGAGAUUCGUCGUGAUCGUCGUUGCUAGCAAGGUGCUAUAAGAAAGUGAUGCUGUUGUUGAUGACUUAUUGCCUAACAGAAAGCUUGUAGCUCUCUUCUGCAAAAUGUAUGUGUGCUGAACAUGAUUGGAUAUAUGAAAGUAGAUGAUCGAUUAUGAAGACUAUUAUGUUAUGCUCCAAAUUCAAGUAUAAAGAGGGCGGCUAACUUCUGACGAGCGAGCGGAGCGAGGCCCGAUCAAUAUUGACCUAGGUUACCUGUGUUAUAUAUACCUCUUGUAAGCCGCCACACCGGAUAAGUUGAUCAGUUGUAAAUCCCCGGCGUUUGUAACCUCCCCGAUAUAGUGAAGUUCGGCUGGCUGGCGUCUGUGGUUUUUUCCCCUUCGUGUUGGAGGGGUUUGUAACCUCAUUUUCGAAAAUACAUGAAAUAUUUUACUUAAAACUCAUGAGGAUUUGAAAAAUUCACGAAUAUCUUUUAUUAAAUAAGUCAUUUUAUUAAAAUCGUUAACCAACCUCUUACAAUCUAAUCACACCCCCUCCCUCCUCCCUCCUCCCGCGACGCCCUCGCGGGCGCACCGGAGGCUAACCCUAGCUGCCGUCGGGGCUCCCGUCUUCCAUUCAUCCCCUCCCUCGCCGCCGCCAGGGGCGCGACUUGGCGAAGUCCUGCCGGCGGCGGGGUGCUCUUCCUCCCCUCGCGCGGGUGGCGAGACGGGGGGCAACUCAUCAGGGCCUGGGUGUCGCGCUAGGUGCCGGGCGCGACGCAGCGAUGGUGCGUUGGGCAGCGCGGGUGGUAGCGGACGCGCCUUGGUCGCCAGGGUCGGCGACGUCGAGGCCAGAUCUGGGGCCUGUCGACGCGGCUUCAGGUCUUUGCCCCUGCCAUGGCCACAGCAGGUGGUGGUGCGACGCAGCAGUGGCUGGUUGGUCGGCGGGCUGGCCGGGAUCCAGGGGCUUCGACGGCUGGACAACGGCAGGCAGCGCAGAUCGGCUCCUCGAUGAGCCUCUUCACAAUUGGCGGCGGUCCUUGGGAUCUCUCCUUUCCGGUGGGCGAGUGUGUGUUGGUGGCCUCGCGUGGAGUUGCAUUCAUCGCCGAGGUGGGGCGACACAAGAGGUGUCCGGUGGGAAGGCAGGCUGGAGGGAUGGGAGGCGCCGACGAACUCAGGCCACCUGUCACGGGCACAUGGAUGUGCCGACCUGGAUGCGCCCGCUCCCCCUCCUCCCCCGUUCCUUGGUUGUGUGUGGGCUACGGGGCUCCUGCUUUGUUCGAGGCGGGACGUAUGUUGCGGUCUCUUCGGUCGGGUGCGCCCUUUGGCCCAAAGCCGAUCACUUUGGUCGGUCUUGGGGGUGUCUCGAUGCAGAGUGGCAGCCCUGGGGGCGGGAGGCACAGAGUUUGUGGGCAGAACUUGCACCUGGGGUGCGAGCGAGUGGCCAUGGCCACGUGGGUGGGUGGUCGCUGGUGGUUGGCGGAGCUAGGAUGCGUCGGAGGGGUGGUCGUGCCGGGACUUGCCCAAUCUUGUAUUGGCCAUUCGUGGACACUGUAUACCUUCAUGAAGGCUCUGUCGCCGUGUCCUUACUCUUUCGAGUUGCACCGGGUGAAAACUCGAUCUUUGGGAUCAAAUGAUGGCGGCUAUAAGUGGUCGUUCCCUUCUAGGAGGCACCAUCUUGGAGUCCUUGUUCCGUUGUUUCCCGUCUCAACUCUCCUCGGACGAGGUCUCUAUUGGCUUCAAGCGGUUCGUCCUCGCGCAUUUGUAGUGGCACGGUAGUCGUUGGGGGUGGUGCGGCGGUGCUCGGCACCUUUAUAUCUUGCCUUGGGUGUGUGUGUCGUGUGCGGUGGUGGCGUGAGUUUGUAUCGUGGUGCUUGUGGAUCGGUGUUUUAUAUAUAUAGCAGGACGAAAGCAUUUUUCAGUAAAAAAUUGUUAAACAUUUUUAAUUGAAAAACACAUAAAAUAUAAAAAUGUUGGCUACAAACAGUUGCUCAUUUUAGAGACUUGGCUGCAUUUUAUGGAUCAACAAUGUUGAGAGGAGCGAACCAACCUGUGAUUGGAUGGUUAGAGGGACAGUGGUAUCCCCAAUCCACCAAGGUUCUCAAGAUAACAUGCCGGCUGAGUCUCUCAGAGGAGCUUAUCUCUACUCCUAAUGGAGCAGUUGGUAGUCUCCGCGGUCAAUUUUCGUCCCACCAGAGACGGGUUUUUCUCGUCCGUUUUUUUUUCGCUGGUUUUUUUGUCACCUCCCCACCCCACCUCACCCCACCCCACGCACGCACCCUAUGAAAACCACCCCGCAGGCCGUUCCUCUCGAUCCCCUCCCGUCGCCGCCGCCUUUCCUCUCGAUCCCCUCCCGUCGCCGCCGCUGUCCUCUUGAUCCCCUCGAGUAAGCGGCGCCGCCGUUGGCUCCCGAUCUCCUCCAUGGCGGAUUCCCACGGACGCCGCGGCAGGGCAUGGUCGCGAUAAUCGCAUGGAGGGUCGCGUCGAGGAAAGCGACGACCUCGCAGGCAUCGGGUCAAGCGGCUGGCCCUUCUUACGCGAUUGCGCCGUUUUUUUCUUCCGCGGCAGAGGUUGGUGCCGCCACGGCCGCAUCAUGGAUUGCGUCUGUUUUUUUUUUGCGCUGGAUCCUGAUUUGGCGGGAUUUUUUUCCCAGGCAUUGAGCGCGCGCUGGACGGCGGGAACUGUCGCGUCAAGGAGGACGCUAUGGACGGUGGAUCCAGGGCGCUGCACGUCGCUGUCGGCCACGGGAGGAUGUCAUACCCUUUGGGCGCAACAAACUCUUGGCCAUAGCCUCUUCGGCUUUUCACAACAAGUUAAUACUCUCUACACUAGCAUUAGUACUAUUCAGUAAUCACCGCUUUAGCUUCUGAAUAAAUUUUUAUAUGAGAUCUAGCCGGUAAUCGUGCAGGCUUUUGUCUAAAGUUUUUUCUUUUGCAAUUUGAAAUAUAUAGUAAGUGUGAAUAUCACAUAAAUGGUUGGCAUCUAAUUUUCCAUCAUGUUACUUACGCAUAAGACUUGUAUCUCCUUUCUACUGACUAAUGGUGAAUAGACUCCUUUUGUGAAUUAAGAUCAUUCAGAGAUGAUAAUGAUUGUAGCUUGCAUUGCAUGUACGGUGGUGUACCUCUUGAGUUGGAGAAUAUCUUAGAAUUUAUUGACUUGCAGCUAUGGCAAUGACCAACACAGUUUUUGCGUUUUCUUUUUUGUUCCCACGUUUCUUGUUGGUGCUGGUGUAGGUUUUCUUCUUCAAUAAAAUACAUAGAAGCAAAUCAGACUGGUUGCAAAUAUCAUGCUACUUCACCAGAAAUUAUGUUUUCCAACUGAAAUCAUUUUUGUUUACUAGGCGCUAGCUAUCCCUGACAACAAGGUAAGAGACAUGUUGUUUCCAACUCACCCUUAAUUACAGUUGAGAUACUUGCACAAAAGACGUCUGCAAAUGUUUUAUUUUCUUAACAUUGUUUUAUCAUAUCCUUUCAUAAUUUCAUCAGGAAAGAGAUGCAUAUGAGAGGAAGAGAGCCUCCCCCAAGCUCUGUCUAGGCGAUGCACGGGAAAUUUGGAAACUAUCAAGGAGAUGUCGAAUGAUGAAUAUACUCAGACACUGAGACACAUUCUAAAACGUGUUUACGCAGGUUAGUCCUGAUCAUCCUUAUUUUUAAACCUGAAACAUUCUUUAUUAUUGUAGGGUUCUCUAUAAUCCCAUGUUUGUGAAGUCAAUUGCUUAGUUUGAUUGAGAGUACUUAAGUUAAUGCGCAUGUAUACUUUUCUAGAUCAUAUAUUAAUUGGUUGGACUCUUCAUGUACACUAAAUGUGAAACUCAUUAUGAUUCGGAAGUCCUGGUAGCUUGUGACAUAAUUGAUGUAUUUUAUAAGUCAUGGAAUUUGUUGUUAGCAACAUGUACCUGCAGAUUUGGGGUAAUUUCCAUUUCAACAUUGUUUUUGUUCUUGGACAUUCUGGAUCAUACUAAGAUACUUCGGAGAGAUGUUCCAGAUUUAUUCUUUUGAAUUUCACUAAUUUCUUUCCAUGGCUUCAGAUUCACCAGUGCGUUCGUUACUGCCAUUUUGAGUCACUAUUGGUGCCUAUGAUUUGGAUCAUUAACAGUUCAAUUUGUUUAGGUGAUGGGGCUGCCGCCAACCUGGGCCCGCUCAAGAAUGGUGACUCUACAGGAGGGGGAUGGAGUCGCGGAAGCUUCCGUGCUAUUGGGAGCGACAGUUCCACAAUGAGCCGGUCUUUCGUCACCUCUGAGUUGGAGGAUGUCCAAGGCCGGAAGUGUUCGUCACCACUAAGCCGUGGUAAGGAAUUUUUUGCCCAAAAAUAUAUUGGUUCUUAGCUUCCUAAAACUCAGGAAUAUUUUAUCUUUCUCAUAUAUUUUAGUUCAUUUUAUGUAGGCUGAGAUAAUACUGGCGCGAUGUCCAGAUUUGGAUCUCUCAUGUCUGAACAUUUGAAACGCCGAGUACUCCAUGAAAGCUUGCCUAGCCGCUUUUGUGCAAUAUUAUAUCUUUGGACGUUUGCACUUCCGCGGCUCUAGACAUGAGCUUCCUUAUAUGGUAAAAAAAUGAUGGUCGAGAGCUCCAUUCAGCUUGUGGAAAUAAAUAAUCUCCCAUAUUUAUUAAAUUUGCUUGCUUUGGCAUGUUACUUUAUCUAUAUUUGAAAUAGGAUAUUCUUUGAUAUGUAAUUUUAGGAAAUAGUUGGUUUUCAAUCUUUUUGCUUGAGAUUCAGAAGAUCCAAAACUGCCUAAUACAAUGGCUACUCUAAUCAAUAAAAUGAGUUACAUAUAUAUUCAGAAACUAUGUUGAUCAGGCUACUUAUAUGCAUUGGAAAACCAUUAGAUUCCUUGUUGCAUUAACAUUGACAUCCACAGUUACUUCUCUGUACAUAUUUAAAAUGUAGAUAAAAUGUAUAUCCUCUAGCUCUCAUGUGUUUUAGUCUCUCUUUUCUCUUUAUGUUGUAUCACCAAUGAUGAGAGAGAGACCGGGCCAUGGAGAGGGAGAGAGAGAGGUCUAAAUGAUUGUAGCCAUACCAGUUUCAUGUUUCCAUGUAUGACAUUAUACUAGAUAGAAAACAGUAACUUUGUGUGGGUUGAUUAUACUAAAUACUUCUAACAUAAUAAUCUACAUGUAUCAAUUGUUUAUGCCCAUUACUUGCGUACACACUAUACCAUAGUAUUUUAGUAGUGCACCCUAUAAAAAAGCAUCAAUGCACAUUAUAUCUCACUUCUUGCUUUACAUGUGAUUUUCUACCUUCAAAAGGUAACAUGAGCACCUUGAUUUCCUAUCUGUUUAGACACAUAUUUCUUUCAGGGGUUAUUUUUCAAACAUCCACAACUCCUGCCUCUUACUUAAUACACUACAUUCCUAAAGCUUCCCAAAGAUAGUACAUGUUUAAAACAGUUUAUGUCUUUUAGUUUUACAAGCUCCCUAAAACUAAACCGAUGUGGAAUAGGUGUGCCUGCCUGCUUUAAAAUGUGAGCUACUUAUAUAGAUAUUUUUUUCCUCAUCAUUCUUAAGUAUUUCCCCUAAAACUGGGUUAUGCAUAGAUGAUGACUGCUACAACUCAAAGUAAAUAUUCUGAACCUAACUAAAGGAUUCUGGUGAUGGUGGCACACGCACUAGCAAGUAUCUAAUGCAUAUACAUGACUUCAUAUUAUUUAUCUUAUUCACAUUCACAUACUAAUAUAUUCAUGAUUUUCUUUUGCAUUGUAGAGUGCUAGCGUGCUACAUUGCAGAGAAAGCUUUGAGAAAAUGCUUUGUUGGGAUGAUAGACAAGAAUAAUCAAUCCUCAUUCCAAGGUUAGAUUUGUACUUCCUUCCCAGUUCUUCUUUACAAAGGACCAAUCCUCUUACUUUAUCCAUUCAUGUUGUCUUAAUUUUGUUCCUUCAUAGAAAAACAUUUUCUCAUUUCAAUCUUUCUCCAUUUGGUAUGAGUGUGGCACAUGCUCUUAAUUUUUUGACUAUUCUUGGUUGAUUAAUGGUUGGUGUAUUGCCUUCCACUUUGGAUUAUUCUCAAUCCUCUUGCUUAGGCUAUGUGUACCAUUCUGUCACAUGCCGCCAUCAAUCUGAGCAAAAAUUAGUGUAGAUGAACCGAGCUAUUUUAUUGUAAGCUGUGUAUAGACCUUCAUGGGAAAAUAAUCAUGUAGUUAAUGUUUUAUGCCAUAUCUAUCCAGAUAGGUGAAUCCUCGCAAGUUGGUCCCGGUAUCUAAAUAGGAUUGUGCCAACCUAGAGCCUUUUCAGAUUGUAGCAACUCUGUUUGGGGUUUCCUUCUACCUAAUCAAGGCUCAUUCCCGUUUGCUUUGUCCUUAUCUCCUUUUCUGUCAUAAAUUCUUCACCUAUUCAAGAAGCUCAUUUUUUGUUAGUUGGAACAACUAAAAAAAUCAGUGUGCUUUAUCAGGAGUUGUGUAAGUACUAAUUAUGCCAACCUGGGGCAACACUCUAAUGGUUUCUCCACAAAGGAUGCCUCCUGGAGCUCUACUUCUCUCCCACCCCCAACACCGGUAAUAGUAUGAAAAUCCUAUUACUAAAUAGCUUAUUGUUUGAUGCUUAUGUUUGUUGGUGUAGUAAUCAUUUUUGAAGGUCCAGUCCUGGAGGAUGUUACUCGAGGCUUCCGUAUAGUCGAGUGAUUUUGCUUUUGCAUGCUAAUAAUACAAUAUAGAUGGAUAUAAUUGGCAGUUAUUAGUGCAUAUUAUUUUGUCUCAAUACCAUAAAUUCAAUGUAAAGGUUUGCAUUAUUAUUGUCGAAUCUAAAUUACAUUAAAGACUUGAACAGGGAAUGAUGCCUCUUUUAACUGAUUGGUGUGCUUUUUUAACUCUCUUUAAUGAGAAAAUCAUAGUGUAGUUGCAUCUUAUAUUUUGAUUGGGCAUGUAGGUGUGUGCUUCCUCACGAACCCAACUUGGACUUAUCUUCCUUGUUCAAGUCACAAUAAGGGAGUGAGACAGUCUCCCCCCUGCCCCUCCCCUGCCAUGGCGGACUCCGGUGCUGACCCUGUCGACCGCCGCGCGACCCUCUCCGGCGAGCGCGUGUCCUCUGGUGACCGCUGGCUCAGCUCAGAGAGCGAGUCCCCGGCGCGCUCGUACAGCGAAGUCGCCCGCACUCCGUCGCCCCCGGCCCCGCAGAGGCAGGCUCCUCCGCGCGCCCACCGCUCCUCGGCGGCGCGCCCCAGGCUGCCGGCCAGAAACCGCCUUGGCCCCCGCUCGGAGGUACACCGCGUCUCUGGCGGAGAUGUGGUGGACGAGGACGGAUACCAGCUCCCUCGGUGUCGGAACCGCCGCCGUCGCCCGCGGCAGGCGGCCACCCCCAGCCCUCCGGCGCCCCGCCGCCGGAGCCCCUCGCCUGAGGAAGUCGCCGGGCUCUGCUUUCGUUGCCUGGACCAUCGCCACCGGGUGCGCGACUGCACCAACGACAUCCGGUGCCGCACAUGCCUGCAGUCUGGGCAUGACUCCCGCUCCUGCGACCCAUCGCGCCGGGACGUGGUGCCGCAUCGUCAACAGCACGGCAACCCGGCUGGCCGGGCACGCGUGCAGCCGUCGUCCGCGCUCAUCCCCCUGUCGCCCCCCGCAACAACUGCCACGGCGACACCUACGGUCGACGCGCACCCGCCAGAGCCUGUGCGGAUCAUCAUGGCACGCACCGUCGAGAUGGAGGACGCGGAGACGGUUCUGUCCCGCGCGAUGGUCGCGUCCAUCACCGGCAAUCGACCGUCCGUCUCCGCCGAUGAGGUGGCUGCGCUGCUCUGGGACUCAUUCGACCUCGUCGACGGUGACUUCACCGUCCACCGUCACCACCCGGAGGACUUUCUGAUCCUGUUCAGCUCGCUGGCCAUCAAGGAGCGGCUCGCCGGCGACCACUUCAUCCGCUCGCCACGCUUCUCCCUUUCGAUGCGGCCUUGGUGUAAGCUCGCGCACGCCGGCUGCAGCGAGUUCGAAUUUCACGUCGAACUCGAGCUGCGCGGUGUCCCCACUCAAGCAUGGCACCUCUCCACCGCCGAGCAUAUCCUCGGGCAAAGCUGCUGGAUCGAACGCCUCCACCCCCACACCCGUUCCCGCGCCGACCUCGCCACCUUCCGGCUAUCUGGGCGCACACAUGACCCUGACAAGAUCCAUCGCGCUGCCAUUCUUGAGGUGGUCAAGCAGGUGCCGGCGGCCUUGGACUCCGACACGCCCACCAUCAGGAUCCUGACUUACCCCAUCUCCAUCGCGCUAGCCUGCUCUAUCAUGAUCAGACCGCCGACGACUACAAGGCCCUCGGGCGAAGGGCCAGACCAUGAGCGCGGCACCGACGGGAACCGCGACCACGCCCCUGACCGCGGCCCAGGUCGCGCGCGCCGCCGCGGACGCAAGCGCAGACGCACGGACGCGCCCGCCACCGGUCGGGCCGACGGCAUGGCCAUGGACGACCUGGGCUGGCGCGUCGCUAGGCUGGCAAGGUCAGAUGGCCUAUCCUCGUCGCCGACGUGGCCUUCCGGCGCCGGCUCCGGCGCGGCGCCGUCCGCGAAUCCACUGCGUACGGGCAUGAUGCCCUGGCCUGGACAACGAGGGGGCCACCGCCCGCGUCACCACGCCAGAAGAGGAAAAGGCAGAGGAAAGCAAAAGGAGCAGUCUGCAGAGGGCCCGUCUGGCUGCACUGACGCGGUCGCCACAGACGCCCAGCUGGGCCUGGUCGGGCCGCGUGUCGACCCACAACAGGCCGCGAGUUCAAAUCUGGUGGCUGGCAACGAUCCCAAUGACGAUUUUGUGGGGCAUAGACCGGCCCCCCCCUGACGCACCGGCUUGUCGGGAUCUGGCCCAUGGUUGUUGCGCGCCUGUCGCCUCGCAGGAGAGAUCUGCAGCGCUAGAGACCCGGUCGGGACAAAGUGGAGAUACCGCCUUACCCGAGCCAGAGGAGGGGCUGGAUUCCGCUGACCAGUCCGCCGCCACCAAUCCCUCUCGCGAUGCCUCGGGCGGGGAAACGCCCCCUCUCGGCGCCAACCCUCCCGCCCUUGCUGCUGGGCCGUCUCCACCUGCUGCCGCGCGGCCGGCCCGCAGCCCAGCUGGCCCGAUUGCGAUUCUGCAGCGGCCCACGCCUACACCUCCCCUCCUGCUGCCCACCGAAGACCAGCUACCCCGAAACGCUGGGGCCGCGACAAACCAAGGCCCAAGUGGCCGCACGUCGAGCCGCUUCGCAUCGCCUCCAAUUACACUGCGGCGAUCCCGAAGCCGCACUACGCCACAGCCAUGGACCCUUGGAGAGUUUCUGGCCACCGCCACGAAACACCUCAACGCCGCCCUGCCGGCCCCUGGAAAGAAGCCACGCCGACCACUCAACUUCGCCCCUCGCCGUGGACGAUCUGCAACUACGACUUGCCAACCGAGCGCCCCUCCCACGGCGGAGCGGCGCGCCCACGUGCAAAUCCUACGCACCCUUGGGAUCAUAAGGAUCGAUCAGAAGAUCACUGCCGCUGAGAUGAAAGCCUAUGACGGCAUGUUCGCGGCACCGCUACCCCUGACGGUACUCAAGGCCAUUGCCACACUGGUUGACCGGGAGAUCCCAGUCUGCAUGGCAUCGGCUGUGACCGGCAGCGUCGACGUUGCAUGUGAAGGCUAGACCAGUAUACGGGCGCCCGCCCGUCGAUCCCGUUCCCAUGGAUCACGGCCUUAAGAUCGCUAUCUGGAAUGUGCGCGGCAUGAACGCACGGGCUCGGCGACAUGCUAUCCGGUCGCUGCUGGACACCACCGGGGCCUCCAUUGUUUGCAUUCAAGAAACGAAAAUGGAGUUGAUCUACUCGGCUAUUGUCCUUGAUGCGCUUGGUUCCGAGUUCGAUGACUACACGUACCUCCCAGCCGAUGGCACGUGGGGCGGCAUCUUGCUGGCGUGGAAGAGCAGGGCCGUGACCAUCACGGACCCAAUGUUCACCACUAAUGCGAUCACUACUAAGGUGACCACGGUCACUGGCCCUCCUUGGUGGCUAACGGUGGUAUACGGACCCCAGGAAGAUGCAGACAAGGUUGCAUUCCUGCAGGAGCUUCGCGACAUCCGAGCCGCCUGCCCAGGCCCGUGGAUGGUUUGCGGCGACUUCAAUCUUAUCCUCCGCGACGAUGACAAAAACACGGGCACCGUCAACCGGCGCAUGAUGGGCAAAUUCCGCCGUCUCACAAAUGACCUCGCGCUCAAGGAGAUCUACCUCAACGGGCGGCGCUACACACGGUCCAACGAGCAAACACCGCUGACGCUUGUGCAGCUCGACCGUGUUCUUUGCACCGCUGAUUGGGAGGACACGCACAGCGGAUGCCACCUUCGAUGUAUUGCGGCUGUGGUGUCGGACCACGCCCCGUUGCUGCUGGAUUGCUCGCCCACGCCCACCUCACAUCGGAGGUUCCAUUUUGAGGAAUACUGGCUACGCUUGGACGGAUUCCAUGACGUGGUGACCGCAGCCUGGGGCUCUACACAUCACGUCGAUCCCUUCCACCGGCUCAUGCUCCGGCUACAGGCAACGGCGGCUAGCCUCACUAGCUGGAGUUCCAGGUCUACGGGCAACAUCAAGGCCAAGCUGGCGAUAUCACGGGAGCUCAUCUCGCGCUUCGACCAAGCCCAGGAAUCGCGCAACCUCUCGCCACCAGAGGCCUGGCUCCGCAAGCAGCUCAAGAUAUCCUACCUUGGGCUCGCUUCCAUGGAGCGCACGAUCGCCCGGCAACGCUCUCGCAUCGCCAACCUCAAGGACGGCGACGCCAGCACCAGUUUCUUCCACCGGCAAUGCUCAUUCCGUCGGCAGAAGAACCACAUCUACAGCCUGGCCGUGGAAGACAGGGUGCUCACGGACCACUCUGACAUGGCCGAGGCAGCCUUCGCCCAUUUCGAGGCCUUGCUGGGCACGGCGACCGCCCGGGAGCACUCGCUGGACCUGUCCCAGCUCAUUGAGCCGACCGACCUCGCCGACCUUGAUGCACCGUUCAGCACCGAGGAGAUUUGGGAGGCUGUCAAGCGCCUCCCCGCCCGUAAGGCGCCAGGCCCAGAUGGGUUCACAGCAGAAUUCCUACACGCAUGCUGGACUACCAUCAGGCAGGAUUUCCUUGACGUGUUCCAGCAACUUUAUGACAUGCGAGGAAGGGGGUUCUACAAGCUGAACCAAGCAUUGCUGACGCUGCUGCCAAAGAAAGCCGACACCCAUGGGCUGCGCGACUACCGGCCGAUCUGCCUAAUUCACCUUGUGGCCAAAAUCUUCGCCAAGGUGCUCUCGAUCCGCCUCGGUGCCAAGCUGGACAACCUAGUUAGCCGCAACCAAAAUGCUUCCAUCUCGGGAAGGAGCUUGCACGACAACUACGUCCUCGUCAAGCAGUCACUCAAGCUGCUGCACCAAUUGGGAGCUCCGAGAGUCAUGCUCAAGCUCGACCUCACGCGCGCCUUUGAUUCCCUGUCAUGGCCAUUCCUCUUUGAGGUUCUAUGCCAGUAUGGAUUCGGGAACAGAUUCUUGGAGUGGACGGCCAUCCUCCUGUCUUCUGCGAGCACACGCAUCCUCCUGAACGGCGAGCCCGGCCCACCCAUAUGGCACCGGCAAGGGCUCCGGCAGGGCGACUCCAUGUCCCCGCAGCUCUUCGUGCUCGCGGUCGACACCCUGGGAUGGCUCCUACGACGCGCUCACUGCCUGGGCAUCCUGCAGCCACUACACCCACGGCGCCACAUCCCGGCGAUCUCCCUCUACGCCGACGACGUCAUGGUCUUCUGCCACGCCACGGCGGAUGAUACCACUGCGAUCAGGGAGAUCCUCGCCUUGUUCGGCAGGGCCUCCGGCCUGAAGGUGAACUUCACCAAGAGCUUCGCCACCAUCCUGCACGGCGACCAAGCAGCCACGGAGAUGAUCGCGCACCUCGGCUGCCCGGUGGCGACUCUCCCCAUCACCUACCUCGGCAUCCUCAUGUCCACGCGCCGCCCAUCUGUCGCCCAGCUACAACCCAUGGUUGAUGCGGUUGCAGCGCGCCUACCGACCUGGAAGGCCUGGCUGAUGACUAAAACCGAGCGCCUCGCGCUAGUUAAGUCGGUCUUGAGUGCCAUCCCAGUGCACCAACUGCUUGCGUUCGCGCCCCCCAAAAAAACUCUCAAGCAGAUCGAGAAGAUUCAGCGUGGUUUUCUUUGGGCUGGACGCGCCGCUGCCAAUGGCGGACACUGCCACGUGAACUGGAACAGAGUUUGCCGCCCCAUCGAGCUUGGGGGCCUGGGAGUGCGAGACCUCGAGCGCGCCAGUCUCGCCCUGCGACUACGCUGGUUAUGGUUCUCCAGAACGGACCUGGGGCGAGCAUGGCAGGGGUUGGACCUUCAAUUCUCGCCCACGGAACGUGCCCUGUUCUGGGCAUCCACGCUCACGCUCAUUGGGAAUGGGCAGACCGCCCUGCUCUGGGAGGACCGAUGGAUAGGUGGCCAAUCUGUGCGCGAGCUCAUGCCUAACCUCUACGGCUGCAUCCCCAAGCAACGACGGAAGACGAGAACCAUGUCGGACGGACUCAAUGGCAACUCUUGGGCACACGACAUCCAAGGCAACCUCGGCCUCCACGAGAUUGGUCAGUAUCUGCAGCUCUGGCAGAUCAUGCAGCGCACUGAGCUCUCCACCACACCGGACAGGUUGAUCUGGAGAUGGACGGCGAGUGGCACCUACUCCGCGCAGUCCUGCUACACGGCCACCUUCCAUGGAUCAAUGAGCUGUCAUUCCUGGAAGCUAAUCUGGAAGUGUUGGGCGCCGCCGCGGGUCAAGUUUUUCCACUGGUUAGCCAACCAGGACCGCUGCUGGACGGCAGAGAGGCUGGCGCGCCACGGUCUCCAGUAUCAUCCCCGCUGCCUCCUAUGUGACCAGCAACCGGAGACGAUGCGACAUCUGCUGCUAGAAUGCCCCCUAGCCCGACAGGCAUGGCACGAGACCCUGGCCUGGCUACGCAUACCGGCCCCGAUCCCAACACAGGAACUGUCGCUUACGGAUUGGUGGAACCAUGCCAAGGAAGACACGCCGCCGAUCCUUCGCAAGGCCCUGAAAUCUGUCACGCUGCUCGUGCCUUGGAUGGUCUGGAAACACAGGAACAGCUGCGUCUUCGACAACACGGCUCCAUCCCUUAACACGCUCCUAGAUAGCAUUCAGGACGAGGCCCGCUCAUGGGCGGCAGCUGGGGCACCUGGUCUCCGACUUGUGCUGCCCCAAACCUGGGAUGUGCAUUAAUCGACCUGCUGUAAUCCACACAUCCUCAGAUGUCUGUAACUGAACCUCCCCCUUUUCAAUGAAAAGAAACGCAAGGCUUUUGCGUUUUCUCGAAAAAAAGGUGUGUGCUUCCUCGCUUUUCCCUUUCUUAUAAGUUGUCCUCAUUUUGUUGCUUCUAUUUAGGUUUGGAUUUUCUUCAACCCGCAAGGCCCAUCCAGUUGUGAGCUACAAUGAAUUUGUAAAGAGUUGGAGGAGACAACAUUGCACAUCAGAGGUACGCUGAAUGUAGCGAGGCAACCAUGAAUUGGGUAUGUUCACACGAGGGAUGGGAGAGGAGAGGAACAUUAACAUUUUUCAUGUUUUGGAUGAAAAUUUCAAUUCAUAGUUUCUCUGUAUGUGCCAACACACUAGCGGUACUGAUGGGCUUAGGAUGAAAGUAGCGCCAACAGAAUCAGUAGGUUGGAUGGGAAGGCGGUUGUUGCCCUUGUCCCUUGGUUUGUCCCUUCGUGCUAGCCUACCGUGGCGGCCUCACUAACUUGCUCACUACGAAUACGAGUUCGUGGGGUCGCGAGUUGCUGCAGAUUUGUUUUUAUCACUUUUUACAAUAUUUUUUUAUGUAUCCCUAACUUAAUGAGUCAUUUUUAUCUUUGAUUUUCCAUAUACGCCAGCUUAUAUUGAUUGCAACAUCGUGUUAGUCAUCCAUGAUCUUCAAAAGGAUUUUCUACUAACAACAGAAUAAUUAGUACCACCAGUAACCCUUCUAUUUAGCCACCUUCAGGAUAAUUGUAAAUGGAAUUUGGUUAUUCAUGUAUACCACCAGUAGGACUCGAUAUUUAUGGAUUGUCAAUAGCCUCAUCUGAUUGCUUGAUGUACUUAUAUCGUGUUCUUUUCAGUCUCCAUUUCAUCUGAGCAGGGUGGUGAGGGACAGAACUGGUCAUGUUGGAAGUCAGUUUAGUGCAUCAAGGAUGGGAGGUUCAGAGAUUUGCAAGAGGUGAUGGAGGAUGGUUAGUUAUUAUGGCUCAUCAUAUAGUAGUGAAAGACGAGUACAAGCACAAGCUUAUUCAAAAAUUGCAGUUCUUGACUACAUGGGACAUAUAUUUUAUAAUCUUUUUCAUUUCUUCUAAGAGGAUCAAAUAUGUAUUUUGUUCUUCCCAAUGUUCUGAAGGACGAUGUUGGCAUUGAUAUAGUAUAACAUACAUUUACAAUUAUGAGUGCUCUCGAUACUUGGUUCAAGACUUCUCGAGGAAAGAUUAGUUCGUGAACUUUGCAUCUUUAGCUCUUCAAUUAAAACCAUUAAUGAUUAACAAGAUCAACAUUUAUCAAGAAGAGUCUGGAAAUGCCGAGUGGAGGAGAAGCAAUGCAGGGGGUUGGUGGGUUCAACUAUGGGUUGCAGGGGUCAUCAAAUUAGGCACGCUAUACGUCCGUGGGUGUGUCCCGGACAAUGACAGGUCACCCCUCGAACCGUCACGUCCAUAGCCUCGAUCUUCAUAUAUGAUACCCCAAAUCCAUACUAUGCAUGCAACAUGAAACAAACUACUUUGACCAUCAAGGAAACAAACAGACAUAUAAAUCUACAUAAUCGGGACAUAGAUAUCCACAUAAUCUGACAUAGAUCAAAAGAGCACCACAAUUAGCCGAUGAACAUAGUUCUAAACAAAUGUUACUAAAAAUUGUAACAAAGUCGAAGAGAAGGACGCACUUCUUCGCCACUUCCUCGUUGCUACGGAUGUAGCUGUCAAUGUAGGCGUCCAUGGUAGGAGAGGGGGGCCUCGCAGCCGUCGAUGAUAUUGGGGGAGUCAAUCUAGCCAACCAUCCUUCGAACGACGCGGUUUUGCUGCCUCACGAGCUUCGCCGCUUUUGCAUCCGCUGCCGCCCUCUUCUCCGCCUCGCGCACCGACUUCUCGAGCUCGAGGCGGAGGGCCUUGGUGUUCUUCUGAUGGAUCCGACGGGCGUCUAUCUCUGUCGUCAUCAGGGAGCUGUUUGUAGAUAUCUGUGAGGAGCUACUUCUCAUCGGUCAUCACUGACAAUCGGCAACGACAUCGAGAGGACUAUGCGACCGCAUCCUACGCUGGCAGCCUCUCCCUUGCACGUUGCCUCUCACGGCGGGCUGCUGGUGCCUCUUUUUCGGACAUCCGCGUGCGUGUCGCCGGUGGGGCGAGAAUGAGCACCCACGGAUAACCUUUAGGAGCUAUGAAGAUGAGAGUUAGGAGGUCGGCGGUCCAGUGGCGCAGAGCCGGAUGAGCGCGCGAAGCUCUGCGCGGUGCCCAACGGGCCCGUGCUGGCAUCCACGCUAAAAUGGCGGGUAACAGGUGAUGGAGUUGAGCCCGAGCUGUGUCCAUGUCGCUCUCCUCUCAUGAAUGAAGGCGUUCCCAGUCGUCCUCUUUGGCAGAUCUAUCGCCUCCAAUACUGCCGAUGCUCGACAUUAGGAAGGACAACGGAAUGUACAUGGGCUGGAGGGGAAUCAAUGGAGUGUGGAUCGAAAGUGAAGUGGAACUAGGAUUGUUCCGGGUGGGGAUUUUAGUGGGACGGAGGAGUCGGUGUGGGCCAACGUGGACUGGGCUGAUGUGGUGUACACGUCUGGGUGCGCCCAGGCCUCCCUAUAUUUUUCCCAGAUUUGGGUUGGAUAUGAUGGAUGCGGGACUGCCAGGCAUAUAGGGUUGUUAUGAGGCAUCGGUCAGCGUCUUUUUUUGACCCGUUAGUGACCGAGCCAUGCAACCAGUCUUAUAAGGGCGGUUUGGGGUGCUCGGGAUGUAGAUACUCUCAGAUGGGGUGUAGUGGAGGUGGUUGGAUCAACGGAUGAAGAAAGAAGGAAAACAUUUGAAGGAAGAACAACGGCAAGCGAGUUUGACUAAAACAUAAAUUUCUUUUUAGUUCGCUUAGGCACUUCUUUCGAAUUUCCAUGCAUUGGGACCAUACUAAUACAUUUUAUUUGUAUUAUCAGUAUAUUCAAGAUAACAUUAAUUUAUAAAUGAGAUUUGUCUGGCUCCUUUUUUAUGCUCACAUGGAAUGGUAAAGAAUUAGUAAACCCAAUUUGUACGACGAGUAUUCUCUAUUAUACAUUUCAAGACCUUCGACUUGAAUUAUUCGUGCCAACUGCAUAUAUUGCUUGUGCAUGACAUGUAUGAGUUGAGGAAGACGUUUUUAUUAUACUUGGUCAAAUAUUGUGCCAAUGAAUAAAGUCAACAUUUCUGAUAUUGUGCAAGAAUUUCUUCAGAGCAUCAAAUAGAUCUUAAUUUGUAACCGAUUUUUAAUUGGAUCAUCAUUCUAUAUUGUAUUCUUUGUCAAAUUGCCUUUUUGCUAUCAAUUUACGUUGCAAGGGAAGUGGUUUAAACUCUUAUACAAUUGUGGUUGUACUAUCUUUUCUCUACAUGUGAAAUUGUACAUAAUAAUUGUUUACAUAACUCCCUAAAAUAUUUGAAAAGCCCAUGGCAACGCACGGGCAUUCUACUAGUCGGGAUAGGGUGUGUGUGUGUUCAUAGGGAUGAGUGUAUGCGCGUAUGUAUAAGCGCUUGCGUCUGUACUGAUGUUAAAAAAACAAUGUCCAGAGAAACUGUUACAAGAUCAUGUGGCGCAGCAAGCCGAACAUGACGUCCAAAAUUUAAAUCGAGAGAGUAUUUCGCUAGACUUCAGCUUCAUGAUCUCUAUCUUGACUGUCAUAGAUGAAGUUGCAUUCCUCGAAAUUACACGAGCAUUGAUUGGGUAUUGUUCCAUGAUGCGCCCUGCUUUAUCCGAGAUAUCCUUUACAACUUUGACACAAUCCAAAGCUAUUAGAAUCCGCAUGACUAGUAGAUCAUCGGCAAUGUCUUGGUUCUUGGGCUGCCCGACAUGCUAGGUCUUCUAAAGUCGGUAUAUCAAUUAUGUCACUAAAUGCAACUGAAGAUGAGUCAAUAUAGAGGUUGCUUUGGUCUCAUCAAAUAGCCUCAAUAGCUUCCAUUUAAAUACAUUAUAACUGAGCACUUUUCCUGCUCUCUCAUGCCAUUAAUAUUUUUAACCGUUGGAUGUGCUGUUUUGACGAUUCCUGGCCACUGGAUGUCGUUCUAAUCCCGCUGGGUUACGUACGCUGGUCACCGAGCGCUUAACACUGGUGGGCCGCUGCUCCCGGAACUAAUUCCGAUGUUUCCUAUGACUUGGGCCAAAUGGGCUAGGUUCAUGUCUGGAGGGAGAGGCCGCUACUCCGGAGACAAAAAAUCCAAAGUCGCUCGUUCACCACGACCUUGACCUUGCCUAAUAAAAGAAAAAAAAAACUCAACCUUGACCUUACCACGAAAAAAAAAACCUCGACCUUGACCUCUCCUCUCAAUCCACCUCGACCUAUCCUCUCCGGAAACCCUACACACGCCGCCACGCCGCCAUUCCCUCCGGCUCUUCGGACCUCGCCCCAUGCAGCCGUCCCUGAAGUGAAACAACGCCUCCGCCAUCGCCCAGCCACCGUCGUAGUCCUCCUUUUCCUGUCUUUCCCCAAAAGGCCAAGACGAGUGCAUCAGGGAGGGGUCACCGCCCCGGCGAUGCCUACUCUGGCCAAUAUCACCUCCGCUCACCCAAUCAUGUGUGAAGCACAAGCUUCCGAUGCCUCUGCUACCUUCCCUAUUCCCGCGCGCCUCCUACUACACCCGCCAUCCCAACGACCUCUCGAAUACGCAGGUAUUCCACCUCCACUCACCGAUCUAUCUGCGUCCGGAUUUAACAUAUUACCUGCUCGUAUGUUUGUGUGAUGUUUGCCAUGUCAUUUUGUUGUGCAGGUAGCAAGGUGAAACUCGACCGCGAAGUACAUGGAAUUUUUGUUUCGGAUAUAUGUUCACAAUACUACUCCAUCACUUCUCAUGUUUGGAGAUGCCAGUUUUAUAUAACUGUUCGUUCAUGCAGAGGUAGAAUUGUUUUGAACAUGAAAAUAAGAUCAAAAUCGUAUAUAGUUGAAUGGAUAAAUGACACUAUAAAACUCUUCAAAUUUUCUGCAAUGACGACCCUUUGUUCAGCGAAAUAAGUUAACAUGUAAUACUGCUUUUGGUUUCUUAACAAUGACUUUAAAUAGUUUUAGAUUGGUGAGUAAGUUGUUGUUGAUUUCUGUUAUUUAUUUCUACAGAUUUUUGUAAUAGUCGACACUCAAUUCUUUCUUUGUGCACACAUCAUGUGCCUGAAGUUGUGCAAGCAACUAGAACGAUAACCAACUAUCUAGAUUAAUGGAGCAUUUCACACCACAGUUUUGCAAUGUUUCUGCUUUACAAAGAGCAAUAAACAAAGACGCAGAAGGGUAAACCUGGCAUGGCCACUGACCACUAAUUUCCUGCCCAGGUGAUUUUUAAUAUGUUUGUUAACUCAGUGCUAAAUUUAUGAAUGUAGACUCGAAACUACUUUAUCCUGCUCAUGCAUGCAUUGACCAAUUUCCGGAAGAGGAGAUUAAUAAGAUGACAUUGUGUAAAAAAAAACAUGAUAGCUCUUUGAAUCGAUAUAAGUAACCAACAUUUUUAAGAAUAACAAUUAAGUUGAAGCAAAAUAACUAGGAAUAUUUCAGAUUAUUUUUUUAUCAAAAUGGGAGAGAUAUUUGAAUCAACAAUUGUAGUACAACUCUUAGAUAGAGGAAAAUGAUGAGGUAAAGUUUUGGUUCCUGCUUUGAUAUAUUACUCAAUGCCCGUAUUAUUUAUUUCUCUAUGAAAUUUGACAUAUUAAGGACACUGAUUUUACACCUUCGCUUGUUUGUUCCAAACCGUCAGACUUGGGAACCAUGUUAUUACUUGUUAGUGAUUAUACUGUGGAACUGUAUCCAAUGACUAUUUUUUCUCCGUGUGUAAAUAUGUCUUUGAAACAUCUUUUCUUUUCACAAUGCAGACUUGGAAAAAUAUGUGUUCCUUUUAAUUUACAUAUGUUCUGCUAGAUUCCUUAAUUAUCACUACUCAUCUUAGAAAAUACAAGAAAUAUCUGUAAUUCUACAUUUGGAUUACCUGGAGCUAAAACACGUAUGUGACAUGCAGGUAUUGUGAGAACAUUUCCGUUUUUUGUGCAAAGGAGAUGUGUGGGCUGAAGUAAGUAGUACCAUCUAUUUCCUUCAAUUUGUAGAGUCUGAUGCGUUGCAGGAAUUGUAAAAAAGAAUGGUUGCCAUUUCUUCAUUUUUUACUAUAAUACGGCAACAACAGAAUUACAUAAAGCCUCGCCUCAGGAUUUUGAUAUUUGUUUUUAGGGAGAACAAUUAGCUUUGGUCUGACAACGAAUAGAUAUGUAAAUUCAAUGUGAUUCGCCUUAGAAUGAACAUUCCCUUGCGAUUCUUAAGAUCUUUGGAUGAAUGGGUCUUGAUAGUGGUCUUUAGGUGUUCACAUUAUAUAUGCUUUUGUUCUUCGGCACCUAACAAGUAUGAACAUAGGCAUGCAUCUUCCAACUAUUACUUUGUCAUACGCUUAUUAUGAUGUGUACAAAUUACAUCAUUGUUUAGGACCCAAUAAGUAUGAACAUAGGGCAUGCCUCAAUAGGUUUAUGUCAAGUCUUCAGUUUAGUCUGCACAUCUGUUCAGUUUUUUGUUCAUCAGAUUGAUGAUGUAGAUUUAAGUGCUUGUGAUCGCUAUGCAUCUACUUAAAAAAUUAAAAGUACCAUUAACUCUGCAAGUUGUUGUCAUCAUAUCAUUAUUUUCUGCAGUUUCUUUCAGCCUUUCACGUAAUUAAGUUUGUAAUGUACACUGCGAGUUGAGGCUUUUAUUUUCCUUCCUCAAUCCCUUUUGCACUUUCAUGGCUUAUUAAAUGCUGAUUUUAUAGAGUAAUGAUCAAACUUAUGAGAUGCUAGAAAAAUCUUUAUAGCUGGUAGGGGUCGGAUACUAUUGGAUGUAUUAACAGCAGAAGCUUUGGUUCUAAGAUUCGGCCUAUCCCUUGCACAGAAGGCGGGAUCGAUGCAAUCGUCUUGUCGUUAACUCUGACAAUAUGGAGGUGAUUGACACAAUGAAAAAUGAAGGACAUUCGGCGGCAGCGGCGACAACAGUGUUCGAUGAUUGCUAUUUCUUAGCUGGUGAUUUUCCUCUUUUAGGUUCGAACAUUGUAAUUGGGAAGCUAAUAAGGUGGCUCAUGAACUUGCUAGGCUAGCGAAAUUUUCCAUCACUAGGGAUUGGUUUGAGGAAUGUAUGAGUGUUAUUAUACCUUUCCUAAUCGAGAUGUAACAAUUACUUCUAAUUAAUAAAAUUGAUGUUUAUCAAAAAAAGAUAACCUUACCAAUAUAGAAGAUGUUGCGUAAAAAAGAUCAAUAUUUUGUUUGUGUGUACGAGAAUUGGAUCAGAGUUUCAAUUGGUGUUUCACUUACUGAUAGGAGUUCAGUUCUUUCUUGCCUUUGUAUAUUAACCACAAUUCUUAUUAUUCCAUUGGAAAAAUGGACGGGCGCAGCAACGCGCGCAGUCAUGGUCUAGUCGUUUCUUAAAACUGUACCAUCAACAUUGAACUUUUUUUUUUUAACAUUAAUACAGACGCAAACGCUCAUACAUACACGCAUACACUCAUUACACUCAUUCUUAUAAACGCACACAUACACACCAAAAAAAAACAUUGAACUUCCAAAACCAACCGCUGAGGCAAACACUGGGUUCUGGACAUGUUAACCUGCGAGAGCUAUGUGUGAGAGACAUAUAACUCCGACUCGCAGUAGGCGAGCGCAAGAUGGUCCGGCCCAAUAGCGGUUUCUGGGAGCAGGUUUCAGUGUUUUUUUUCUUUUCCAUUUGGUUUUUUUGUCUUCUUUUUUAUUUUCGGUUUUCUAUGGUAUUUUCAUUUUUCGGUUUUAUUUUGUUUUCGUUGUUCUUUUCUCGGUUUUCUGGUUUCUGUUUUCUCUUUUUGAUUCAUCGUUUUUUUAUUUUUCUUUUUUCUUUUUAUUUUUCCUUUUCCUACACGUAUCUACUUUUUCACGCACAAUAUAGAUUUUCUGUCUACAUUAGGGAUAUUUUUAUUCAUGUUUAGCAUUUUUGAAAUAAGUUAUUAACACUUCUCCAAUAUAUAUGUUUUAAUGACUACUUUUUUCAUACACACUAUAUAUUGUUUGCAUACAUCAGUAACAUUUUUAUACACUUUUAACAUUUUUUAAAUAAAUUAUUAACACUUCCCAAUAUAUAUGUUUAGUUGACUACUUUUUCAUACAUGUUGUACAUUUUCUGCAUACACCAGGAACAUUUUUUGUACACCUUUAAAUUUUCAAAUAAAUAAUUACAUUUGAAUAUAUGUUUUGAUCUCUAUUUUUUUCCCUGUACGCCUUAGAUUUUCGUAUACAUCAGUAGCAUACUUAACAAUACAUGAUUACAUUUUCUCAAUAUAUGUUUUAUAUGUCUUUGCGUUCAGAAAACUGCACAAUCUUGCAGCAAAAGUUGUGUUUAAUAUUUUUCAUAUACAGAGGCGAGCCGAGGCUUUUCGGACGAUCAAAACUUAAGAUUGUCCUUUUCUGACGAGAGGGCCCCUGGUACCUGAUCUUGCAGCAAAAGUUGUGUGCACGUUAGGGACCACAAGACUGAACUCAACUUUGAUAUUGCGGGGCGGGACACUCCUAUUUUUUUUAAAUGUUUAGGAUUUCUAAAAUAGUUCUCUAUUUCACAGGUUUGGAAAAAUAUUCCCAAAUUAAAAAUUCUUGAAUUUCAAAAGUAAUUCAGAAAUUACAGAAAAUGUUCAUAUAUUUUAAAAAUGUUUACAAUCUCAAAAGGUGUUCAUGGAUUUAUGAAAUGGUCAUGAUUUGAACAAAUGUUCAAAUUAAAAUGUUAGCAGAUUUGUAAAAUGUUUGCAAUUUCAAAAAAUUCACAAUUUAAAAAAAACAUGAAUUCAAAAAUGUUCCUGAUUAAAAAAAAUGUUCAUGAAUUUGCAAAAAUGUGUUCACGAUUUUAAAAAAAUGUUCACAAAUUCAGAAAAUAUUCACGAUUUCAACAAUGUUCACGUAUUGAAAAAAUGUUCAGGAAUUUGAAAGAUGGUCGCAAAAUGAAAAAAGAGAAAAGGGAAAGAGAAAACCCAAAAUAAAAAGAACAUGCAAAAAACAAAAAGAAAAACUGGUGUGGGAAGGCUUUAGAUCCUUCCCAUAUUCAGAACAUGGAGUAUGCCGAACAUGAAAAAUAUGGUUGGCCCAAUGUCGGGUGUAAUGAUUGCACGGUGGUUGGAUUACUCACUACCAAGCGACCUGCGCGGGGAACAGGGUUCGGCCCAGUCGGGCGACGCCCCUGUGUGCAGCCCCAACAGUUUGUUGCAACGUGCGGCAAAUAGGGUUUUCCUUGGAGGCAGAUUGGAGUUUUUUCUGGCCAGUUUAUCCGGAGACGAGGCCGAGCACAGCGAACUGUGGGGAGAUGUCGUUGUGGCCAACUUCCGCGACAGGUUUCAUAAACCCAUCGCCUCCCUGUUGCCAAGGCCGACAGUGAAGCUCGCCAGGAAGAAGCACACUCCUCCAACAAAUGUUCGCCGGAGUGCAAGGUAACAAGUCACGUUCAUAAGUGCGCUAUUGUUUCUGCCUUUGAUAGGUUUGGAUCAUAUAUUAUUGAUUUAAAAGUAACAGUUCAUAUAGAUCAUCAAGGUCUAAAGUAUCUCCUUACUAAGAGCAAGUCUAGCAGACCCCGCAAAAUCCUAACCCGCAAAACGCGUUUGUAGUUUGACGAAGAUCUUGUUUGCGGGUCGAGAACGAGCGCGGCCGAUCAGAAACUGUAGAUGAAAUUGCAUAAUUUGAAAAAACAGUUUCAUGGGAGAAAUUGCGCCAUAGUAGUUCAUCACAUACUACAUAUAUUACAUAAUCAAAUAUUACAAACACUAGUUCAUACUACAUACUAUAUAAGUACUAGUACUAGAGGGGGUGUGGAUCUCACGGUGUCGUGCUCGCGGCCAUGGACGACGCCGUGGAGGAGCUCAAUCCUCCUCGCCAGAGCUACCGAGGUCGAUGUACUUCUCCCUCUGCUCCUCGCGAAUGCGCCGCCACUCGUCAUCCUUUUCCUUGGGGGCGAGGUUGGCCGCGACCGCGUGCUGGAACACGAGGUCUUUGAGCUCCUCGUCGUGGCGCCGACGAUCUGCCUCCUCGCGCAAGCUCCGCUCGGCAAUGGCGGCCGCGACCGCAUCGACAUCGGUGACGAAGUCCUCCGGCCCGACGACUCCACGGCUCCCGAGCUCCUCGGGCUCCUACUUGACGGGGAUGAACCUCAAUCUCCUCUGGCUCCUCCGACCACUCCCGCUUUACGGGGAGAAGGCCCGCACCGGAAGAGGAGGAGCUCGUGGCGUACGAAGAUCUUCUCGCGGAGGACGAGCCCGCGGUCGAGGAUGGCGUACGGCCGUGCCGACGGCCGUAUUCAUCCGUCUUGCAGACACGAAAGCUCGGCGGCGGCGAGAGGUGAUACGUCUCCGUCGUAUCUAUAAUUUUUGAUUGUUUCAUGCCAAUAUUAUACAAAUUUGACAUACUUUUAGCAACUUUUUAUAUGAUUUAUUGGACUAACCUAGUGAUCUAGUGCCCAGUGCCAGUUCCUGUUUUUUGCAUGUUUUUUGUAUCGCAGAAAAUCCAUAUCAAACUAAGUCCAAAUGCAAUAAAAUUUCAUGGAGAAUUAUUUUGGAAUAUAUAUGAUUUUUGGGAGUUGGAAUCACCGCAAACAGAGUUCCGUGGUGGGCACAACCCACCAGGAUCCGACCCCUGAGCCAGGCGCGCGGUGGUGGGUUGUGCCCACCUCGUACGUCGGUUAAAGCUCUACGUCGAGUGCAAGGAAGCUUAUAUCCGAAAAAAAAUCGUGUUAAAAUCUCAGCGCAAUCGGAGGUACGGAUCUCCAGGAAUAUAAGAAACGGUUUUCGGCCAGAUCUGGGGAACGCGAAACAGAAGAGAACAGAGAGGGAGAUCCAAUCUUGGAGGGGCUCCCGCCCCUCCACGGCCAUGGAGGCCAUGGACCAGAGGGGGAACUCUCCUCCCAUCUAGGGGGGGGGGUGGCUAAGGAAGAAGAAAAAGGAGGGGGGCUCUCUCCCCCUCUCUCCCGAUGGCGCUGGAGUGCCGCCGGGGCUAGGAUUGUGACGGCGAUCUACACCAACAAUCUUGCUACCGUCAACACCAACUCUCUUAUCCUCUAUGCAGCAGUGUAACACCUCUUCCCCCCGCUGUUGUCAGGACCCCGACUCAAUGCCACACCGAUCUAGCAUGUAACACCUCAUAUCACUUUGCGGCCUCACGCACGGUAUCCCCAAGGGUGUUGCCUUACCAAGACCGGGACCGUUUGCGCCUUUUGGCACACAUAUAUGAUAGUGUCUCUAGCACCCAUAUGACAAGGAGCCCGGGCUGACAUGGCUAGUCGUGAACCCAAAGUGGCACUAACUUACGGGGACAGGCAUACAUGACCCAGCAACGAACGUGUCGAUCAUCAGCGAGUGAAUCCAGGCUGUAGCAGCUGGGCUAGCAGGACUCCGGAGGAUCCAGGCUGUAGCAGGCUAACAGGACUCCGGUAGACACCGCGUGACAUUUCCCCAAAGGGACAGACACAGGAACGAAGAAGGACACAUGCCGGCCAGCCUAAGUGUUCCGGAGUAGUAGCAAGCUACCAAGGCUCAGUGGAAGCACUAGGAGACAUUUCCCGGUAAGAGAGGCUACCAAGGAUAAACAACUAGAUAGCCAGAUCCCACACAUACCAAGCAUUUCAAUAACAUAUACACAAUAUGCUCGAUAUGUGCAAAUACAACAUGGCAUCACAACAUGACUCUACAACUCAAGUAUUUUAUUCAAUAGGCUCCGAGGAGCGAGAUAUUACAAACAUGGAUCUCAUGACCCAACAUUCAGAGCAUACAAGUCAAAGCACAUAAGGAAGCUUAACAUCUCUUAGUACAGACAUCUACAAAUGAAAAAGGCUGAGAAGCCUGACUAACUACCAGAUCCUGCCGAGGGUACAAGACCGUAGCUGAGGUAACAAGCUAAACGUUGAAGUCCAUGCGGAAAUACUAGCAAGACUGAAGUCUCUCUGCAAAACAUAAAUUAAGCAAACAUGAGUACAAAUGUACCCAGCAAGACUUACAUCAGAACUAUCUACAUAUGCAUCAUUAUCAAUAAAGGGGAUGGUGGGGUUUAACUGUAGCAAACCAGCUUUGACUCGAUGGCUAUCCUGAACUACGAAUGUGAGUAACUCUUUUGAGGUGGCGCACACGAGUCCACAUAUUCACCAUAUCAAUACACCACUAUGGAUCCGCUCCCGUCUCCCUACGAGAACGCCAUCCAUAGCACUCACGCUUAUCUUGCAUAUUUUAGAGUAUCCACUUUCACUUGUCUAUGAACUGUAUAGGCAACCCAGAGGUCCUUUACCAUGGACGCGGCUAUUCGAAUAGAUGAUGUUAACCCUGCAGGGGUGUACUUCUUCACACACGCUCUCAUCACUUACCGCCGUUUACACGACAUGUACUCAACAACCUUCAAGCGGAAGCCCAAUUAGGGUGUCAGCCACAGCCUACCUAAACACUCAAGUCUCUAGUCCAGGUUUAUCGCCUAUUCAUGUUCCAUCCACAGGGAGUCCGGCCGAAGUUUCCACAUACGGCCCCGAACGAUGUGUGCAGGGUUCCCGAGACACCAAACGGGCGCCUAAUACACCGUGCCACGUGCCUACCGCAUAACAGCCCACCCCUCGGGUCAGCGCUACGCACGGCCUCCAGCAUACUACAAAUACUAGAAACUACUUGCAACUCCUGGACAGAGGACAAGGGUGAUUAAGAAGCCGAGAGGGUCCAUUGGUUUCGGGCCCAAUGUGUGGUAGUAACUAUUUCAUGGAUCGCAAACACAGAACUCAGUUCGUGAGGACGGCUUCAAUGAGACAACCCACCAUGUACUCCUACAUGGCCUCUCACCGCUACCUUUACCAAACCGUGUUCACACACUUAGCUCACAUACAGUAGGACAUGUUCACAACGUUCCAAUUCAUCCCCGAUGAAUCAGACCUGACACAACUCUAAGCAUAGCAGGCAUGACAAACAAGCAUGAAUGAGUAGGCACAUCAGGGCUCAAACAACUCCUACUCAUGCUAGUGGGUUUCAUCUAUUUACUGUGGCAAUGACAAGUCAUGCAGAGGAAAGGGGUUCAGCUACCGCAACAUGUAACAAUGAAUCGUUGUUGUCCUAAUGCAGUAAAAGAGAGCAGGAGAGAGAGAAUGUGAUUGUAUCGAAAUGAGCAAGGGGGCUUUGCUUGCCUGGCACUUCUGAAGAUAGUAUAAUUCUUCAUCGAUGUGAUUGAUCACAUCAUCGGAACCACGUCUAUCGAGAGGGGGCAAGUUCUGGCAAUAGAGAAGGAAACACAAUCAAUCCAAUGCACAAUAUGAUGCAUGAUCAUGACAUGCAAUAUGAGUGUGUUGGCCUAAUGCAACUACAACCAGAUGGGUUUGAGUUAUUUUGAACCCAAGGUUCAAGUUCAAACUCAAACUAUGAAUUUAUAAAGUGCAUUAUCAUAUUUUGAUAUAAACAGAAGGUUUAAGUUGCUUUAACAUGCAUGAAACCAGUGCAUAUGGAUAGAUUGCAUUUUUCUGAUCAUUUUUCAUAUAUAACUUAUUUCAUUCUGAGUUAUUGUUGAAUUUCUAUGAAUUUUAGAAGUUUUGGGCAUUUUCUGGAAUUUCCUGAAUUAAAUUAAAUCCAGAAAAUCACUUAUUGCGUCAGCACUGCGCCACUGUGACGUCAGCUGGUCAACAGACCUGGUCCAGGUCAAACCAGACCAGUAGGUCCCACUGGUCAGUGUCACGGUGCUAGUUAGGGUCACUGACAUGUGGACCCAGUCAAUGGCCAUGUCAGCAUGGUCAAUGCUGACGCGUGGGGCCACUGUGAUUAGUUAAUACUAAGAAGAAACUAAUCUAAGUUUAAUUAGUCAGUGGGGCCCCGCUGUCAGUGUCACUAGGGGUUGACUAAGUGCGUCAUUAGCCCUAACUAAUCUGCCACAUCACCCUCGCCGGAGUUACGCCGACGGCGACCAAAACGCGGCAGAGGCACACUGAAGUGGCUCGGGUUUCGCCUACAGGCCAUCGUUUGACGCGCGGAAGGGCGCAUUUGAAAGAGGGAAGCGAGGCGCAUCUGUGGGUGGACGUGGUUCGAGCGGGGGUGGACGGAGUCAACGGCGUCGAGCUCUUUUGCAACCGUCGGAGUUCGGGCGCUGAUGAAAACGACGACACGGUGCACGGGAGGAACAACAGUUAGUUCCUACGGGUGCUACAUGCACUCACGAAGACAACGGACAUAUGCACGGGACCAUUUGGUCACCGGAGCCUCGUCGGCGACGAGCUUGUGCGGCGGCGUGCUACGGUCAGCAAGGGGGCGGCUUCUACGGCGAGAAACUAAAGCAGAGGAGAGGGAGGGUUCGACGCAACAGACGAAGCGGGCUCGGGGAUGGCCGGACGGUGACGAAAGGUCGCUGGCGAUCUCGGCGGCCGAACGACAAAGACGAGGUCGAGGACGGUGUUUUGAGGCGUCCGGCGUCGUGCGAGUCGAUGGGGAGGACGAGGGCAUCGAGGUGGAGGCCAUGGACACGUCGGCGAGGCGAGGGAGGGCCUGUGGGCAUGGCUACGGCAAGCGGUAGCGACGGCAGCGCUCGGGUGUGCUCGAGAGAGGGGCCAGAGGUCAAGGGAGAGAGUAGAGAGCGAGGGGAGAGGCAGAGGGGGCUGUGGGGCGUCUCCAGACGCGUUGGGGUGCCUCAGUGGCAAGCAGGAGGUGGCCAGGGGCAGCGCGCGGGCGACACGCAGCAGCCUGCCUGCUCUAGCAAGAGGAGGAAGACGACAGGGAGCCCCUGGUGGGCUGGGCUGGCUUUGCCCAGCUGGGCUGCUACAGUAUUGGGUCAGCCAGGUAAGUUUCCUUUCUCUCUCUCUUUUUAUUUGUUUCAGUUUUAUAUUAUUCUGUAAUUGGUUUUGACUUUAUUAAAAUGCCAGGGCAUAUCCAAAAAUCAUAAAACUGCUCCAUGCCACUGUUCGGAAUAUUUCCAACAGCAAACAUUUCAGUUUGUGAUUAAUUGAGCAUUUAAAAUAUUUUAUAGCAUUUAAAUGCCCAAUUGCAAAUAGAAUAUGAUUUAAGUUAGUGACCCUCUGUUGUCCUAGAAAAGUGUGCACCAUUUUUGUCAGAGGUUCUAGACCAGGGCAAAGAUGAUGAACAUUUUAGAAGGGCAUUUUUGGUUCAUUGAAAAUGAUUUUCAUAAACCCUAAUUGGUUUAAAGGGGUGCUGGGGGUUUAUGUCAUCCCCAUUUCAAGUUUCUGAGAAAUUUAAACAUGACGCAACACCAGAUGCUAGAACUAAGCAGUACCAUAAGCUAGGGAUGUGACAGCUGUAAUCUCUACUUAAACAUGGUGCUCAACUCCAUAUAUUAUUUCCCAAUGAUCUAUGGUUAUCCUAUGAUGUUUGAGCAGAUCCGUUUUGUCCUAUGGGUUAAUCGUGAUCUUGCUUGGUAUGAUUGUAUAUUUUAUUUAUGGUGUUGUUCUACAGUGCCCUCCAUCUCGUGCAAACGUGAGUGGCCCGUGCUGUAGGGUAUUGCAAUAUGUUCAUGGUUUGCUUAUUGUCAGUGUUGCGGGGGAUGACAACAGCCCAAAUGCGGAUAGGUGGGUUAUGGCGUAUGGGAGUAAAGAGGACUUGAUACUUAAUGCUAUGGUUCGGUUUCACGACCUUAAUGAUCUUUAGUAGUUGCGGAUGCUUGCUAGGGGUCCAAUCAUAAGUGCAUAUUAUCCAAGUAGAGAAAGUAUGUUAGCUCAUGCCUCUCCAUCAUAUAAAAUUACAACAAUGAUUACCGGUACUUGUUAUCGAUUGCCUAGGGACAAAUAACUUUCUUGUUGACAAAAACUCUCUACUAAAACUAACUUAGUUGCGUCUUUAUCUAAACAGCCCCUGGAUUUUAUUUACGUGCUCUUUAUUAUAUUGCAAACCUAUCCUAUCACACCUACAAAGUACUUCUAGUUUCAUACUUGUUCUAAGUAAAGCGAACAUCAAGCAUGUGUAGAGUUGUAUUGGUGGUCGAUAGAACUUGAGGGAAUAUUUGUUCUACCUUUAGCUCCUCGUUGGGGUCGACACUCUUAUUUAUCGAAGAAGGCUACAAACGAUCCCCUAUACUUGUGAGUUAUCAAGACCUUUUUCUGGCGCCGUUGCCGGGGAGCAAUAGCGUGGGGUGAAUAUUCUCAUGUGUGUGCUUGUUUGCUUUAUCACUAAGUAGUUUUUAUUUUCUGUUCUAAGUUGUUCUCUAUCUUUAGUUAUGGAUAUGGAACAUGAAACACCAAAAAAAUUAGUGGUACUUGCUACUCAUGGAGAUGGGGAACCUCCUAAAACCCUCGAUGCUCGUUAUGUGAAAAAUAUUAUGCACUACUUUGAUAAUCCUGAGAAAACUCCAUUCAACAUGAUAAUGGGCGUAAUGUUGGAUCAACGUGAAUACUUUAGGGAUUAUCACUUGACUCAAAAGGGAAAACUUUUAUGGGAUCAAAUUGAAAUAUUGCAAUGGUAUGCUUGGAAUCUAUGCUUGAGAUAAGAUUAUACUUGUUGCUCUAAGAUAGGUUCCACACCUUCCCUUUUCAUGUGAAUUUAAUGAUAAUGAAACCUUGGCUUCUUAUGCUAAUGGUAUAUAUGAUUACUAUGAUGUGGGAAGAAUAGAAGAAUUUGUUGCUUUUAAGGGUGCUUAUGAAAUUGAAUCUUUGUUUGAAAAGUAUGAAGCUUUUGAUGAUGAUGUUUAUAGACCUAAAAUUUUGCCAUCCUUAAAUAUUGCUAUGAUAAUUAUAAAUAUAAUUCCGGUAUUGAUGAAUUUUAUUGAGAAAGUCUCCGUUGUCCAAGAGGAGACUAAUAUUUUGCAGGAGUCUAUGGAAGAAGAAAUUGAUGAAACUGUGAGCUCAUUAGAUGAAGAAGAUGAGGAUGAGAGCGAAGAACAAAAGGAGGAAGAGCGGAUUGAUCACCCAUGCCCACCUUCUAAUGAGAGUAACCCUCCAACUCAUACAUUGUUUAAUGUCCCUCCAUUCUUACCGAAGGAUGAAUUCUACCAUAAUUGCUAUGAUCCCGUUGAUUCUUUUGAAAUAUCCCUUUUUGAUGAACUUGAUGCUUGCUAUGCUUGUGGUCAAGAUGCCAAUAUGAAUUAUGCUUAUGGAGAUGAACUUUCUAUAGUUCCUUAUAUUAAGAAUGAAAUUGUUGCUAUUGCAUCCACACAUGAUAGUCCUAUUAUCUUUUUGAAUUCUCCCAACUACACUAUAUCGGAGAAGUUUGCUCUUGUUAAGGAUUAUAUUGAUGGGUUGCCUUUUACCGUUGCACAUGAUGAUUUUGAUGAAUAUAAUAUGCAUGUGCUUGCUGCUCCUACUUGAAAUUAUUAUGAGAGAGGAACUACAUCUCCACCUCUCUAUGUUUCCAACACGAUAAAAUUGCAAGAAACCGCUUAUGCUAUGUAUUGGCUUUUACUUGAUGUGCAUGAAUUUUUCUUGUAUGACAUGCCGAUGCAUAGGAAGAGAGUUAGACUUCGUCAUUUCUUGAUAUAUGUUGCUUUGUUUUCACUACUAAAUGCCAAAUCAUUGUUAAUUAAAAUUGGCUUUGAUAUACCUUGAGAUCUGGGUGGAUUCAUUACUUGAGCACUUUAUACCUAGCUUAAUGGCUUUAAAGAAAGCGCUGCCAGGAAGACAACCUGGAAGUUUAGAGAGUCAUUUAUUUAUGUUGAGUGCUUUUAUAAAUUUUAAAAACAAAAAAAAAUAAAGAGGGGAACUUAAAACUUCACAAAAAGAAAAGUGAAAGUGAGAUAGACGAGCACUGUGGAAGCGGGAGCAUGCAUUGAACUUUGUUCAUGCCCAUGGAAACUUUGUGAUUCUUGAAUUGCAGAAAAUUUUCAAAAAAAUAAUUGUUACCUUAUACAAAUCCAUUGUAUUAUAAAAAUAAUGUGCCAAGGUUUGCCUUUAGGAUGUUUAAAUUGCUUGUUGGUUUGUGCGAUGCAAAACUGAAACUUUGGAUGUAGUGCACGAUUUUACAUUUUUUAUUGGAACGUCAAAUGGUUUUGAAACCUUUUGUAUUGUCUUUCUAUACAAUUUUUUAUUUUUCCUAAUUUUUUCAGAAUUUUUGGAGUACCAUAAGUAUGGUGAAUGUUCAGAUUACUACAGACUGUCCUGUUUAAGACAUAUUCUGUUUUUGAUGCAUUGCUCGUUUUGAUGAAACUAUCGAUUUUUAUCGGUAGUAUAAGCCAUGGAAAAGUUAUAUUACAGUAGAUAUAAUACAAAAAUAAAAUAUGAAUUGGUUUGCAACAGUACACUACUGCAGGAGAUGAUGACCCACAAGUGUAGGGGAUCUAUCGUAGUCCUUUCGAUAAGUAAGAGUGUCAAACCCAACGAGGAGCAGACACUACAAAAAAAGACACAUCCGUGACAUUUUGGGCCGAACGAAAAAAAAUUCUGUCAUACAUAUGACACUUCUAUGAUGAUAAUUGUGACAAAACCCGGUAUCAUCAUAGAUGUGGUGGGCUCCUACUUCUAUGACAAAAAAUCAUGACAGAAAAUGGGCUUUUCGUCCUGGGCUGGCCGGAGACGCAGCUGCACGACAUUCUUUGGGCCGUCCAUGACAGAAAAAACCAUGGUAGAAGCGAGGGCGAGGAAAAUUUUGGGGAGUUCCCGGUUACGGUGGGCGGUCGGGGGCCAAGCGAUGCGCGUUUCUCUCGUACACGUACGCGCGUGUGUGCGAGGCGUUGGCUCUAACUGAACCCGAGCGAGGCGUUGGGCACUAACUGAACAUGAGCGAUUGCACUGCAGGCUAUGCGUUACUGAACCCGAGCAAUCGAUCGAUGGCUGUUAACUGAAUCCGAUCGAGCGAUUCCUUCGCUACUGCUGCUAACUGAAGCCGAUCGAUGCUGCCUCUCUGGAUGAACAGUGAGCGUUGCGAGGNNNNNNNNNNNNNNNNNNNNNNNNNNNNNNNNNNNNNNNNNNNNNNNNNNNNNNNNNNNNNNNNNNNNNNNNNNNNNNNNNNNNNNNNNNNNNNNNNNNNNNNNNNNNNNNNNNNNNNNNNNNNNNNNNNNNNNNNNNNNNNNNNNNNNNNNNNNNNNNNNNNNNNNNNNNNNNNNNNNNNNNNNNNNNNNNNNNNNNNNNNNNNNNNNNNNNNNNNNNNNNNNNNNNNNNNNNNNNNNNNNNNNNNNNNNNNNNNNNNNNNNNNNNNNNNNNNNNNNNNNNNNNNNNNNNNNNNNNNNNNNNNNNNNNNNNNNNNNNNNNNNNNNNNNNNNNNNNNNNNNNNNNNNNNNNNNNNNNNNNNNNNNNNNNNNNNNNNNNNNNNNNNNNNNNNNNNNNNNNNNNNNNNNNNNNNNNNNNNNNNNNNNNNNNNNNNNNNNNNNNNNNNNNNNNNNNNNNNNNNNNNNNNCCCUCCCGAUGAACAGGACCCCCGUUUCGACCAUAGCGCUCCAACACAAGUCCAUUUCGUCCGUUUUGCGGUACACCACACCCCUCCCGAUCAACAGGACCCCCGUUUCGACCGUAGCGCUCCAACACAAGUCCGUUUCGUCCGUUUUGUGGUACGCCACACCCCUCCUGAUCAACAGGACCCCCGUUUCGACCAUAGGAGGUCCGUUUCCUCCAUUUUGCGGUACGCCAGACCCCUCCCGAUGAACAGGAUCCCGUUUCGAACGUGGCCGGUCGAACAUAAGGUCGUUUCCUCUGUUUUGCGGCAUGCCAGGCCUCGUUUCCAUCGCCUGUUCUGUCCAAGCCCUCCCGAUGAACACGACGACACAUUCCGUUCCGACCUAGCCGGUUGGCUCGCACGCGUUCCGUUGCCUCCCGAUGAACAUGACACAUUUUGUUGUCUAUCCUUGAACACGACGCAUUCCGUUGCCUCCCCAUGAACACGAUGAUGACGCUGUUUCUCUGUUCCGACCCAGCCAUGUACACGAGCCCUGGCCAUACGUAUGCACGAGUAGGCGUUCGAGACCCCUCCUGUAUGUACACAUAGGUGGCCGUAUUUUCUUUCUUGCACCUUGGCCGCUGUACGUACGUGUACAUGCUACGUGCGCGCCUCUACUACGUCACGUGCGCGCCUCUACAUCGACCAAUAUGUACGUAAACGUUCACGACCAGAAUGACAAUGCUACGUACGCUUCGACCAGGUGGGUCCCGACUGUCAGGCAAUUCCUAGCGUGCGAAGAUGUAGCUGGUGGGUCCUAGCAGUCAGGGGGGCGAAUCGUUUUUUUGUUUUGCCCGGACGCACUUCCUUGUGUGCGAAGAUGUAGCUGGUGGGUCCCAGCAGUCAGGGGGGCGAAUCAUUUUAUGUUUUUUUGCCCGGACUCCUUGUGUGCGAAGGUGUAGCUGGUGGGUCCCAGCACUCAGGGGGAAACGUUUUUUUUCGCGAAAUAUGGUGGCCCGUCCGGUGGGUCCCCGCUGUUAGGUGGAUGAAUAAUUAUUUUGCGCGUAAUAAGGAGACACUUCCUUGCGGCUAUCAUGGACCCAGCUGUCAGCCUCUCCACGCACAGUACUCUUCCGAUGGAAGUCGGUCGUUGACCACAUUGACCACGCCGCGCCGGGAGCACCACGGCGGUGGAUGAUGGCGAGGCCUAGGAAGGGGAUGACACAGAGCCGGGGAAGACGCAACAAUGGAUGCCCACACAAAGAGGAGUAUGAGGGUUCACUGGUUCGGCUGCGGUGUGAGGCUGCCGUCGCCGCAGAAUAACAGGGGGUGUGGGUGAGUAGAGGGAUGGCCUGGCUAGCGAUGGGAGUAGUAGGGGGCGGUGAGGCCUCCGCGGUAUCACAGCCGGCCACGGGAGGCAGGAGCAUGCGGCACGACUGGCGUUGCUUUAGGCGGCUGGAGAACGAAGACCAGAGGUUGAAGAAGCACUACGACCGUUGGAUGGACAUCGUGCGGUCACUGGAGUAUUGACAAGUUGACAAAGCCCUCCGUCCCCGUCAACUUAGUAGGCCCACAAGUCAGCCUGCCACUAUACUCAGGGGCGGAGCUAGGCUAAUGCAAGGGUAUGCAACACAUACCCAAUCUUUUUUGCAAAAAAAAUCAGUAUAUAAGCUCCUAUAUGCCUUUAUAUCACAUAUGGCAAUCUUUUUGUACGUACAAAGAAGAGAAACGAAGAAGAGAACGAUUCCAGCGCCGCUUGGGCCAAGAUUGGGCUGCUACGUUGCUAGUUAGCGCUACUGGGCCUUAUCGUUGAGGCAGUGAUGCGGCUGGCGGAUUGACAAAGCCGAGGAGACAGCUCGACCUGGAACGUGUCGCCUCGAUCGUUCGAUUGAACCGCCACUGCGCUGCGCUGUGCCUCCUCGGCCGCCUGUGACGCACAUCGUCGCGCCGCAUUCCCGCAUCCGCCAUCGGCAGCGUCGCUGAUCUGCCAUCUUGGAUCUACCAGAUCGAUCUCCUCGCGCAUGUUUGCUGCUUCGCCUCCAAUUGAGAAACGGUGGCUGCGGCGGCAACACCGGUGCACACAUAUCAGGCACCGAUUCCUGUUAUUGUUUUCAUUCGUGGCAGUGAGUGUUCAGUAUUGAUUUCUCCGUUUUGUUAGUUAAGAAGUGAUGAUUAUUUUCACUCCCUAAUUUUGUUUUGAUUGACCUAUUGUAGUAUCCAAUAAAUUUUGAGUGUGAUUUGCAUUGGCUUGCUAGAAAACUUGUGAAGCAGUACAGAGAAAACAAGGUGAAUCUCAUGCAUAUACUCCCUUCGUUCGGAAUUACUUGUCACAAAAAUUGACGUAUCUACAACUAAAAUACAUCUAGUUACAUUUAUUUCUUCGACGAGUAAUUCCGAAGUAAAUAUCUGAAUUAUGAAUAUUUGAAUUUGUGAGACUGCCCACCAUGCCAGUAUGCCGCCAUCACUAUCUAACAUGUUUUUUUGUUAUUAUUAUGAACUUUUCUAUUUCUUACAAUGUCGUGAAGCAAAUUUUUUUACCACGCAUACCCAUAUAGGAAAUCCUGGCUCCGCCACUGACUAUACUGGGUCCCAGCUAGCAGGGGGAGUAUUCAUUUUUUUUGCGUAAUAAGGAGGCACUUCCUUGCGUGCGAAGAUAUAGCUGGUGGGUCCAAGCUGUCAGCUGCGGUAACGUUUUUUUCGCAAAAUACAGAGGCCCUUUCGGUGAGUCCCAGAUGUUAGGUGGAGGAAUCCUUAUUUUGCGCGUAACAAGGAGGCAUAUCCUUGCGUGCGGCCGUGGACCCAGCUGUCAGCCUCUCCACGUACAUUCCACUUCAGAUGCAUGUCGGUCGUUGACCACAUUGACCAGGCCGCGCCGAGAGCACCAGGGCGAUGGACGACGACGAGGCCUAGGAAGGGAACGACACGGAGGCAGGGAAGACUCGGCAGCUGUUUCCCAUGCUAAGGGGAGUACGACUGUACGAGGGUUUACUGGUUCGUCUGACGUCGCCGGAGAAUAACAGCAGGUAUGGGUGAGUAGAGGGAUGGCUAGGCCAGCGAUGGGAGUAUGGUGGGGCGGUGAGGCCUGCGCGGCAGCACAGCUGGCCGCAGGGAGGAGGGAGCAGGCAGUCCCGCCGAUGCUUGUUUGAGCGGCUGGAGCAGGAAGAGUAGAGAUUGAAGAAGCGCGACGGCCGUUGGAUGGAAAUCCAACAGUCACUGCUUGUGCGUCAACCUUUUUUUAGGAAAGCCUCAAAUCUGUGGAAAACAACAUACAGCCCAUCUGCCAUUAUUUCUAAUAAUUUACAGCCCAUUUGCUAAUUCUUAAGGUUUUUUUGGAGCCCAGAUUCUUUUUGUUAGUAUUACAGCCCAUAUUGUGGCCACGGUUAAAAAAUUAUACGAAAUUUUGCAUACGGUGCGGUCCGAACUAUUUUUAAUCCCGAAAUUUCGAGUCACGUUCAAAAUGAUUUUAAAAAUAAAUGUAUAUCAAUAUAAAAUCCAACAAAUUGUCCAUGCAUAAAAAUAAAUGCAAUUUAAAAUCUCGAAAUGAAAAAAAGAUAUUUGAAACUAAUUGCCGGUUUGAUGUGUUUUAAAAAUGUACAGCCCAUUUCUCAUUACUGAUAGGCCAUUUUCUCGGCAAGCCGAAUGAAGCUCUCCUCGUCUUGAAAGAUUUACAACCCAACAGGCCUGACAAAGCGACUUACUUGGCAAAUCACAAAAAACUGGGCUGUGGCCGUGGACCCAGCUGCGGCCAUGGACCCAGCUGUCAGCCUCUCCACGUACAGUACUCUUCCGAUGGAAGUCGGUCAUUGACCACAUUGACCACGCUGCGCUGAGAGCACCAAGGCGGUGGAUGACGGUGAGGCCUAGGAAGGAGACGACGCAGAGCCGAGGAAGAUGUGGCAGUGGAUGCCCAUGCGGAGAGGAGUACGAGGGUUCACUGGUUCGGCUGCGGCGUGAGGCUGCCAUCGCCGUAGAAUAACAGGGGGUAUGGGUGAGUAGAGGGAUGCCCUGGGCCAGCGGUGGGAGUAGUAGGGGGUGGUGAGGCCUCUGCGGCAUCACAGCCGGCCACGAGAGGCAGGAGCACGCUGCAUGACCGGCGCUGCUUUGGGCGGCUGGAGCAAGAAGACCAGAGGUUGAAGAAGCACUAUGGCCAUUGGAUGGACAUUGUACGGUCACUAGAGCUAGAAUCGUUCAUAUUGACUAAGUUGACAAAGCCCUUCGUCCUCAUCAACUUAGUAGGCCCACAAGUCAGCCACCCACUAUGGUGGGUCCCAGCUAGCAGGGGGUUUUCAUUUUUUUGUGCGUAAUAAGGAGACACUUUCUUGCGUGCGAAGAUAUAGUUGGUGGGUCUGACCUGUCAGCGGGGGGAACGUUUUUUUCCGCAAAAUACAGAAGCCCUUCCCACGUACAGUCCACGUAUAGUGCAUAAUAAGGAGGAACUUUCCUUGGGUGCGACCAUGGACCUCGUGGGUCCCAGCCGUCAGGCUCUCCACGUACAGUCCUCUUCCGAUGACUCUCGUAUGUUGACCACGCCACACCGAGCACACCGAGGCGGUGGACGACGGCGAGGCCCCAGACUGGAACAACCUGGAGAUGGGGAAGACGCGGCAGUGGAGUCGCAGACGGAGAGGAGUGGGAAACUUGACUGGUUCGGGUCCGGGGUGGGCCUACACUUGGCAGAGAAUAACAGGAGGUGCAGAGUGGAGGGAUGGCCUGGCCGUUGGCGGGGUAGCGUUUUGCUGAGGAGCGCAAAACAACGCCGCUGGACGCCGAAGGCUGGAGCAGGCGGUUCCGGCAGCGCUGGGGGAAGAAGACGAGAGAUUGAAGAAGAAUGCCGGCCAUUGGAUGUAAAUCCAACGCCUUCUUAGGCUUCGACCUACUGGCCCACAUGUCAGCCAGUCCAUUUGUUUUUUAGUCCAUUUGGUGGGCUGGGUGAAACAAUGAUGUAGCAUCUAUGCAGCCCGUUUAAAUCCCAUUUGCAUUUUUCUCGAAAUCCCCGGACUUGCUAGGCUAGGUGAAAAUAUCAUGUUGAGCUAGACGGAGAAAUGUUAUAAAAACAUAAACACAUGAUUGCACGUCUAUUACUGCAUUGGUCAGUAAAAUCUUUACAAGCUUAUGUAUGCAAUCACUAGGAGUUAACUUGCCAAGUUAUAUAUAAACAAUUAUUAUUAUUAUUUUGUAAGAACUUUGAACUUACGAAAUAAAAUAUCAUUUAAAUUUGACGAGUUAAUAGUACGUGGGGUAUUAUUAUUUUUUAGGCUAGACGUGGGACAGUUGAGUUGGUUCUAGGGAAAAGUACUGGGAGAAAACUCAGUUUACAUCGAAAAAGAAAGUGGGAGAAAAUUCAAAGACCUGCUGGGUCCACCUGAGGAGGGGAAUAUGUUGGGAGGAAGGAGAUUCAAAGCACGGCAGCCGAGUGAACUAGUUUUUUUAACAGACAAGUGAACUAGUUACAUACAUAAGCAAAUAGCCACUAAAAAAAGCAAUUAGGUUAAUGGGUUUCUUAAAAGAAAUAUUUCGGACAAAACAGAUAAUUACAACACAUAGGCUAAUGCAUGAAACACUCAGAUGAUAAAGGUGCUUAUAAAUAGAUAAAGUACAACAUCUAGACCUUCCUGGCACGCUUGAUCAUGAUGCUGUGGCUGUCCGUGUACUCGUUGGUUACGAGAAGCAGACACACCCUCAUGUCCAAGAUCUGCCUGUACAUGUUGUAGCAUGCGUAUGCGUCCUUGGCCGCGUAGGUUAUGUAGGCUUGAUUCAGAGGUACCUCCCACGUGUUCAUGUCUUCUUCUUUCAUGUUGGCGUAUGAGGGGUCGAUGAUGGUCUCAGUGAGGUCAACCACGGAGUCCUUCUCCUGCCCGUUGCUGAUGAUCUUGUAUUGCUUCUGGAUGUCGACAAGCUUGUUGCACCAGAUGGACGAAUCGUCGUGUUCUUCCUUCUCUCCACCGUAGCGAAGGUGCAGUCGGCGCUGCCGAUGAAAUGAGCGAAUGCUCCAGAACCUGGUGCAGCCAUAGGAGUGAGGCGAGGCAGAGCUUCACCGAGUCCGUAUCAUUGGUGUACAUCACAUUCAACUUGGUGCAGCCAUAGGACUGAACGGCGAACUCAAAGGGGAACUCCUUGGUGAAGUCCAUAUCCAGCAGCCUCACCCCUCGGAUUGCCAUUGGAGUCUCUUUGAGUGAACGAGUGUGUAGGCGGCGGCAGCAGUUCGUUUUUUAGCUCUUGGGGAACUGGAUUCAACAGUAAGCUGAGUGUGUACAGGCGACAACAGUUACUACCCUCCCUCGUCCGCUGCACGCCCGGCAGAAGAUGCACCCUUGGCGCAUUCAAACGCCUCCAUUAAGAAACCUACUCCGGCCACACGUCGGUUCACGAGCGGGUCUGUAUUGGUACUAUAAUAACAUGAGUUUUGGUCACUUUACUUAAAUUUAAUUAGCUUUAAUAGAAAUUUAUACUUAAAACAAGCAAUGCAUUGGCUCAUUCUAUCAGUGCCACAGGAUCAACAUGCACAACAAUUAGAAUGAUUAUUCUCAGGACGCACAUGAUCAGCACAUUUGUCGCACUUUCACAAAAAUAAUACUACCAAGUUUGAACUGUUUGUUAUGGUUGUUGUCCUUUGCAUCAUCAUGCCAUGUUUCCCAGCUUGCAAGAUUCAGAACCAACAAAUAAGAUCCAAAUAAUAAGUACAAUAAAGAUGCCUACACAUCUCAUUGAUUCCCAGCUUGCAAGAUUCAGAACCAACAAAUAAGAUUCAAAUAAUAAGUACAACAAAGAUGCCUACACAUCUCAUUGAUUCCCAACUUGCAAAAUUCAGAACCAACCCAUUAGAGCCUUUUGAUAAAGUGAAUAUCGGGAUUAAAUCCAUCUUGGCUAGCCAUGUCAUACAAUCGAAGAACUUGGCGAAUGCUCUUGACCGUCACAACAUCUAUAGUUGAGUAUUCCUGUUUGCACAACACAAACAAGGAGACAGGAGAGCAUGAUUUUGCUUUAAUAGCGGCCUCCUUGAACUCAACCUGCAACUCCACUAGGAUGAGGUCUGCUUGGAGUUCCAUGAUUCAAUUCAUGCGCCUUUUUAUGCAGUUCACCUGAAAUGAAGCAAAGAUUACAUCAUUCAGCUAGCAAGAAGUACUUGCUCUCGUGAGCUGGCAGGUUCUUCUUUAGUAGUUGCACUAAAAUUGAGGAACAUUAAGGUUGGCUGUCCGGCUCAUGUACGGUGCAACUAUAAUUUUCUUAUCCUUUUGUGCAGUUCCACUAAAAUAAAGUGCCAUUGUGGUGACAGUAACGGCUCCAUCUUGCAAAGGCUAAUAAAAUGUUGCACGAGAUUACCAACAGAACUUGACAAAGAUUUUGGAAACUCCAAUCACCAUUUUGUGCAGUUCCACCAAAAUUGAGAGAUGUUGCCCACGUGACAUUUUAGUUAAACUGCACAAGACACUCAUUCCAAAAAAAGUGUUUUGUGCAGUUCACUAAAAGGUCACAAUAGCAACAAGGUGAAAUGGAUAUCCCUAUCUGCACAAAAAGAUAGAAAGUAAACAGUUGUUGGUCAAUAAGAAUAUAUGAAACAUAUACAAAAUGAAAAGAAGCAUCUUAAUUAUGUUCAUGGAAAUCACGCAAGGACAGUAGAAAUUUUAAAACGUCAGCAAUGCUUCAUGUUACCAUAAGCAUUACGAUCAACAAUGAGAUUCCUCAAAUAUGGGAUUACUUUAAUGGUGGCAUUGCUUGUUUACCAGACACAGUAAAUCAACGGCAGCUAAAGAGUUGGUUUAAGGGCAUGGGACCGUGGGGACACCAGGACACUCAUCAGCGUAAAGGAGCAACUUACUUAUCAUACUGGGGAAAACAACAGGAGUGCCAUUUGUAACACAGUUUAAUUGCAUCUUAUCACUGGAGGCAUUAGAUUAACAAUAACACUGGUUAGACAUGUCCCUAAGGUAACAGUGUGAUCGCUUCAUUUUACAUGUGCCCUUACAUUAACAACAUCAAAAAGGUUGGUAUAAGGACAUGCGACAGUGGACGCAUCAGCACAAUGUACCUACAAGGAGGCAUAAAGUGGUGAUGUCGAGUUUGUUCAUGCUAUGUGAGGGCAGCAAACCUAAUCCUGGAGACCUUGUACUAUGUGAGGGUAGCAAAUCUAAUCCUGGAGACCUUUUACUAUGUGAGGGCAGCAAAUCUAAUCCUGGAUACCUUUUACUAUGUGAGGGCAGCAAAUCUAAUCUUGGAGACCUUUUACUAUGUGAGGGUAGCAAAUCUAAUCCUGAGACCUUUUACUAUGUGAGGGCAGCAAAUCUAAUCCUGGAGACCUUUUACUAUGUGAUGGCAGCAAAUCUAAUCCUGGACAUACUCUGUUGACUUGUCCACCAGCUGCCACUUUCUAUCCUUUUUUCAACCAAUAAUAGAUCUGUUCCUUAUCCAGUUUGUACUGCGUUUUCCCAUUAUUUCCCUUUUCAUCCAAGAGACCGGUUGGGUAUCUGGUCUCUACUACUUUCACCAUAUUAUUUCCUCUUUGAAUCAAGUCCUAGAUUCAUGCUACAACUUUCCCCCCUUUCUUCGUUGUUUGAACAAAGCCCUAGAUUUGAAUGCAUGAAGUAGCUUUACCUCUGAUAAUACUAAAAACUUAGGUGGCUUUGGAAGAGCUGAUGGGAGUAGAAAAAGAUGCACAUGCAGACAUGUGGGGAGCUGGGGCAGUAGAGCAAGGCCGCUUUCGAAGAACUUAUACCUGAGGGUCGCCGGGAUGUCGGCGGCGGCAGGUCGGGUCUGCGGACAAUAAGACAGGGAGGAAGAAGGGUCGGAGGACCUCCCGAGCCGGCACUGUGUCGGAGAGAACGACACGGGUAGAGGAUCGGGCCCCUCCGACAGCUGUGGGUUUCCUCCCCCGGUGGCGAUGACCGCGUGAAUGAUGCACCUUUUAGUCCUUUACACACACCGGCCAAAGGGAUUCGGCCAGAUCUGUGACCAGCGGUGAGUAGAGAGAAAAUGCCGCUACCGCUGUCUUGUUUAUAUCUGGAGAGGAUGAGAGAAUGAAGAGAGCAACCCUAGUAAAGCAAGCGCUCAGGCCCCUGCGUCCAUAUAUAGUAGAGUGAUUAUCUUUUUUCUCUCCACAACAAGCAUUUCAAUUUGUGUACGUGGCAUUAAAGAAAAGAAACUCUCUAUUUAAGGUGACCACUGUACGACUCCUACUUACUACUAGUAGUACUACAGUAUUGUUCACUUGUGCUCCCCGCCCCUCCAUUCAUUGAACAACCCCACGGGUGAAUAAACAUACAGUAAGUAUUGUAUUUAUAUAGAACGAACAAGCUCGAACUAUUAUCGCGUAGUUAAAAGUUGAGGGCGGGGCUUUUCUCGGGCAGUUUUCGGGUAGGCGGUUUGACAGAGAGGCGAGGAGGGUGAGCGAGUGGCGGAUUCUCAAACAUACUGCUGGAAAGGUCGGGCUGUGCGAUUUGACGGUGCAUUACUGCUGGAAAGACUUGUGAUAUGACCACUCACUAUAGUCAUGAAUUACUGGCGCUCCGACCGGGGUGAUGCCCCCCUUCCGUUUCGCGCUCUAAUCUGGUGCAUGACACGUCGACCCGGAUGCUGGCUCUCCCACAUGUCAGAGUAGUAAGAAGGAGCAAAGAAUGAUGUGGUAUAUACUAGUACUACUACUACUCAGGUCGGAGGAGUGCGAACCACGACAGCCCAGUGAACCAGCAGCGAGAACCACGACAGCCCAAUGAACCAGCAGUGCGAACCACGGUAGCCCAGUGAACCAGCAGUAGAAAACAAUGUGCUGAUAUGGCCAUAAGAAACAAUGUGCUACGGUCCACACUGUAGCAUGUACAGUAACACUCCUCUUUGUUUGGAGUCCUGAGUUAGAGCUAGUUUGGGUUGAAAUAGCCUCAAAUUAUCGAAACAAGAGGGGUUAGUUUGAGCUAGUUUGCUCUAACCCAGCUAAAAAAACUAGCCCGAUGGAGAGGUCCUAAUUGGGUUAGUUAUCCUCGGGCCCACUAAAAGAGAACUAAAAAAAUCUCCCCUGCCCGCACCAGAUCGCUCCCCCCCUCUCGCACAACUCCUCUCUGUUCCCCAUAGGGCCGCCCGCCCAAGCAUCGCUCGCCCUCUCUCUCCUCCGACCGCCCUCUCCUUCCGGCCUCCGCCGCCCUACUCCGGCCGCCCUCUCCCUCCGGCCUUUGAAGGUUGCCCCGCUCUCCCUUCACCAGUCGUUUUUCUCCCUUUGUCGUGUGCGGCAGCGGCGCAUCUACCAGGGAGGUCGCGAGAGGGGUGGGUUUGUUCGUUCCUUCUCUGUCUCACGGCCAUAUCAUUGAUCUUGCUUGCUCUAGCGCUAAUUCUGAUUUGAAAAAGUAGAUCAUGAUCAAACUUGGUAUAGAUUUGUGGUGCACGCAUGGAAUUGUUUGAUGCUGCUUGAGGAGGUAAUAAAUCUUUCUAGAGGCCCAAAGAUUCAGUUCACCUUUCUAGGUAUUUCAAUUUCAGGCUUGCAUUAUUUCUAGAGGCCCAAAGAUUCAGUUCACCUUUCUAGGUAUUUCAGUUUCAGGCUUGCAUUAUUUCUAGAGGCCCAAAGAUUCGGUUCACCUUUCUAGGUAUUUUAGUUACAGGCUUGCAUUAUUUCUAGAGGCCCAAAGAUUAAGUUCCCAGUCUGCGGCAAGCGGCCCUGCUACCCAUGCCGGUGUCGACCUCAACUCGCAAGGGCCAGUGUCGGAGGGGUUCCCGGGGCUUGGGAUCUACAGAGCCUUCCUCCAGAGCAACGAUGGUGAGCUCCUCCCUCGGUGUGUGAGGGGCUCCGGGCUCCCUCCCUAUCGUGAAUGACUUCUGUGAUGAGUUAGCUCAUGCUUUGUUUCAUGAAGUGUUUUUUUUAUUUUGUGAAGCUUGAUUGACGACUUGUAUGUUUAAGUGGGAUAUCUCAUUUGUAUGGACAAAGUAAAAAUUAUCAUGCUUUGCAUGCUUGAUUUGUAUAGAUGGUUCAUUUAUGUCAAUUGUGAGUGGGAGGAGGCCACAGAAGAGCCGGCCACACCAAAUCCGGCAGGAAAUAGGGUCCAAAGUAGUCAAAUGAUUGAGAAAGAGCAUUUAUUGUCAAUCUAACCCUACCAUCCAUACACCUCUUUGGUUUAGAGUUAGUUCAGGGUUAGAAUCUGACUCUAACCUCUAACUGAGUUAGAGUUCUCCUCGUCUCGAUUCAUCGCCAUCAUACUUUCCCCAUUCCUGUGUUUUCAAUAUCCUGCGAAUCAAAGAGGCCCUUUUUUUGCGGGAAAAAUCAAAGAGGCCCUUAGACUAGUUUAGGUCCGGUCAUUUUUUAUAAACGUGUUAUGUCCAAAAUUUAAUGAACGUGCUCCGGUUUCCACGAAAAUAAUCCGGUUUCAUGUAGUAAUUCAUUCAUUUAUUUAUUCUUCUGCGGGGGGUUUGCAUGUAAUUCGUGAGGUCUGAAAUGUAAAGUACCCCGGCAUAUGCUCUGAGUCGUGCAUGCACUAUGACCCAGAUGCUCUAGGUCCCACAUGUCGACGAAUGGGAGCACGUGGAAAUAGCCUAGGAGUACAUAUAGGAGGACAAAUGCGUGAAAAAAUAUGUACUGGGAAGCGUAGCUGCGGUUCGAAAAGGAGACCUAAAGUGAUGACAGCUAUAGGUCGCACACACCCAACUAGUGGUACUAGACAUACGACUAAUUUUUCCCUCAAAAAAGAGAGGCACGAGUGCUCAGUACUCCUAUUCUAUAAACACGAGUCCCAUCUGACAACAGCGUCCGUGCUACAGCUAUCUCUCCUCCCUCGUUUCUCUCUUCUAAUUCUAAACUCGACCGACACCCGGUGGGCAGGGUGGGUUUGCUCAACUGCGGCCCCACCUCAUAGUGAAAACAUUACGACUGGAAUAAAAAUGCCAUAUACUCCCUCCGUUCCUAAAUAUAAGCCUUUUUAGAUACUAUUUCAAAUGGAAUACAUCAUAUAGAUGUAUGUAGACAUAGUUUAGAGUGUAGAUUCACUCAUUUUGCUCCGUAUGUAGUAGUCACUUGCUGGAAUAUUUAGAAAGACUUAUAUUUGGUAACGGAGGGAGUACUAUACUAAUAAAACAUUAAGGCCACGAGGCAAUGCAGUGCUGGUUACAGGAGGCAAGAAGAAGAGAUGCAUCCAUCAAUGACGUCCACCUCCUCGACUCAGGGCGUUGGCCCAUUGAACGACGCCUAAGUAGCAGCGGCUUUCGUGGCCAGGUCGACGUGCUUCUGAACAAUGGCGUCCAAAGAUUCCAGCCGCUGGAAGAAGGCCAACGUCUUUAUGUCCUCGCUUGCCUUGUAGUGGCCUAUGUAGACGAUUUCCUCGUAGACGUGGAUGUGCAGGUCAACGGUUUCUUGCAUGGCGAUGCGCUACGUGGUGAGCGCGGCCUCGAGGUGCACAUUCUUUGUCGCGACCUCCAGCACCUGCGGGGCUACCAGGGCUUGAAAGAGUUCGUCACCAUGGAGACCUAUGAGGGUGGCAGGCAAUGAGGAGCCUGGGCGCGCGGGCUAGAGCAGUACGGCAAGGUCGUCCGCAUGCUUCUUGACGACGGUGAACUUGUGGAUGGAGUUGACCAUCAUGUCGUCCAUGCGAGAGGCAAAGCCAGCGUCGGUGAGGGCUACGAUGCCUGCGGUCGCCAGCACCAUCUGGAAACACUGCACGGUGCAGCCGCAGGCCGGCGCCUUGGAUGAUUUGGCACAGCCGACUGCCGCUCGGGUCCAUCGCCUCCAUAGGUGCUUGUGGCUUGUGGUCACUUGGUCUUGGAUUGGAGUGAGCAGUGUUGCGCAGAGACUUGGGAGUAGAUGGAUUGGAGUGGUGGGGAGCCUUUAUUAUAUGAGAGUCCAAACUCUGUUACAUUCACAUCGUGCUGGCUCUAUUCUGCUUCUCCAAUUAAUUCCCUCUACAUGUAAUUGAGGAUGCAUCAUUGAUCGUUCAACGUCUCGGGAAUCGCUACCCUCUCCCUCCUUGGCAUUCAAGCACCUAUGGACCCGUCGACGACGAGGUGCCUAUGGUGACUUCAUAAAUUUCAAGAUGAUAGUGCCGUGCGUGUGUGUGUUCAUAGGGGUGAGUGUACGCGCGUGUAUAUGAGCGUUUGCGUCUGUAUUGUGUCAAAAAAACGUAAAUGCGUGUCAAAAAGAGACUAGUCAGUAUACUCAAUAUUGUGCACCUCGGAGAGGAAAACGAUAGAACUAGUACGUAUUUAUUUACGGUGCAGAUUCACUCAUUUUGCUCCAUAUGUACUCCGUCUCGGUGUAGUCUAGUCACUUGUUGAAAUCUCUAGAAGGGAAAAUACUCAUUUCUGGUUUACAGGGCUAUACUAGCAAGUAGUUGUACGUACUAGUACAAUAGUGGGCUCACAUAGCAAUUUUGUCUCAUGCAAGAGCCUGGCUAUAUGCGUGCUCCAAUGUUCGCAACUGCAACGUUCGGUUUGCGCUUGGCUCUUCGCCUCUUCGAGAAGACGAACAAUGAUGUUACUACUACUGCUUCUACAGUGUCGAAUCCACUGCUGCAUGUCCGUCCACCGCGAGCGGGACGGAUAGCUUGUUGUAGAAGUACUACUAAGCAAAAGCCUGUCCUCGUUUGUGAGCAACCGCGCGCAUGGGCGAGGGAGAAGGCGUGUAGUAAAGUCAAGCUUCUCCUUGUUGUACGAGUUGACGCGACACAUCAUAGCACUGUCCCCACAUGCUUGCCUCUAAACUUGGCUGAAAGACCCACAGUGUACAAUAUAUUUGCUGCAACCUCUAACAUUUACCCACCACAAAUUAAAAUAUAUGUGGCCGUAUGCAUCAUUCUGAUGCAGAGGCCGGGGAGUCCCCCCUUUUCGGAAAAAAUAAAUUAAAAUAUAAAUUCCUGUCUUGACCAGAUGAGCGUGCAAACUACAAUCACCAGGGUGACAGGUAGGGCCAGAAGACUGUUUUAAUUUUUUUAAAAACUUUGAGACGGCCACAUAGCAUGGAGCCGACCCCAGCGAUUUUAAGCUUACAUGCACGGUACAUGCUAUCCUAGACUACUCUACACAUGAAACUGCCACACGAGCGUCCGGGCUGCGCUUGGCUCUUCGCCUCUUCGGGAAGUCAAACAAUGAUGGAGUACUAUUGCACUGGAGGAGUACUACAAUACGCUUCUGGCCAUUUGACACCGAUUGAACUGCUGCAUGUCCACCGCCUGCGGGAGGGAGAGUGUGUAGCGAAAGCUUCUCCUAGUCUUGCCAGCCACCACGCUCAUGGGCGAGGAAGGGACGCUCCUGCCUUUGCGUGUAUGACAGGUGGGCCCGACAGGUGUGUGGCCAACCUGUCAUACAGCCAAAGGCAGGUGCAGUUAAGUCCGCGAGGGAGAGGAUAAUCAAACUUCUUGUUGAUGUAUGAGUUGACGCAACACAUCAAAGCACUGCACUCGAUAUAUUUCAAUAAUUUGCAUUUACCAAUGCAUUAAUUACAACGCAUGCAUGCAUGCCGUGACUCUCCUUUUGAUACUUGCAUGUGUUGAUUUAAUGCACCUUGAAGUAGUAUAAAAUAUGUGACGGUAAAGCUUUGUAAUGCCCCGGCCCAAGUUGAGAGAUGGUUGUGCACGAGGAGGGCGAGAUCAUGCAGACCGAACAAGACCCAAUGAUGGAGCUCUCUAAGGUCUCAAUGGACCUCACGGUGCUCCACUACCCCUUGUGCCUCCGCCCCUUGACGCCUCCAGUGUAUGAGGUUCGAAUACACCUUGUUCGUUCGGCUGAUUGAGCAAGGUGCAGGUUUCUUCAUUGAUGUGAUGUUUGAUUGAUUUCUAUAGUGCAAGGGAGGGCACCUGGCCUGCGCGGACUGCCGCGUCGAGCGCCCCGGGAACCAGUGGCAGUGCCAGAAGUGCGAGCGCGGCGGUGGCUUCGACGUGCGGAACACGACGGUGGACUCCGUCCUUUCGUCGGUGAGGGUGGAGUGCCCGCACGAAGGCUGUGGGCUCUACGUCACUUACCACAAGCUCGUCAAUCACUAGAGCGUGUGUCCGCUCGCGCCCCGCAAAUGCCCCGUGCCCGUCUGCGGCUACGAAGGCCCGCUGGCGGCGCUCUACCACCACAUCAGCACCGCGCAUCCCAUGCCCGUGCACAAGGUCCAGUACGGCAAGGUGCUCCAGCUGCAAGUGCCACUGUCGGAGCCACAGCUCUUGCUGUUUGCAGAGGAGGACGGCCACGCGUUUUUCUUGGUCGGCAGCAUGCUCGACAUCGGCGCGCCUAUCACCGUGUCGGUGAUCUGCAUCAGAGCGGGGGUGUCCCCACUGCGGCACUACGUGGCCAAGCUGUGGGCGAACGGUACGCCGGGGGAGCCCAAAGGCACGACCGACGCUGUCAAGGUGGAAAUGGAGGUGACAAGCAGCAAGGAUCCCGGUGACAUCGACGUGCAGGAGCUGACCUUCUUCACAGUUCCGCCCAAGCUGCUGGCCGGGGCUAAGCUGGUGUCCCUCCACAUUCAAAUUGACAAGCUCACGUCCUAAAUGUUUCUACAGUGCCUUCUGUUUAUCUUAGUAAUAUGCUAAUAUAGGGAUUACCUCGGUCUACAUUAGCUUAAGAAAUGGUGGGUUUUGGUGGCGAUGCAGCAAUUACUUCGACAUCAGAUCAGUAAUUUCCAACAGUCGAACGGAUAUUUUGUGUCUGUUGGAUAUAAAGUUCCUUUGGGUAAGAAGUACUACUUGUCAUCAAAAUGGAUAAAAGGAGAUGUAUGUAGACGUAUUUUAGUUCUAGAUACAUCCCUUUUUAUCCAUUUUGAUGACAAGCACUCCCUCCGUUCCACAAUACAUGCCUUCCAUUUGUCAAAAUAUAGAUGUAUCUAGACAUGUUUUAGUAUAUAGGUACGUCCAUGAUAGAGCCAAUCAGAUGGUUGAGAACACUACAAUUCGUAGUCACAGAUGCGUGUGUGACUCCCAGAUGUAGAGGCCGGGGGUCAUCAUCCUCCUUUUCGAGAAAAAAAUAGACGCGUGUGUGAGAGGACGAGUGCGUGUGUGCACCUCUUCUCUUCCUGUAUAACGUACUAAACUCAGAGUACAAGUUUUUGUGGGUGGCACGAUGGUGCAUGCGAGAAGUCCCGAGAGAUAGGUUUAAUGCGUCUGAAAAAAGACUAGCCUAGAGCUCGCCACGCGGCUAUUCCUGUCGAACGCCCCAUUAACCAUAAGAUAUGUAUACGACACUGCCAGUUAUUGCACGUACACAGCAGUACUCCCUCCUUUCCGGUUUAUAGGGCUUAAUUAAAAAAUCUCACCAACCAAGAUGGUGAGUGGUGGAAUAUUUUUUGUAGUUUGCAAAACACCUAAUUAAUGCUCUUGCUUUUCUCAAAAAAUUAUGUUUAUCAAUGCAUUAAUUGCAAUGCAUGCAUGCAUAAAGUACAUGCAUUGGUCAAUUUUCUCUUAAUACUUGCAUGCAAUGAUUUAAUGCACCUUGGAAUCUGAACAUGUGAUGGGGAACAACCAAAUUGAGCCUUAUAAAAUGGAAAAACUAAAAUUUUGAGAUAAUCCCUAUAAAACCGGAAAGGAGGGAGUAGAAAAAGAACUACUCCAUCCGGGAAUAGUGCCGCACUUCGAAACUAGAACCGUCAAUAAAUUUUGAGCUUGCAUCUCGUCACAUUCCAAAUUACUCCACGCUAUAUUGAAUUGCAAACCUGUUCACACCGAUCACAACCUAAACGGUUUCCCACUUAGGAGCGUAUUAGUACCACGCUAUAUUGAAUUGCAAACCUGUUCACACCGAUCACAACCUAAACGGUUUCCCACUUAGGAGCGUAUUAGUACUCGGUUAUAAAUACUAGUAUGCCAAGAUGACUGCAUAUUCCUCCUCAACUCCUCAUCCACAAAAACAAACAAGUCAUUCAGCAUCCUUCCCUUGUGUCUGCCAUGGCCAGCGUGAGUUCUGGGUCGAGAGAUUGCCACCAGGGAGAGGCGAGCAUGGAAGCGGAAGCACGAGAGAUGUCCCGCCUCGCUGCCAGAGCAGCCGACAUGUCCCGCCGCGUGGAAGUAGCAGCACAGAGGUCCCGCCACGCUGCUGAAGCAGCACGGAGGUCCCGCCAUGCCGUCGAUGUAGUAGACUGGUCUCAUCGCACCGCGGAAGCAGCAGAGAUGUCCCGCCGUACCGCGAAUGCAGCAGAGAUGUCCCGCCGCGCCGCGGCGGCCUGAGAAAAUUUCUCGCAGGCAGGCGACGACUGUUACAGGCGCAUGCAUGAGAUCGUCCAUAGCCAGAUGGAUUACAUCUUUGGCUGGGAGAGGUUGCAGGACGACAUGAAAGCCUCGUUUGAACCGGCUACUGGCGUCAUCUGACAACUAAGGGAGGGCAAUGAGAGGCUCUGGGCCGAGUGCGACCUGCUAAGGGAGAAGAUCGUCUGAAGUGUAGACCAGCAGGAGGAGACCAGUGCCUUGUUGAAGAGGACCAGCGUCAUCAUCAAGAAACUUAUGGACGAGAAUGACAUGCUCCGCAACAAGCGCCAAAGGCUAGUGGAGGAAUCCGUGGAUGUUCUCAAGCAGCGUCUUGAGGACACGAAAGAGCUCAUCGCCGCUCACCGCGGAUACUAGUUCCCGCGGCCUGCAGUAACGCAUCAAGAAAGUAGAGAUCAGCGAGCCAGAUCCUUGUCUUCCUUCUUCUUUUGCCCUUGUGUAUUUCGGGCGUAGACACAUGUGGCUUUUUUAAUUAUCUUUCUAAUUAUGUAAGACAAUUAAUCGUCCUUAUAUAUUCAUCAGUCUUGCUAUAAGUCGCAGUAGAUGCUAUAUAGGUCCGUCGGAUCUUACAUCAAGAUCUGUGCUUUCAGAUUUUCUUUUCUCUCUCUUAAAUCUCAGUCGAGUGAGACAUAGCCACGCCAUUAAACAGAGGCUUGGGCGCCAUUAAUGGAGACCUUGGGAGAGAGGUGGACGGCAGAUGGAGGUCAAAGGGCUCUCCUCCCGAUAAGCACGCGCAGGGGUCAGAUCGCACGCCUCUCGUACUCAAAUAGCUACCCUGCAUGGCGCCUCCUAGCUAAUAAAAAAUGGGGAUGCGUGGCGGCACGUAAAUGGUACUAGUAAGUAGAACGCCCACGGUUUCAAUAAUACUUGUGUUUCCGAUUGUAACAUGACAGCACUUGUUCCAAAAUGACUUUGUUGAUUGUUAAUGUGUGCGCCUUCGCAAAUUGGACUGCAAAAUUACCACAACAUGUUGGUGCCAUGUCAUGGCACCAAGCCAAGUUUCAUUAUUUUCAUGCGUGUUUUGGAUUUACAGGAAUUAAAAAACUAAGUUUCUCAAUGUUUCCAACCCAGCCACGACGCCCAGAAUUUUGAAUUUCAUUCCCAUUUCUUGCAUGGAACCUAGAAAUUUACCCGAGGACACACAUGUGAUUUUUCAACCAACUUUGGUGCACUGGAACAUGUGCUUGUAUUUCAAAUUUGAAUUAUGCACACAAAGGUGACAUGUUCCCUCCCAGAACCACGAGCCUUCUUGAGAGAAGCUCCGAUUUGCAAGAAGCUUAUACCAAAAUUUGUUCCUAUUCGGCCAAUUUUUUUACCACGGCAUGGUACUACCAUGACAUGACACCAUGCCAAGUUUCAUGAUUUUAAAACCAAGUUUCUCAAUGUUCUCGACCGAGCCAAGAUGCCCAGAUGUUUGAAUUUUAUUCUCAUUUUUUGCAUGGGACCUAGAAAUUCACCCGAGGACACAAAUGUGAUUUUUCAACCAACUUUGGUGCACAGGAGCAUGUGCUUGUAGUUCAAAUUUGAAUUAUGCACAUUAAAUGACGAAAAACUCAGUUAAUGUGUAAAUAAGGCCAAACGAAGCCGAAAUAAUUCCAAAAUUUAACAGGGCACUCAUGUAGUUCUAUGUUGCCUUUGUAAAUAAACUCAAGGGGGACAACGUAUAUCAUUUCGCACUCAAAGGUGGCACGUUCCCUCUCAGAACCAUGAGCCUUCUUGAGAGAAGCUUUGGUUUGCAAGAAGCUUAUACCAAAAUAUGUUCCUAUUCGGCCAAUUGUUUUACCACAGCAAGGAAGUACCAUGACAUGACACCCAUACCAAGUUUCAUGAUUUUCAGACGUGUUUUGGAUUUACAAGAAUUAUAAAACCAAGUUUCUCAAUGUUCUCGGCCGAGCCACGAUGCCCAGAUGUUUUAAUUUUAUUCUCAUUUCUUGCAUGGGACCUAGAAAUUCACCCGAGGACAAAAAUGUGAUUUUUCAACCAACUUUGGUGCACGAGAGCAUGUGCUUGUAGUUCAAAUUUGACUUAUGCACAUUAAAUGACUAGAAACUCAAUUAAUGUAUAAAAACGACAAACGAACCCGGAAUAAUUCCAAAAUUUAACAGGGCACUAAUGUAGUUCUAUGUUGCCUUUGUUAAGAAACUCAAGGGGGGCAGCGUAUAUCGUUUCACACUCAAAGGUGGCACGUUCCCUCUUAGAACCACGAGCUUCCAAAUCGGCCCAAUUUUUUACCACAACAUGUUAGUGCCAUGACAUGACACCAUGCCAAGUUUCAUGAUUUCCAGGCGAGUUUUGGAUUUACAUGAAUUUAAAAUCUAAGUUUCUCGAAGUUCCCGGCCGAGUCAUGACGCCCAGAUGUUUGAAUUUCAUUCUCAUUUCUUCCAUGGGACCUAGAAAUUCAACCAAGGACACACAUGUGAUUUUUUAACCCACUUUGGUGCACCGGAGCAUGUGCAUGCAAUUCAUAUUUAGAUUAUGCACAUUAAAAGUCCAGAAACUCAAUUAAUGUAUAAAAUGGCCAAAUGAACCCGAAAUAAUUCCAAAAUUUAAUAGGGCACUCAUAUAGUUCUAUGUUGCCUCUGUAAAGAAAAUCAGGGGGGAGGCAGCGUACAUCGUUUCGCACACAAAGGUGACACGUUCCCUCUUGGAACCACGAGGCUUGUUGAGAGAAUCUCCGGUUUUGCAAGAAGCUUAUACCAAAACUUGUCCCAAUUCAGCCAAAAAUUAUACAUAUGAAAACAGGGUUUAGAUUAUCCCAAACAUCUCGCUACCUAGACCAAUAAUGUACUAUGAUUUGAGUUCAACAUAAAAUGGAUACAAAUAUUUGAAUUGGAGAGCAUAUGGUACAUGUAGUUCAUAGUGAAAUAUGAUUACUGCUAUAUGCAUGUUUUUUGUUAUCAAGAUAAUAUUUAAAUUAUUGUAUAACUUGACAACAGUUGUAUUCAAAUAAGGAAAAUUGAUUCAAAUUUAGUCCAUAUGGUAGACGACAAUAUAUAUGUUCACAUGGAGGAGUAAAAUGUUCAUAUGUGAUGGAAGAUCAAAAUGUACGACUACAUCAAUUAUAAACCGCAAGGUCACCUAAUGAUAUAUUUGAAUUCAACAUAACGUGGAUUCAAAAAUUGAAAUUUGAUAUCCUGGCAUCUGUAAUCAUAUAAAAGGGGACAUUACACUUUCUUUGGUGGGAAUUGAUUUAUUUUUUGUUGUUGUUGAGGGAAGUGCGAAUCGAUUUGGUAAUGUGUAGGGUAAUCUUGUUCUCCCGAUUUUUUUACAUUUUUCUUGUAGUUUUUUAAAUGGCAUCUAUAGCAAUAUAGUAAAAGGGGACAUGACUCUCUUGUGUCUUGUAUGAAUUGUUUUUUUACACGUUAAGUUUGUUCUGCCGAACAAGGAAUCCACACCUUGUUAUCCCAAAAUUUUCAGGCUCGAGUAUCUUUUGUCUCACCUGCUUUGAAACUCCCGCCUCUUCAACCCGCGCCGCGCCUUGUUAUCCCGAAAUUUGGACACGCGCGAGAACUCCCUCCUCAUCCGAAAUCGGCCCCGCAGCCCAGACACGCGAAAUCCCCCUUCUACCCCUCAGCCGGAAAUGAAGCUCCACGUCGCGGUGUCAAAACCGGUGGGGGUACGCUGGUAACUUACCCUACAUUUUGGACAAGCGCGUCCCUAGGCUUGGCUCCCCCUCCCCCUUCGCCCCCCAUUCAUACACGAGGCCGCCAAAACCCGCGAAGGCCCACGCUGCUCCGUCGGCCUCUCGACCGCCGCCCAGCCGGAGACUCUUCCCCGACUACGUCGUCCACCGCAACAGCUUGCCGUCCCUCAUCCACCGUGUUGGAAAUAUGCCCUAGAGGCAAUAAUAAAAGGAUUAUUAUUAUAUUUCCUUGUUCAUGAUAAUUGACUUUUAUUCAUGCUAUAAUUGUGUUAUCCGGAAAUCAUAAUACAUGUGUGAAUACAUAGACCAAUAUGUCCCUAGUGAGCCUCUAGUUGACUAGCCCGUUGAUCAACAGAUAGUCAUGGUUUCCUGACUAUGGACUUUGGAUGUCACUGAUAAUGCAAUCACAUCAUUAGGAGAAUGAUGUGAUGGACAAGACCCAAUCCUAAGCAUAGCACAAGAUCGUGUAGUUCGUUUGCUAGAGCUUUUCCAAUGUCAAGUAUCUUUUCCUUAGACCAGGAGAUCGUGUAACUCCCGGAUAUCGUAGGAGUGCUUUGGGUGUACCAAACGUCACAACGUAACUGGGUGACUAUAAAGGUAUACUACGGGUAUCUCCGAAAGUGUCUAUUGGGUUGACACGGAUCGAGACUGGGAUUUGUCACUCCGUAUGACGGAGAGGUAUCUCUGGGCCCACUCGGUAAUGCAUCAUCAUAAUGAGCUCAAAGUGACCAAGUGUCUGGUCACGGGAUCAUGCAUUAUGGUACGAGUAAAGUGACUUGCCGGUAACAAGAUUGAAUGAGGUAUUGGGAUACCGACGAUCGAAUCUCAGGCAAGUAACAUACCGAUUGACAAAGGGAAUUGUAUACGGGGUUGCUUGAAUCCUCGACAUCAUGGUUCAUCCGAUGAGAUCAUCGAGGAGCAUGUGGGAUCCAACAUGGGUAUCCAGAUCCCGCUGCUGGCUAUUGACCGGAGAGCCGUCUCGGUCAUGUCUACAUGUCUCCCGAACCCGUAGGGUCUACACACUUAAGGUUCGGUGACGCUAGGGUUGUAGAGAUGAAAGUGCUAGUUAUCGACUAGAGGGGGGGGGGGUGAAUAGGCGAUUUUUAUCAAAGUCCAAAACGUGGAAGUUUCGAAGACAAACAAUAGAAAUGACCUUAUUGAUAUGCAGCGGAAGAUAAACUACAACAAGCAAACCAUAGUCAAGUAUGCAAUAAUGUGAAAGUACAAAGACUAAUAGCAGCUUGGUAGUAAGGAUCAGGAUGGAAGAUAGUAUGAAGCCAACCAACGAUAGUAGUCAAGAAAUGAAGUCAAAUAGGUAUGAAAAAUAGGCAAUGACUUCACGAAGACAAACUCAAAGUAAAGGGAGGGAGAGGAUAGCACCAGUCAUUUGUUGAAGACACAUGAUUUGUUGGACUAGUUCCAGUUGCUGUGACAACUGUACGUCUGGUUAGGGAGGCUGAGAUUCAACUCAGAAGACCGCGUCUUCACCUUAUUCCCCUUGAGCUAAGGACACACAGUCCUCGCCCAAUCACUCUGGUAAGUCUUCAAGGUAGACUUCCGAACCUUCACAGACUUCGUUCACCGGCGAUCCACAAUGACUCUUAGAUGCUCAGAAUGCAAUGCCUAACCGGCUAGAGGAUACACAGUCCUCAAGUGUAAUAAGUCUUCAGGUCACUCAAAUAGAAAGACUUUAGUGAUGCCUAACACUCUUUGGCUCUGGGUGUUUGGGCUUUGUCCUCGCAAGGAUUUCUCUCUCUCAAAGGCUUCAAGGUGGGUUGCUCUCAAACGACAAAAGCCGUGAACUAACUCUGAGCAGCCACCAAUUUAUGGUGUAGGGGGUGGGCUAUUUAUAGCCACAAGGCAACCCGACCUGAUAUGUCCGAAAUGACCCUGGGUCACUAAGGAACUGCCAUGUGUUCCAACGGUCAGAUUUCAAACACACACGGCAACUUUACUUGGGCUACAAGCAAAGCUGACUCAUCCAACUCUGGAUAAGAUUUGCUCUCAUUGUCUUCGCUCGAAGACAUAGGAUUUGGGUUGAGCAUCACUUCAGUCAUUCUGACUUUGUUCACUUGGACCCCACUUAACAGUAUAGUGGUUCCUAUGACUCAACAAAGAAGAAAAGGAAACAACGAAACAACACAGUCUUAGCGCUCCAUAGUCUUCACUCAAUGUCUUCUCAUGUCAUAGUCUUCAAUAUGAAUAUCUUCACAUACCACCAUUGUCGUCAAUGUCUUCAUACAUUUUUAGGGGUCAUCUCCGGUAGGUAAACCAAAUCAAUGAGGGACACUACCUGCGUUAUCCUGCAAUUCUCACAAACGCAUUAGUCCCUCAACCAACUUUGUCGUCAAUACUCCAAAACCAACUAGGGGUGGAACUGGAUGCACUUACAAUCUCCCCCUUUUUGGUGAUUGAUGACAAACUGGUUGAAGUUUUCAACGGGGAUAAAGUAUGUGAAAUUGUGAAGGAUAGGGUAUUGUCUUCAUAAGUGGCAAAGGCUCCCCCUGAAGAUGUGCAUAUAAGUAAUUUGCUUUUGGAAUGCAAAUGCACAUGGCAGGUUGUACUUGUGGAGAUCCUCUUCAAUUUAUGAAGAUAAUUCAUCAUGCAUGAAAUGAUAUAACUAAGAGAGUGACAUGCAUAAUGAAAAAUGGACGUCUGCAGAAUGAUCUAAGUGCGGAAGUUAUCAUCGCACAUGGAAAAGCAAAUAAGUAGUAGAUGACCAUCGAGUUUAAGUGUUAUAACUCAAAGAAUGAAAUGUAUCAAAAGCAAGAGUUGUAAUCACUAGGCAAAAUAUAAAGCAACCGCCCAUAUGAACCCGCUUGAAGACUAUCAAACUCAUAUGCUUCUCCCCCUUUUGUCAGUAAUGACCAAAAAGGUUUGAAGACAUAGAGCAUCUACUCAUCCUCAUGAGGAGUAGGUGAAGCAGCUGGGUUGUCGUUGUUGUUUGGCGGCGCAGACGAACUUGGUGCAGUGUCGAUGCGUGCAGAAGUAGGGGGCGGUGAAGUAGCAUCGUCUUCAUCAUCGAUCACUUUGGCAUUCACAGUUGCCGCGGAGGAAGAAUAGUCAGCGUCUUCAAGGGAUGGAGUUCGACGUAGGACAACAUUCCAUGGAGGAGUGGAGUCAAACUUGAAUCUUUCAGUGAAGCCAUCGUCUUGAAGAUCUGCUUCAGCACUGAGCAGUGUCAAACUCUUCCAUGAUCGCCGACAGGUCUCGUGAGUGACAAAGGCAUUCUUGGUGGCAAGAUUUCGAAUGCGAUUGACGUCCACCAAGAGGCUUUGCAUCUGUCGCUUGAUCCAGAAUUGAUGCUUGUCUUGUUACUGAUGCAGUGCCAUAAGAAGUUCUCGGUCAUUUAGGACGCGAGAGCGCUUCUUAGGCCUUUGGGUAAUUGUGCUCUCAGUAGCUUCAGUUUGCGCACGAUGAGGCAAACGAGUGGUCCCAGCCAUUGGAUAGACACGAGUUACUGCUUGGACUCCUUCCAUGGGCUGAGUGAAGCUUUGGUGUUCAGCAUUUUGAAGACAAAGAGGCUUCUUGGCAGGCUCAGGGUAUAUGGCUUCAACUGACAUAUCAACCUCUAGUAGAAAGAUCAGAUGAUCGCGAGCAGAGGGCUGAUAGUUGAUAACAGAGUGUAGCUUGAUGAGGCGCAUGACCCAUGGAGCAUAGAAUUUCAGGCCAAAAAGGUCAGAUCCUGAUGCAGCCAGUUGCCGGAGGAAGAAUUCUUGUGUAUUGAAGCUGAUGCCAUUGAGGAUGUAAAAGACCAAUGUCUUCAUGGCUCCUUCAAGUUUUGCAGCUGAUGAAUGCCCUUUGAUAGGCCAUAGAGUUCACCUGAUGAUGUGAUAUAUUGUGCGAGGCAGAUACUCAAGGUCAUCAACAAAGAACUCCUUUGGGUAUUCAGUGUCAUGUGGUAGAGGCUUCAUCAUGCUCAACAUCUGGAUCAUGUUGGGCUCUGGCUUAUGGAAGAUGCUCUCCAGUGCAUUGCGGUGGAGUUGACAAUCAGGUUCAAACAGCUCUCCGGGAGUGGGUAGGCCUGUAAGCUUAAUGAUGUCAAGAGCUUUGGCUUCAUGAUGAACAUUUCCUAUCAUCCACUUGAGAACCCAUGUCUUUGUAUCCCUGUUGUAGCCGUGAAUGUGGAGGGUAGCAUAGAAUUGAAGCAAAAGUUCCUCAUUCCAAUGUUCUUUGUCUGUCACAAAGCUGAGCAGACCUGCAUCACGAAAGCAGUCAAGUGCUUCUUCUAAGCAUGGCAGUCCAGCAAUGGCUUCAGUGUCAAGGCGCAUAUGAGGGAAAAUGCGCCCUUGAUCAUACAUAACGCAGGAGUAAUAGCUUCGCUGCUGAUAGCUCCAGAAAUGAUCAGAUGAUAUUCUUGGCCUUGAGUAGGGGUUCUUUGCGCUGUCAAAGAAGGUGUUGUGGCUUUUGAAGCCAUUUGCAUUGAAGGACCCUGUAGAGGUGGCAGUACCUGGGAACCUUGGCAGCCGUGGCUUUGGUUUCUGGACCUGAGGCCUAUGCUCAAUAUGAUAAUCAAACUAAGGACCAGAGGCAUUAGGCGGAGCACUACUAGGAAAAGGCCUACUAAUGGCGCAUCGGUUUUGCCUACUAAUGGCGCACUACCGGUGCGCCAUUAGUAGCACGCCACUAGUAUUUUUUACUAAUGGCACACCACUGGUGCGCCAUUAGUAUCUGGUAUAUCAAUGGCGCACCAUGCAGUGCGCCAUUAGUUUUGCCCACAGUGCACCACUAGUCUGCUAUACUAAUGGUGCACCACAUGGUAGUGCGCCAUUAGUAACAAUUUUUUUAUUUUUUUCUUAAUCUCAGGUCACUAUUUCACAUAUGAGAUAUCCAACACAUAUAUAUAUACAACAAGCAUCCAUAUAACAAUCAUAGCCAACACACAAGUUCCAUCAUAUAUACAUACAUAGCCAACACAUAGUUCCAUCGUUAUAUAUUACAAAAGUUUCACAUUGUUCAUCCAACACCGUUAUCCAUCAAUUCACAAAAGUUUCACAUUGAUACAAAAUAAAAACACAAAUGUAAAAGAAGCACCCCAUCCAUGCAAGCUUCCGUGAAUUAAAUCAAAUCUGCAAAAUGAUAAACAAGAAGUUAGAAGAAGAAGAAGAAGAAGAAGACUAGAAGAAUACUAGAAGAAGAAGAACACUAGAAGAAGAAUAAGAAGAAUUUUUGAAAAGAAGAAGAAUAAGAAGAAGACUAUAAGCUUAUUAUGUAAACUUGAUCAUUUUGUGCUAACAUAAGUAAUUUUGGAGCUAACCUAUAGGAAACUAAGCAUAUAAGCUCUAAGUUAGCAUAUUAGAGCCAACUUAGGUAAAAUGAAGCUAACCUAUGUCAUUUUGGAAAAGAAGAAGAAUAAGAAGAAGACUAUAAGCUUAUUAUGUAAACUUGAUCAUUUUGUGCUACCAUANNNNNNNNNNNNNNNNNNNNNNNNNNNNNNNNNNNNNNNNNNNNNNNNNNNNNNNNNNNNNNNNNNNNNNNNNNNNNNNNNNNNNNNNNNNNNNNNNNNNNNNNNNNNNNNNNNNNNNNNNNNNNNNNNNNNNNNNNNNNNNNNNNNNNNNNNNNNNNNNNNNNNNNNNNNNNNNNNNNNNNNNNNNNNNNNNNNNNNNNNNNNNNNNNNNNNNNNNNNNNNNNNNNNNNNNNNNNNNNNNNNNNNNNNNNNNNNNNNNNNNNNNNNNNNNNNNNNNNNNNNNNNNNNNNNNNNNNNNNNNNNNNNNNNNNNNNNNNNNNNNNNNNNNNNNNNNNNNNNNNNNNNNNNNNNNNNNNNNNNNNNNNNNNNNNNNNNNNNNNNNNNNNNNNNNNNNNNNNNNNNNNNNNNNNNNNNNNNNNNNNNNNNNNNNNNNNNNNNNNNNNNNNNNNNNNNNNNNNNNNNNNNNNNNNNNNNNNNNNNNNNNNNNNNNNNNNNNNNNNNNNNNNNNNNNNNNNNNNNNNNNNNNNNNNNNNNNNNNNNNNNNNNNNNNNNNNNNNNNNNNNNNNNNNNUAUAUAUAUAUAUAUAUAUAUAUAUAUAUAUAUAUAUAUAUCAUUUUGGAGAUCUGACAUACCUGAAAAAGUUCAGUUCUCAUGCAUUGUUCUUCUCCUUCUCCUUCCUCAGCCUGAUGCGCCAAGAGCGGCGAGGCGGUGGAGGCAGUGGAGGCAGUGGGAUGUAGUCUUCUACCACAAUUGGCGUGGUCAUGUCGCCCAGCUGUGGGAUCACCGGCGCCACCACCGGUGCGUGGUCAUUGUCAGGCACCACCACCAUCGCGAGGCCACCUUCAGGCACGACCAUCGCUAGGUCAUCCUCAGCCACCUCCAUCUCUUGCCCAUGGUCAGCCGCCACCAUCUCUUGCCCAUGGUCGGCCACCACCAUCUCUUGCCCUUGGUCAGCCACCACUAGCGCUAGGUCAUCCUCAGCCUGAUGCCCAUCGUCAUCCUGCAGCUCCUCAUCCCCACUCAGCUCCUCUUCUCCCGCACUCCAGUCCGGAUCAUCCUUCUUGUUGUCUAUGCUGCUGCCAAAAUCGCUGCUACUUUCGCUACAGCCAGAAUCGCUGCUGCUUUCGCUACAGCCAUAGUCGCUGCUGCUUUGGCUGUAGCCAGUGUCGCUGCUACUGCUCCCAUUACCUGUCCAAAUGCAACAAUGACCGUUAACAAUCGAUGUGAGACAAAGCCAAAUGUAGAGGAAUAAGAAGAGGCAGAACGUACUGGCAUCAUCAUCGUCAGCAUAGCGCAUGCGACACAUAGUCGCGUUGAACACCUUCACGAUGAGCAUGGUGGUGGCGUCGUCAUACCUGAAGAGAAGGAAGUACCCCAGCCGCGGGUCGUAGGCACUGUAGAACUUCUCCCACCCACGAGACAAGUACAUGUGGCCCCCCUUGAUCACCAACUCCACAUCCCACUGCCUGCGAAACCCGCUGUCGGCCUGUCGCAGCUUCACAUUAUUUGGCGGAUCUUCAUCCAUCAGCAUGUUCAUAAAACUAUCAGGCAGUCUCUGCAGUUUGGGACAAUGAGUGAUGUAGAAAACAACAGAUAUCAUAAUGAGAUGGGCGAAGGGGAGAUCUCUCGUUUUAUAUACCUGUGUCAUGGAUGAUACUGAAGUCUCAAGUAUGAUAGUGAAGAACUCGGAAGCAUCUAACUCGUACUGCAGUGUCGCAGAGCGGCGGUGGCUGCUUCCUGCCAUCUUUGAUAAGCAGUAGAAGAGACCAAUUAGUACCCUUACAACAAAUCAUAAAACAUGCAUUAGUCGCAAGUACCCCAUAUGUCCUAUUUUUAGCAAAGUCAUGCUAAAAUUCACGGAAAAUUUUAGCAUGACCUUUUGCUGAAAAUAGGACAUAUGGAGUGCCCGAAUUUGCCAGAACGGAAGUUAAUCAACAUUUCGGCAAACUCAAGGGCCUCUCGGCAAACUCAAGUUAAUCGACAUCACAAUAAAGCAACACCCUGCACUAGCCUAAAAACAAGUGAAGUUUCACCCAUAUAAGAACAACUUUAUAAAAUCAGAGAAGUUGCUAAAUUUUUUGUAUCCUUCAUACACACUGGAGUACAAUGCUUUAUAAUGUUCCAUCAUCAUUACAUAAAUCCAAGACCAUGUGUUCCAUCAUCAUCAUCAUUACAAAAAUCCAAGAAACAUCAUGCUUUUUAACAGUUUUCAGUUUGGACAGAAUACUGAAAACUACAGUUUGGACAGAAUUCCUAACACUUUGGUCUUCUAGUUACAAAACAAAACUGACAUAAUUACAUAAAAAGUAUCCCAGGUUUCCAUCUUAAUAUAACAAUAUAACACCAUCUUAAUAUAUGAACCCAGCUGAUUUCUCUGAAUUUACGGCAGCAACCACCAACAGACAGAAAACAGUAAUAUGAUCUACAUCAUCUAGAUGAUGAACCAAAUCAUAGCUCCUGACUAAACUUAAAAUCAGCACUAUCUCUAUAAGCAAUGGUUAGUGGUUAAUACAUUCAGCAACAAGUACAUGCAAAAUUGCACUAUGUCCACUAUACUUGCCAUGCUCGAUUUUGGAAGCAGUGAUGGUAGAAUGUCCAGUUUUCAACUUAAAAAGCAACACGCCAGAAAGUAGUUUAGGUGUGUACCCCAUAUGGAACACCUAAACAGAAGUCUACCGUAAAGUUCUGAACAGAUAUAAGAUCAUGAUGCAAUUGGCAGUGCAUCAACUAGACGAGAAGCAAGUCAAAGCUUCUUAUUGGAGUUCAAAAUAAGAUCAAAAUAAGAAGUGAAUUCCAGGUUAGUUGUCAUUUUCCUUUACACUGGUAGACUUGCAUCCAGAGUUUUCUUACAUUAUAUUCACAUUCACAUUUUCCAAACAGUAAAUCAAGUACAGUAAACUAAUCAACCAGUCCUAAGCUUCAAGUAUUUAGCAGUCCUACAGGCUACAGUUAAAUGGCACGAAACUGUAUAUGGACAAUUCUGUGAAGUACAAACAUUCAGAUUUAUAUGUUGCCACUAUCUGAAGCCAGCACAAAGGAGCCAACGGAUCCUAUGCUUCAGAUGAUAGAUACUGCAGUGCAGAGCCAAAAUCCUCUUCGGUUUCAGUGUGGCAUCUAUGGCCUGAGGAAGCCGUGGUUGAUGAAUUCUUGUAACGACAACCGGAGGGGAGGGAGGAUAGGGAAUGGGGAAGGGUGGAGAGGGAGGAAGGAGGAAGGAGGAAGGAGGAGAGGUACCUGGUCGCCGGAGGGGUCGGGAUCCCUAGGGCUCGGGGCCGGCACAAGACCACGCCAGAUCCCUAGAGGCGGUCGUCGUCUCCUCCUCCUCCUCGUCCUCCUCCUGGUCCUCCUCCUUCGGCUCGGGGCGCNNNNNNNNNNNNNNNNNNNNNNNNNNNNNNNNNNNNNNNNNNNNNNNNNNNNNNNNNNNNNNNNNNNNNNNNNNNNNNNNNNNNNNNNNNNNNNNNNNNNNNNNNNNNNNNNNNNNNNNNNNNNNNNNNNNNNNNNNNNNNNNNNNNNNNNNNNNNNNNNNNNNNNNNNNNNNNNNNNNNNNNNNNNNNNNNNNNNNNNNNNNNNNNNNNNNNNNNNNNNNNNNNNNNNNNNNNNNNNNNNNNNNNNNNNNNNNNNNNNNNCGGUGGGGGUGGAUUCCGGCGGGGGUCGGGGCGGCGGCGGCAGGGGACGGAGGGGACGGAUAGGGCGUGCAGGCGCGGCGGCAGCGUACGGCAAAUUAGGUCGAGUGGGGAGGAAGGGAGGGAGGGGAAUAUGUGGAGUGGGGGGAAGCUUACUAAUGGCACACCCCGCAGAGGUGCGCCAUUAGAAUGUUUUUUUAUUACAGUUCGAGCACUCAGCAGGUUAUAUUCCACCUAACCCAAUCCACACCAGAACCCGCCCACUAGCCCGACUGGUCAACAUGCAACACACACACCAGGAGGUCCUGGGUUCAAUUCCCAGGCUCCCCAAUAUUUUUUAUGCAUUUUAAAUGUUGUUUGAUAUUUAUUUGUGUUUAAAUAUGUUCAAACUUGUUUAAAUCAUAACAGUAAUAUUUUUUUAUAAAAAUAGAAAUAAUUUUUUUAAAAAUAUGUUCAAAUUUGUUAUUUGAAAAUAUUUAUGAAUAUGAAAAAGGUGGAGUGGAGGGUGCGGUGGCGAUGAUGGNNNNNNNNNNNNNNNNNNNNNNNNNNNNNNNNNNNNNNNNNNNNNNNNNNNNNNNNNNNNNNNNNNNNNNNNNNNNNNNNNNNNNNNNNNNNNNNNNNNNNNNNNNNNNNNNNNNNNNNNNNNNNNNNNNNNNNNNNNNNNNNNNNNNNNNNNNNNNNNNNNNNNNNNNNNNNNNNNNNNNNNNNNNNNNNNNNNNNNNNNNNNNNNNNNNNNNNNNNNNNNNNNNNNNNNNNNNNNNNNNNNNNNNNNNNNNNNNNNNNNNNNNNNNNNNNNNNNNNNNNNNNNNNNNNNNNNNNNNNNNNNNNNNNNNNNNNNNNNNNNNNNNNNNNNNNNNNNNNNNNNNNNNNNNNNNNNNNNNNNNNNNNNNNNNNNNNNNNNNNNNNNNNNNNNNNNNNNNNNNNNNNNNNNNNNNNNNNNNNNNNNNNNNNNNNNNNNNNNNNNNNNNNNNNNNNNNNNNNNNNNNNNNNNNNNNNNNNNNNNNNNNNNNNNNNNNNNNNNNNNNNNNNNNNNNNNNNNNNNNNNNNNNNNNNNNNNNNNNNNNNNNNNUUUGUUAUUCGAAAAUAUUUAUGAAUAUGAAAAAGGUGGAGUGGAGGGUGCGGUGGCGAUGAUGGAGUGGGGGAGGGUGCGGGCCGGGGGUCGGCGGCGGCGGCCGGUGGAGCGGGGGAGGGUGCGGUUGAUCGUCGGCGGCCGUGGAGAGGGGGAGGGUGCGGUUGAUCGUCGGCGGCGAGGGGGACGUCGAUGUCCCAUGAACACGGUUUUCGAAGACCCGGGAUCUCUAUCUAGCUGGCGAUACAUUGUGUCAUCCAUGCACCUUAUGCAUCGAGAAAAUCCGUGGACUACCUGCCCCGCGAGAUAUCCGUAACCGAGAUAGUCGUGUAGUAGUGCAAAAUAUAUAUAUAUAUUAAUGGCGCACCGCAUAGUAGUGCGCCAUUACUAGUUUAAACUAGUAAUGACGCAUUGUGACACGAUGCGCCAUUAGUAGUUUUGCAAAAAAAAGAAUAAAAAAAUACAGUACUGGCGCACUCCUUGUCUGGUGCGCCAUUACUAGUUAGAACUAGUAAUGGUGCACUUCGGUCGGAUGCGCCAUUAGUAUGUAUGUAAAAAUGAAAAAAACAAUUAUCACUAGUGGCGCACCUUUUGUCUGGUGCGCCAUUAGUGUCUUCCACACUAAUGGCGCAUCACCAACUAGUGCGCUAUUAGUAUAUAGUAGUGGCGCACUACAUCCCUGGUGCGCCAUUAGUGUCUAUCCUAUCUAUAGCCCUUUUCCUAGUAGUGGAGGGACCAGAACGGGCCAUUUGACAGUGAUUAGCUGGCCAUGGUUGUAUGCUUGCUCAAUUGUAUGGCGCCUUGGUGGCGGAACAGGAGCAGUGGUAACAAGAGAGGCUUCAUGCUGCACAACAGAAGCUUCAGGAGCAGUUGCAGCAUUGGCUUCUGGCAUAUUGGUUGGUGCAGGCUCCACACUUGCUUCAGCCAUGACUACGUCAUUGGCUUCAUUUGUGUUGGUGGUGGCAGCCUCAAGAUUUUCAACCUCCACUUGAUGAGCUGGAGGGUCUGGCACUGGCACGUUUACUUCAGGAACAACUUCUUCAGUAAUGGGGGGAGUAGGGACACGUUCUUCUUCUUGUUCGUCAUCGGCUGAUGCAGCUGGAUUGUCUUCAGCAGCUUUGGCUGCAGACAUGGAGACAUUCACAGUCGGAGUGGCUUCUGGAAACAAUUGACGUGCAACAGAUUGGUGGUGCACUUCUCCUUCUGGAACGCUCGAAAGAGGGACUUGAGGCCUUGGUCCUUUGCAAAGCCUGUGUAAUAUGGGCGACACCUUUGGAGAUGGAGUUGGCUGGGCCUCAUCCUCUCUUUCUUGCACACAUGGUGUGACUUGUUGUUGUUGGGGAGUACUCGGGGAGUCUUGUUGUUGUGGGUGAUCAGCCCAUGAUGCAUCCUGAGCAAUUGGCGUCAGAGGACGACCAAUGCUGAUGAGUUCGAUGUUCGUGAGAACAGGCAAUGAUACCAAGUUGUGUUCGAUUUGAGGAAGAACUUCACCAUCUUCAACAUUGUCAUGGUGACCAAUGUCUUCAGCAGCGAUGGGACCAACUGCUGGAAUGUCUUCAGCUUCAUAAGCCUUUGUGGAAGCAGGCUCAUGAACAAUCAUCCGUCGUUCUUGGUGUUCAGAUGCAGGGCGAACCAUUGAGAUAGGUUCAACAACUAAGGGCUCUGUGGGAGCAGCCCGAUUCUGCUUGGUUUUGUGUUGCUUCUUGGAGGGAGCAACAUCAGAGGCUUCUGUAUUUUUCCUUUUUCUGGCUUCAGCCUCGUCAGCCCUUGUCUUCUUCAGUACUGAAGCGGUUGACAUGACCUUUGGCUUCGAGCCAGUCAUGCUGCUUGGGAAGACUAUGCGAGGUUCAUCCUGCCUUGAAGGUGCAGAUUGGUCAGUUGAUAGCUUCUUCUUCUUUGUAGCCAUUUUGGGGUCAAUGCAGGACGACCAAGAGCCUUGCGCUUCUCAGCCUCAUUGUAGGCUAGCACACACUUGUCAGCCAGACUCUUCAUGCGCUCAUGAGAGCCUCUAGCUUCUUCGCGCUUCUUGUGAAAAGCUUCUUUGAGCUCGUGCAGCAUGAUCUUGAAGUUUUUGACAUCUUGCACGCUGAGCUUGGCCACAUGCUUCUUGAACUGAGCUUUCUCAUAGUCGAUCUUGUGCUUCAGUUCAAUGAUGCGCUGAGCAAGAGCUAGCUCAAAAGCAAUGGCGCCAUUGAAGGUGACGCUGAGGCCAAUGGGAAGUCGCAGAUCAUCAAAGCUGAGAUUUGAGGUGUCAAACCACCCAUCAAUGAAGUUAUGGAUGAUUGCCACAUCAAAGAGAGGCAAAUCAUUGAAGAUCUCUGCUUCUUCCUUGCUCUUGAUCAGUUGCUCAAGAACAUCAUCUGCAAGAUCUUCAUCGCUGGACAGAUCAAUGUGCUCUUCUCGCAGAAUGGCAGCAGGAGUCAAUGUCUGAUCAGUAUUCUUGACGAUUUUCUUUUUCUUCUCCGUCUUCUUGGAGAUGCGUGAUAGAUCUUUAGACUGCACACUGUCUUCAGGAGGUGCAGUGACCAGUGGCUUCGCACGUGAAGCUUUUGGAGGAGCAGUUGAUCAUGAAGCCUUAGUCUUCUUUAGCUUCUGCGGCUUUGGAGGAGGAGCUGGGGCUUCAUCAGUGUCAGCAUCAUUAUCAGAAUGAUCCACUUUGGCACCUUGGACCAAGAUGUAAGUGAUGAGGCCAUCAAGGUUUGAAAAGGGGCUGAUGACAUUUGGUUCUGCAUCACGUGAGCCGUCAGCACGGGGAGCAGAGGGACCAGGGUUGAAGUCUAAUCCCAAUGACUUCUUGUUUUCCUUGGUCGAUGCCUUUGCAUGCUGGAAGUUACGCUUGAAGAGAUUAUCGUCACGACGCCAGAGGAAUGAUGAUGGGUCGGCAUUUUCAGGCUGAGGUCCACGGACCAUAAAAGGAUAGAAACCCUGUGCAAUAGCUUCAGCUCUGUUCUUGGGUGGAAGGCCUCGAUAGAGAAUAUCACCCCAAGGACUUUUGAUAGCAUUCUUCUUAGCGUAUUUCUGGGUCACGAACUUGUAUUUGAACCAUUGUUCAGCCCAAUAUCAUCGAAUCCAUUGGAUUCGUGUCUUGCGCUGAUUAUAAUCCUCUUCAGGAUCUGUCUUGUAAAGGUCUGCGAGGUCAUCAGGCAAAUCUUUUGAUGUUCCCCCUCGACGCUGUCUGCCACCCUUCCUUACUGAUUUCUAUGCAGCCAUGAACUUCAAACUGAAUGGCUUCAAUACGUUCAAAGGCUUCAAAGGCUUUCGCUUGCUGGGCAAACAGGAACUGGCUUCGGGAGAGUUAAUGUGUUGCUGUAAGAAUUCUGCAAACGAAUGUAGACUAUGAGAACCAAGGGAUUCUCCCACGGACAUGUACCUGUGACAGCAUUGGAGAUGCGAGGGAAGGGGAGGAGGUCAUAUGCAUUCUCAGAAGAUUUUGAAGAUAAAUCAGUUUGAAGACAUUGACCUCAUGUUGCAAAGACAUUCACUUAUAUGUUGAGAGUUGGUUCUAGAUUUGUACGAAUCCGUGAAUAAGUACAAGUGAGGAAUCUAACUAGAUAUGAAGCUUAAGUGAAUAUACUAGGUAGUAUGAGAUGUAGACAUAAUAGAUCUAACAUUGUAUAGGCAGAAACCAAUUUUGGUAAAUAGGAUGAAUCAUUGAGGAUCAAAAAUGUGGUAAAAAUAGAGUUGUAUUUACCACACGAAGAGCUGCUAGAUGGGAUGAAUAGGAGACCGAGCAGUUCAAUCCACCGUGCCCUAACUUGGCGACGGAGGACACCUACGGCGGCGGCGGAGAGGACGAUGUCCGCGGCCGGCGUGAGGACGGCGUUGGAGAAGUCAUGGAAGCUAAGCGCUUCGUCGCCGGUGUCGUCGAGAGCUAGCGGUGGCGCUAGGGUUUUGACGAGGUGGAGAGGUGGAAGAAGGUUUUCUUUACCGCAGGGGACAUGUAUUUAUAAGGAAGUGUGCGGCAUAGCGCAAUUACUCAGGUGCCCCUGGCAGUUCACAUCCGAGGGGCACUUGGCAAGCAUGCAACAUACUUAGAGUUGUCCCAUGUUCCCACGCCCGCCAGGUUUGUCGGAUGGUUGUUCCGGCUUCUCCGGAUUUCAAACAAUAAGGAUGAAUCAUUUAAAACAGACUUAAUGUUUGUCUCUGUGUCUUCUGUUGACAAGGAUGCAGAGAAGACAUUCGACAGUUUCAAUAGAAUGCAUAUGAUUUGGACAGAUAGAGUUUGAGAUAGAAAGCAUAGAGAGAUUAGGGUCCGAUCACAUUCACUUAGUUCAAAAGAUUCAACAAGGAAGACAUAGCUAUAAGUGAAUGCUGUAGAGGACAGAACACUAGUAUACAUAUCAGAAAGCAAUCAAAUCAACAUAGUGAAGUAAAUCAUGAAGAUAAGUUGAAAUUUGAAGACAAACUGAAUGCAAAGACAUUGCAAAAAUAACGCCAUGAGUGAAACACUUCAAACCAAGAAAUUUGGUGGUGGCGUUACCCACCGUAUAGGAAGUAUUAGACCCAGACGCGGCGCACAAUUAUCAUGGCGCUCCGAAGUCAAAUUCCACGUUAAUGUAUUCACACUCAGAAUGUAAGUCUUCACUGAUUGAAGAUAUACUUUACUUCGUGUGUUGCACAUCUAAGUCAUCAACAUGCAUAAGUGUUAGGAUGUGUGCCUGAUCACAGAACAUUUGAGGAUUCCAAGAUAUUUAGCUCACACCGUAACUUGCAAAACCUUUUCUCGUCCAAGGGCUUUGUGAAGAUAUCUGCCAGUUGCUCUUCAGUGUUGACGUGAAUGAUGUCAAUAUCUUUCUUCAUGACAUGAUCUCUGAGAAAGUGAUGAUGAAUUUCAAUGUGCUUUGUCUUCGAGUGCUGGACUGGAUUGUUGGCAAUCUUGAUGGCGCUUUCGUUGUCGCAGAAGAGAGGUGCUUGUUUCAGAUUGAUGCCAUAGUCCUUGAGAGUUUGCUUCAUCCAUAGAAGCUGAGCGCAGCAAGAUCCAGCAGCAAUGUAUUCAUAUUCAGCAGUUGAGAGUGAUACACAGUUUUGCUUCUUUGAAGACCAAGAGACAAGUGAUCGUCCCAGAAAGUGACAUGUGCCUGAUGUAGACUUGCGAUCCACCUUGUCACCAGCAUAAUUAGCAUCCGAGAAUCCAACCAGAUCAAAUUUUGAGCCCUUUGGAUACCAUAAUCCGAGUGUUGGGGUGUAAGCCAAAUAUUGAAGAAUUCGCUUCACAGCUAAGUGAUGCGAUUCCUUUGGUGCCGCUUGGAAUCGAGCACACAUCCAAACACUAAGCAUAAUAUCUGGCCUAGAUGCACAUAGGUAAAGUAAAGAACCAAUCAUGCAGCGGUAUACCUUUUGAUCGAACUCUUUACCAUUGUUGUCGGGACCUAGAUGGUGUUUGGCUGGCAUUGGCGUCGUGUAACCUUUGCAAUCUUGCAUUCCAAACUUCUUCAGACAGUCUUUGAGAUAUUUUUCUUGAGAUAUGAAGAUGCCAUUCCUUUGCUGACGAAUUUGAAGACCAAGGAAGAACUUCAGCUCACCCAUCAUGGACAUCUGAUAUUGCUCUUGCAUCAUGUAUCCAAACUCAUCACUAUACUUCUGGUUGGUGCAGCUGAAGAUAAUGUCAUCCACAUAUAUUUGGCACACAAACAGUUCACCAUCAUAUGUCUUCGUGAAGAGUGUGGGAUCGAGGGAUCCAGGUUUCAAGCCUUUGCUCUUCAGGAAGUCUUUGAUCGUAUCAUACCAGGCGCGAGGAGCUUGUUUGAGGCCGUACAAUGCUUUUUUUAGCUUGUACACCAUAUCAGGAUGUUUUGGAUCUUCAAAGCCAGGUGGUUGAGCAACGUACACUUCUUCUUCAAUCUUGGCGUUGAGGAAUGCACUCUUCACAUCCAUUUGAUAUAGUAAGAUGUUGUGGUGGUUAGAAUAGGCUACCAGUAUGCGAAUAGCUUCAAGCCUAGCCACAGAAGCAAAUGUUUCAUCAAAGUCAAUUCCUUCAACUUGAGUAUAUCCUUGAGCCACAAGACGUGCUUUGUUUCUGACGACUUGACCAUGCUCAUCUUGCUUGUUUCGAUAUAUCCAUUUUGUGCCAAUAAUGUUAUGCUUGCGAGGGUCAGGACGCUUGACUAGUUCCCAAACAUUGUUCAGCUUGAAUUGUUGAAGUUCUUCUUGCAUAGCUUGAAUCCAUUCAGGUUCCAUAAAGGCUUCAACAACUUUCUUGGGUUCUGAUAUUGACACAAACGAAAAGUGCCCACAGAAAUUUGCUAACUGUGUUGCUCUUGAGCGAGUAAGUGGACCAGGUGCAUUGAUGUUAUCAAUUAUCUUCUCAAUUUGUACUUCAUUUGCAACAUGAGGAUGGACUGGACAAAGACCUUGCUCUUGCUGAUCAUUGUCAUCAUUGGGAGGAUUGUCUUCGGUCUGGGCAUUGUCUUCAGGUUGGUUUGGUGCAGAAAUGAUAAGUUCCUCUUCAGGCUGUGCUUCAGAAGGCAUGAUUUCACCAGUUCCCAUCAGCUUGAUAGAUUCGCUGGGCGGAGCUUCAUCUAGUGUACUUGGCAGGAGCUCUCUUUGUGAACCAUUGGUUUCAUCAAAUCGCACGUCCACAGUUUCAACAAUUUUGUAGAGAUAGAGGUUGAAGACUCCGUAAGAGUGCGAGUCCUUUCCGUAACCGAGCAUGAAGCCUUCGUGAGCUUUAGGUGCAAAUUUUGACUUGUGAUGGGUAUCCUUGAUCCAGCACCUAGCACCAAAUACUCUGAAGUAGCUGACAUUUGGCUUCUUGCUAGUAAGGAGCUCAUAGGAUUUUUUGUUCAGAAGCUUAUGGAUGUAAACACGGUUGAUGAUGUGACAUGCUGUAUCAAUAGCUUCAGGCCAGAACUUUCUUGGUGUCUUGUACUCGUCGAGCAUUGUUCGAGCCAUCUCAAUGAGGGUUCUGUUCUUGCGCUCUACAAUGCCAUUUUGUUGAGGUGUGUAUGGAGCAGAAAACUCAUGAGUGAUUCCCAUUGUAUCCAGAUAAAGAUCAAGCCCGGUGUUCUUGAACUCAGUGCCGUUGUCGCUUCUGAUAUGCUUGAUCUUGACGCCAUAAUUGUUCAUGGCUCGAUUGGCGAAGCGUCUGAAGACAUCUUGCACUUCAACCUUGUUGAGAAUUAUGUGCACCCAUGUAUAUCUUGAGUAGUCAUCAACAAUGACGAAGCCAUAGAGACAAGCUGUUGUUGUGAGGGUAGAGUAGUGAGUAGGGCCAAAUAAGUCCAUGUGUAACAGCUCGAAGGGUUGAGAUGUCGUCAUGAUUGUCUUCAAGGGGUGCUUUGCCCUAGUCAUCUUUCCAGCUUCGCAGGCACCACACAAAUGAUCCUUCUUGAACUUGACACCCUCGAUGCCUGUGACAUGCUUCUUCUUGACGAGUGUGUGUAAGUUCCUCAUGCCAGCAUGCCCCAACCUCCGAUGCCAGAGCUAGCAUUCUGAAGCUUUUGCAAGAAGACAUACGGCAAGCUGUGGACCUGCUGAGAAAUCUACCAUGUAUAGAUCAUCUUUCCGAUACCCUUCAAAGACUAGAGACUUGUCAGAUUCCAUUAGUACAAGGCAACGAUAUUUUCCGAAUAGCACAAUCAUGUUUAAGUCACAAAGCAUUGAUACAGACAUUAAGUUGAACCCAAGGGAUCCAACAAGCAUCACUUUAUCCAUGUGUUGAUCCUUUGAGAUUGCAACUCUACCUAGACCCAAUACCUUUCUUUUACCAGUGUCAGCAAAUGUGAUGUGACUCUUGUCUGAUGGACAUAAGGUUGAGUCCAUGAGAAGACUGCGGUCACCAGUCAUAUGAUUAGUGCAUCCGCUGUCCAUAAUCCAUUCUGAAGCAUGAGGUGUCAUACCCUACAGUGCAGUUAGGACGAUAGGCUUCACAAAGAGUGUUGUGAAGCAUAAGCAUUUGACGCACACAAGGAUUAUCACAUCUUAGAUCAAGGUUAGAACUCAUAGUAUGACUGGUAAGUGAUUCACAUGUGAAAUACAUAGUAAGACCAUUUUAUCAUCCGUCCCUUAAUGUGUUUUAGGUCCCCAGCAAUAGUAUCGGACGCCUUUGAUUGCAGGCUGGAGACCUUAUUCUGCAAAAGAAAGUUAAUUCUUCUUCACCACCCACAUCUUCAGGGGUGGCUUAGAAGCAAUGAGUCUAAGUGCAGCAUCUGAGAAUUUUGGCCUUGAAGCCCUAGCAAAUAGCCUUGCAGGAGAUGGAUGAUACUCAUAUGAAUAAGCAGAAAAGUUCUUAGGUUUAUGAACAUAGCGGUUUGAGGACACACGCUCAUAUUCAUAAGUUUGAGUACGAUUUCCCUGCAAAACAUUGGCGUUAGGGUGACUUAGGUGAGUCAUGUAUCUGUAUGAAGCCUUUGGGUCAUAUGAAGCCAUAGGUCUGGGUUUGUCUUCUUCCUUGGUGGUGUCAUGAUGACAUUCACAUGAAGAUUCUCAAUACACUGCUUAGGUACCCAGAUCUUCUUCAUAGGUGGUCAAUUCCUGCAGUUAGUACCAAUAUACCUGGCAAACACUUCACCAUUCUGAUUCUUGAACAACUUAUAGUUUGCAUCAAGGGAUUCAUCAAUGAUAAUAGGAUUAGCACAGGUAAAGCCAGAUAAGGUGGAUGGAUCCACUGAAGGUCCCUUUGCAGCAACCCAUGUGGUUUUGGGAUACUGCUCAGGCUUCCAGUAGGAACCAUCAACAUUCAUUUUCCUCUCGAACCCAACACCCUCUUUCCUAGGGUUUCGGUUCAGAAUCUGCUUUUUGAGGACAUCGCAAAGUGCCUGAUGUCCUUUCAGACUUUUAUACAUCCCUGUUUCAAACAAUGUCUUCAACCUAGCAUUUUCAUCAGCAAUAGUAGUGAUAUCCUCCGUAGAGGGGUUAGUUUCCACAUCAGUAGUUGAAGACAAUGCAACAGUAGCAGCAGUGGAACAUUCAGCAACAGAGGUAGCGUUAUCACGCUCAAUGCAUUUUAGACAAGGUGGUUCAAAUCCAUCCUGAGCGGAACUGAUCUGUUGAGCGCGAAGUGACUCAUUCUCCUUUUGAAGAUCUUCAUGAGCCGCUUUCAAUUUCUCAAGCUCUUGCUUCCUUUGAAGAUAAUCAUAGGAGAGCUUUUCAUAAGUGGUUGAGAGCGUCUCUUUAAGACUUUCAAGUUCUUGGUACUUAGCAUGAAGAUUUUUUAUGUCUUCAACUAAGGACUGUGAACGUGUCAUUUCCGCGUCCAACAGGUCAUCGCUUUUGUCUAACAGUUUUUGAGUAUGUUCCAUAGCUUUUUGUUGUUCAGUUGCAAUUUUAGCAAGUGUUUUGUAGCUGGGUUUGGAUUCACAAUCAGAGUUAUCUUCACUUGAUGUUUGAAAGUAAGCAUCACGUGAUUUUACCUUGGCACCACGUGCCAUGAAGCAGUAGGUGGGAGCAGGAUUGUCCUUGUCAUCAGCUUCAGCGUUGGUGUGGAAGUCAUUGUCUUCAGUGUUGAAGAUGGACUUGGCAACAUAAGCUGUGGCUAGAGCCAAACUUGCAACGCCAGGGUCAGACUCCUCUUCAGAUUCCACCUCCGCCUCCUCAGAAGCAGACUCCUCCUCUGAAUCCAUUUCCUUGCCAACAAAAGCACGAGCCUUGCCAGAUGAGCUCUUCUUAUGAGAUGAAGACCUUGAUGAGGACUUGGAAGAAGACUUUGAAGAUUUCUUCUUCUUGUUGUCAUCAGAAUCAUAUUCCUUGCUCUUCUUCUUCUUCUUCUCAUUGUCCCACUGUGGACACUCAGAGAUAUAGUGUCCAGGUUUCUUGCACUUGUGACAUGUUCUCUUCUUGUUGCCAUGAGUGGAAGCUUCAUCAUUUCUUGAGCUAGAUCGUGAAGACUUUCUGAAGCCCUUCUUCUUGGUGAACUUCUGGAACUUCUUCACAAGCAUAGCAAGUUCCUUUCCAAUGUCUUCAGGAUCAUCAGAACCGCUGUCCGAUUCUUCUUCAGAUGAGGAAACAACUUUUGCCUUCAAAGCACGAGUUCGGCCAUAGUUGGGACCAUAGAUAUCUCUUUUCUCAGAAAGAUGGAACGCAUGUGUGUUGAGCCUCUCAAGUAUAUCAGACGGAUCGAGUGUCUUGAAGUCAGGGCGUUCUUGUAUCAUGAGGGCAAGGGUGUCAAAGGAGCUGUCAAGUGAUCUCAGUAGUGUCUUGACGAUUUCAUGCUUGGUAAUCUCAGUGGCGCCGAGAGCCUGAAGCUCAUUUGUGAUGUCGGUGAGGCGAUCAAAUGUGAUAUGGACAUUUUCAUUGUCGUUUCUCUUGAAGCGGUUGAAGAGGUUGCGAAGAACACUGAUCCUUUGAUCUCUCUGAGUUGAGACGCCUUCGUUGACCUUGGAUAGCCAGUUCCAGACUAGCUUUGACAUUUCCAGAGCACUCACACGGCCAUACUGUCCUUUGGUUAGAUGACCACAGAUGAUGUUCUUUGCAGUAGAGUCCAGUUGAAUGAACUUCUUGACAUCAGUAGGGGUGACACCUUCACCAGUUUUGGGAACGCCGUUCUUGACGACAUACCAGAGGUCGACAUCAAUGGCUUCAAGAUGCAUGCACAUCUUAUUCUUCCAGUAGGGAUAUUCAGUUCCAUCGAACACGGGGCAAGCAGCGGAGACUUUGAUUAUCCCUGCAGUCGACAUAGCUAAACUCCAGGUGGUUAAACCGAAUCACACAUAACAAGAGAGUACCUUGCUCUGAUACCAAUUGAAAGUGCUAGUUAUCGACUAGAGGGGGGGGGGUGAAUAGGCGAUUUUUAUCAAAGUCUUCAAAACGUGGAAGUUUUGAAGACAAACAAUAGAAAUGACCUAAUUGAUAUGCAGCAGAAGAUAAACUACAACAAGCAAACCAUAGUCAAGUAUGCAAUAAUGUGAAAGUACAAAGACUAAUAGCAGCUUGGUAGUAAGGAUCAGGAUGGAAGAUAGUAUGAAGCCAACCAACGAUAGUAGUCAAGCAAUGAAUUCAAACAGGUACGACAAAUAGGCAAUGACUUCACGAAGACAAACUCAAAGUAAAGGGAGGGAGAGGAUAGCACCAGUCACUUGUUGAAGACACAUGAUUUGUUGGACCAGUUCCAGUUGCUGUGACAACUGUACGUCUGGUUAGGGAGGCUGAGAUUCAACUCAGAAGACCGUGUCUUCACCUUAUUCCCCUUGAGCUAAGGACACACAGUCCUCGCCCAAUCACUCUGGUAAGUCUUCAAGGUAGACUUCCGAACCUUCACAGACUUCGUUCACCGGCGAUCCACAAUGACUCUUGGAUGCUCAGAACGCAACACCUAACUGGCUGGAGGAUACACAGUCCUCAAGUGUAAUAAGUCUUCAUGUCACUCAGACAGAAAGACUUUAGUGAUGCCUAACACUCUUUGGCUCUGGGUGUUUGGGCUUUGUCCUCGCAAGGAUUUCUCUCUCUCAAAGGCUUCGAGGUGGGUUGCUCUCAAACGACAAAAGCCGUGAACUAACUCUGAGCAGCCACCAAUUUAUGGCGUUGGGGGUGGGCUAUUUAUAGCCACAAGGCAACCCAACCUGAUAUGUCCGAAAUGACCCUGGGUCACUAAGGAACUGACACGUGUUCCAACGGUCAGAUUUCAAACACACACGGCAACUUUACUUGGGCUACAAGCAAAGCUGACUCAUCCAACUCUGGAUAAGAUUUGCUCUCAUUGUCUUCGCUCGAAGACAUAGGAUUUGGGUUGAGCAUCACUUCAGUCAUUCUGACUUUGUUCACUUGGACCCCACUUAACAGUACAGUGGUUCCUAUGACUCAACAAAGAAGAAAAGGAAACAACGAAACAACACAGUCUGCGGAUGAUAUUAGGGUCCCACUUCAGAUUAACAUUGUCUGUCUUGUCCUGCUUCAACCUCAUCGCCGUACACCUUAGCGGAGCUGCUCCAACGACGGAACCGUCCAUCACAGCGGAGCAGUACCCUCGGCGUUGUUUCCAGAGGCCUCGGAUCUUCUUCCUUGCCUCUGAUAGUCACACCAGCAUCAUCACCAUCCUCCAUGUCCAACCCAAUGAUGCUGAGGUCCACAAGGCUAUGCCAAAGAGGUUGUACACUCGUAGCAUCACUGUGUUACUCUGCAUUCAUGUCGAUCCCUCAGGUAUCCUUUUCUAUGGAACUACUAUUCAUGCAAAUUUGUUAGAAGGAGUGGAGCAAAGCAAAACUGGAGGAUUUUUUCCUUUGGUGUCUCUUUCGAAGAAAAAACGUAGGAAUUUUAUUCACUUGGACAUCCUUUUCAAAUUAAUUUGCACGAAGAACAGAACUAAUUGCAUUACUAGCAUAAUAAGAUUCUUAGUUUUUUCAUUUUCAUGUGGUUUGAUUUUAAUUUGACCACGUUUCUACAUUUCUAUGUUCUUCCAAUUCAUGUGAGCCAAACACCCAGGUUAGCUGAAAUCCUAUGUUUCCAAAUGCUCUGUUUUGCAUGUGCAUUCCUAUCCUAUUCCUGUGUUUUUCCUGUCACUGCGUUUAUAGAAUCCUCCAAUUCUAAGGAGCCCUUAUAGAUUUACUUCAUUUUCAGAUAAUUGUCAAAGAAAACUUUGUGUGCUAUGUCGUGCUCCUGCCGUGCCGUCAUCCACCCCACCUGAGGUGCACCAUCGACAGAAGCGUUCACUGUAGCAGAGAUCCCACCUGCAGACUUUCUUUCGCCACCUCAGAUCAUCUUCCCCAUUGCCGGCAGCCAUGCCAACUACAUUACCAUCAUCGACUGAGCAGAUGAACCUGAGGACUACACAGUUCCGGAAGAGAGGUCGCAGUAUUUCGUGUUUGCUUACGUUAUACAUCGGUUAUUUUUACCUGCUACUUUAUCGUUCAAAUUUGAGUUUUGAAUUUCCCAUGGAUCUCAUAUCGAGCCAGCAACGAAUAGUAUCUGUCUACUAUCUGGUUCAUUUGGGGUCUUCUAUGUGGUUCAUGUUGGAUGGGCAACAAACAAUAGAUGAUCCAUUGUCUAUCUUUUUAAACUGAAGCUAUAAUCUACCUGCUAUCAUUAGUUUUGGAUCCAUCCACUCGUUUGCUACCAUCAGUCUUGAUUUUUGCAUGCACCCCUUAGGCCUUACAAAAUCUAACUAUUUUUAUUAUGCAUGUCAGAUAUUGUACACAAUCGUACUGAACAUGUAGAGAAAAAGAGAAGAACGUUGCGUGGGAAUAUAAUGUCGUGCAGACGCCGCUCCAUGGUGGGCGAAGUGCCCCCCCCCCCUCCUGCAUUUCCAGAUUGUAUUCCAUAGGAAGAUAACUAUUCAGAUGGAGAUUCAGAAGAAGCCGACCACGCCUGUUUACCACCUGAGGUGUUUGCUCUAACCUGGCAUGCUGAUGUUGGUCAUAUCAUGCAUAUGGUGCCUUGCAUUUCUUACAUUAUACAUCUUAUAUGUCAUCAGCUUAGUUUAGAUUUGCUUUGUGUGAAUGCCACCUAUUUGGUUUCUAUAUCAUACUCCCACCAUUCCUAAAUAUUCCAACAAGUGACUACAUACGGAACAAAAUGAGUGAAUCUACACUCUAAAAUAUGUCUAUAUACAUCCGUAUGUGGUAGUCCAUUUGAAAUCUCUAAAAAGACAAAUAUUUAGGAACGAAUGGAGUAUAUGGGAAUUAUGCAAUGCCAUCUUCUUUAGCCAGGCAUCAUAUACGUGAAUCAUGCAAUGCCAUCCUGUUUAGCCAGUCAUCAUAUAUGUGAAUUGUAUCGUGCCAUAUUUUUUUCCAUCAUGUAUUCCAUUUGUCAACAAUGUUUAUACAUUCAUCUACUCUUCCUGUGCAUCAGCCAUUUGAGUCGGUCAUGGGAAAAUCUGGAGUGAAAACAAGGUCUUCUGAGCAGUCAGUGCUACCUGUCGAUGCAGAUUUCUUGCUCGUUACAGAUAGCUCCUCAGAGGAGGAUCCAGAGACAAAUGACCAGUCGUAUCCCCCCCCCCCCCGAGGUGCAUGCUCUAACUUGGCUGGGUUAUAUUGCUCAUAUCAUGCAUAUGGUGUUUUGCAUUGCCAUGCCAUCUGCUUAGAUUAGACAUGAUUUGUGUGAAUGCCUCCUGUUUGCUUUCUAUAUCAGAUAUGUGAAUUAUGCAAUGCCAUGUUUUUCAGCCAGUUAUCAUAUAUGUGAAUUAUGCACCGCCAUGGAGCCAGGCAUCAUAUAUGUGAAUUAUCUCAUGCCAUCUUUUUUUCAUUAGUAUUCCAUUUGUCGACAAUCUGUGUAUAUUGAACUACUCUUCAUGUGUAUCAGCCAUUUGAGCCGGUUAUGGAAAAAUCUGGAGUGAAAACAAGGUCUUCAGAGUAGGCAAUGGUACCUGUUGAAGCAUAUAUAUCGAUGGUUACAGGGAGCUCCUAGAGGAGGAUUCAGAGACAGAUAACCAGUCCUAUAUCCCACCUGAGGUGUAUGCUCUAAGUUGCAAUGUUUAUAUUUCUCAUAUGAUGCAUAUGGUGUCUUGCAUUGCUUAGUUUAGACAUCAUAUGCACAAUAUUGAAUUCUACCUGCUUAGUUUAGAGAUCAUACAUGCGAGUGCCAGCUGCUUAGUAUAUGAAUCAAUUAUGUCAAUUAUAUCAUGCCAUCAUGUAUACUUAGACAACAUGUAUGUGAAUUAUUUCAUCCCAACCUAUUUUAGAAAGACAUCAUAUAGUUUUUUCAUGUCAUCCUGUUUAGGUACUCAUCAUAUGUUGAAUUAUGCCAUUAUAUCCUAUUAAGUUAUCCAUCAUAUAUCUAAAACUGUGUCAUGCUAUCCUGUUUAGUUAGGCAUCAUAUAUGUGAAAUUGUGUCAUGCUGUCCUGUUUGGUUAGACAACAUAUAUGUGAAUUACCACAUCUGUCUAUCAUACAAUGUCUAUACGUUCAAUUUCUUUUCUUGUUUAUCAGCCAUUUGAAUUGGAGGAGUGAUGGCAGUAUCUAAGGGAGCAAAAACCCGUUCUUCACAAAAGACAGUGCUACCCGUCGAUGCAGAUAGAACCGUGGUUGUACUGGCCCACAAACUAGCCCCACCAACAUAAUCGAGACUCUUCCAGAUUGCACACUUACACUGUUGGGCAGAGAACCAGCGACAACCCAUCUAACCGCAACCCCAGCGGAUAGUAACCCACUUCUAGUUGACAAAGCACCAUGUCCACCACAGAGUACCCCCAUACGAGCAGUUUGUAAAGCUACUGCAGUGCCCAAAGCACGAAGACCACCACAGCUAACCCAAAAUCCACGUUUAAAGCAGAAGAGCAACUGUUCUCAAGUCAGAUUUUGUAGCUAUGGUCCAUACUCCUUUGCUGUUGCAUCACUGUAUUUACUCAUACCAACUACUUUCGAAUUUGAAGGAUCCAAUUGAAACUCCAAUGGUGCAACAGGUAUGUUUUAAACCUAUUUCUUUAACUGGAUUGUUGUUCUAACUUCUUGCUCUAUGUUGAUUUCAGUUUAAGUUGUAUAAACAGUUAUGUUCUCAUGUGAUGCACAUUACAAGUGCUUCCAAUGUUGUGUAGUUUCUCACACUUAUAUUCUGUCUAUGCUGCUGUGUCUUAAAAAUAUAUGAGUUGAACUGUGUCUCUAUCUUGAUUAGGGAACACAAACUAGAAUGAUAUGGACAAUACAAUGACCAUACUACAUAGAUAUAUGUUUGUUUCAUGUUGUUAUCCUGUCCACCUUACUACUGAACCAUUUUACCAAAAUGAGUUUCGUAUACUACAAGCUAAACCUGUGAUGUGUCUGCUUGUUUCUCUUGUAGUAUGCAAACAGAAUAUUGGAGAAGAGCACCCCACUAUGCAAUGGUAGAGAAAGUAAUGCAGAUAAGGUUCAAGAUAGUGAGACAACCCUGUUAGUCUCCAAGAAAGGUGAUAAAAAUGAUCUUGUAGAUAGUGAGAAAACCCCAGAGUCCUGCGUUGAUGUAGUGUUCGAGUUACUGGCCAGUACCGCUGGCACAAGCUCUUCAAACUCGCUGCCUGAAUCACUUCGGCUUCUUCAGUCUCAGCUACAAGCUGAAAGGCAUCAGUCAGCUGUGCUGCGGCAAGAAGCCGAAGGACUGAGGAAGUCUCUGCAAAAUUCAGAUGCGUACUUUCUUGUGCAAUAGCAAGCGCUGGAGGAUUUAAGCGCCAAACAAGAGAAAUUUAAUAAGCUGGCUAAGCAUCUUGCCAGCAUUAUGGGUACCCAGGAUAUUGUUUCUUGAACUCUUCUAAAGUGAUUUCAGUUCUGGACUUAUUUUGCUGCGGCGUUUAUAUGCUACUUUGUUCCCUAUAUUUGCACUGGUGGCGAACUUUGAUGCCCAGUGGAUGUAAUAUGUGUAAUAGCCGUGAUAGCCUAGCAUAACUUGCUUGCUUAUUUAUUUCCUUGUUGUCUUGUUUAUUUGUUUGCUUGUAGUCAGUGCAGUUCUUUUUCCGCGGUUUGCUAGUGGCUGCAAUAACCUAUUUUUAAAACUAGGCCACAAUAACCAUGGGCUAAUAUUUACUGUAGUGACACUGGGCCUCCUACGGGCCGUAGAAACAGUGGGCCUUCUACGGGCCAUAGAAACAGUGGGCCUUCUAUGGGCCAUAGAAACAAUGGGCCUUCUAUGGUCCGUAGAAACAAUGGGCCUUCUAUGGGCCGUAUCAUCAAUGGGCCUUAUACGGGCCGUAUGAUCGAUUGGCCAAACAUGGGCCAAUAACAGGCCACAUUAUGGUCGUAAACGGGCUAGAGUUGGAAUCGUACGUUCAUGGGCCGACCAUAACAUGCCAUUGUUAAUAGGCCAUAUUUGAUGACGCUAUGAACAUGGCCCAACGUAUUAAUGGACCACAAACGGGCCGACUGUAACCACGGGCUGAAUUUGGCCCACAAGCAGAAAAUGACAGUAACGGGCCGUAAGUAAACGAAUGCUGGAAAUGAGCGCAAGAAUAAAUGGGCUCUGAGAAGGCUGAAAGAUAACAUGGGCUGGAAAUGGCCCAACGGAAUAACGGGCCGUUAAUGGGUAUAAAGUGAUGCACUGUUCAUUACGGGCCUUUUUCACCACGGGCCGUUAAUGGGUGUAAAGUGAUACACUGUUCAUUACGGGCUAGUUUCACCACAGGCCGUUAAUAGGCCAAGAGUUACAUUGUGCCUCAUAUGGGCCGAGAGAUAUCAUGGGCCAUACAUGGGCCAGAAGUGAAAACAGGCAGGAAUCAUAUUAGAUGGCCGAGAUGACGCUACUGGGCCUAAUUCAGAUAGGGCAUAACGGGCCUUGGGUUAGCGGGCUGUAGAUGGGCUAUAUGCGAACAGGCCGUUAACAGGCUUUCCAUGGGCCGGCCCGCCACCUUUUGACCAAGUCAAACAGGCCGGGCUUUUCAUAGGAAUGGGCUUCUGUUGGGUCGUGCCAUGUGUCGAUAUAUCAUAGGCGCCUUCUGUCCAAUGAGUGGAUGACAUCUGUCCCAACAAUGAGCCGACACGUGUUUCCUCCAGCCAAUGAUGAUUUUGCACGUGGAAAAUACCCAUUGGUCGGGGCUGUUAACGGGUUAUCGGAUCCAAAACCCGACCUGAUAGCUUAACGGCGUUCCAUUACGAUGGAUGCCACGUGUUGGUCACCCUUGACGAAAGCACUUCUGUAACGCGCGAUUUAUCGUCAUGGAAGUGGACACUUCCGUGAUGAUAAUUUUGGUAAUGUCAUGGAACACUUCUACGACAACACAGGUAUGACUAUCUUGAUUCUGUCAUAAAAUUGUCAUGGAUAUACAUGCAUGACAAAAAAUGCAACCUACUGUGACAAACAUGUAUCAUCACGGAAGUGUAUUUUUUUUUGUAGUGAGAAGGAAAUGACAAGCAGUUUUCUGUAAGGUAUUCUCUGCAAGAACUGAAAUUAUCGGUAACAAAUAGUUUUGUGAUAUGGUAAUUUGUAACGGGUAACAAGUAAUGAAAGUAAAUAAGGUGCAGCAAGCUGGCCCAAUCCUUUUUGUAGCAAAUGACAAGUCUGGACAAACUCUUAUAUGAAGGAAAAUGCUCCCGAGAACACAUGGGAAUUAUCAUCACGCUCAUAUGAUUCGCGUUCGUUACUUUGAUAAUUUGAUAUGUGGGUGGACCGGUGCUUGGGUGCUGCCUUUCCUUGGACAAGCAUCCCACUUAUGAUUAACCCCUAUUGCAAGCAUCCGCAACUACAAAACAAGUAUUAAGGUAAACCUAACCAUAGCAUGAAACAGAUGGAUCCAAAUCAGCCCCUUACGAAGCAACGCAUAAACUAGGGUUUAAGCUUCUGUCACUCUAGGAACCCAUCAUCUACCUAUUACUUCCCAAUGCCUUCCUCUAGGCCCAAAUAAUGGUGAAGUGUCAUGUAGUCGACGUUCACAUAACACCACUAGAGGAGAGACAACAUACAUCUCAUCAAAAUAUCGAACGAGUACCAAAUUCACAUCACUACUUAUAGCAAGACUUCUCCCAUGUCCUCAGGAACAAACAUAACUACUCACAAAUCAUAUUCAUGUUCAUAAUCAGAGGGGUAUUAAUAUGCAUAAAGGAUAUGAACAUAUGAUCUUCCACCGAAUAAACCAACCAGCAUCAACUACAAGGAGUAAUCAACACUACUAGCAACCCACAGGUACCAAUCUGAGGUUUUGAGACAAAGAUCGGAUACAAGAGAUGAACUAGGGUUUGAGAUGAGAUGGUCCUAGUGAAGAUGUUGAUGAAGAUUGACCCCCUCCCAAUGAGAGGAUCAAUGGUGAUGAUGAUGGUGAUGAUUUCCCCCUCCCGGAGGGAUGUUUCCACGUCAGAAUAGCUCCGUCGGAGCCCUAGAUUGGUUCCACCAAGGUUCUGCCUCGUGGCAGCGGUGUUUCGUCCCGAAAGCUUCCUUCUGAUUUUUUCCAGGGUGAAAGACUUCAUAUAGCAGAAGAUGGGCACUGGAGGCCUGCCAGGGGGGGCACGAGAUAGGGGGCGCGCCCAGGGGGUAGGGCGCGCCCCCCACCCUCGUCGCCAGGGUGUGGGCCCCCUCUGGUUGAUUCUUUCGCCAGUAUUUUUUAUUAAUUCCAAAAGGUGCCUCUGUGAAGUUUCAGGACUUUUGGAGUUGUGCGGAAUAGGUUUCUAAUAUUUGCUCCUUUUCCAGCCCAGAAUUCCAGUUGCAGGCAUUCUCCCUCUUCAUGUAAACCUUGUAAAAUAAGAGACAAUAGGCAUAAGUAUUGUGACAUAAUGUGUAAUAAGAGCCCAUAAUGCAAUAAAUGUCGAUAUAAAAGCAUGAUGCAAAAUGGACGUAUCAACUCCCCCAAGCUUAGACCUCGCUUGUCCUCAAGCGAAAGCCGGAAACGAAAAAUAUGUCCACAUGUUUAGAGAUAGAGGUGUCGAUAAAAUAAAAUACGGACAUGCGGGCAUCAUGAUCAUUCUUAUAACAGCAACACACACACACACAUAUAUAUAUAUAUAUUGUCAUAUGGUUUCUUAUGCUAAAGUAACAAUCUAUUCACAAUGUCAAGCAUGAAUCAGAAACUUCAUUGAAAACUAACAAACUAUGAUCCCGGUCAUUGAAGCAAUUGCAAUUUAUCAUAACAUCGGAAAGAGUCAAUAUAAGAGCUUUUCAGCAAGUCCACAUACUCAAUUAUCAUUUAGUUUUUCACAAUUGCUAACACUCACACAAUACUUAUGGUUAUGGAGUUUUAAUUAGACACAGAGAAAGAUAGGGGCUUAUAGUGUUGCCUCCCAACCUUUUACCUCAAGGGUAAUGUCAACAAUAAUAGUUCAUGCUAACUUACAUCCAAUUGGAUAUAUAUAUAUAUAUAUAUAUAUAUAUAUAUAUAUAUAUAUAUAUAUAUCAGGAUCUUUCCAACACAAUGUGCUUGCCAAAGGAUAAAAUAUAAAAAGGAAAGGUGAAGAUCACCAUGACCUGUACAGGGUAUAAGACAAGAAUAAAAGAUAGGCCCUUCACAGAGGGAAGUAGAGGUUGUCAUGUGCUUUUAUGGUUGGAUGCACGAAAUUUAAUGCAAAAGAACGUCACUUUAUAUUGCCACUUGUGAUAUGGACCUUUAUUAUGCAGUCCAUCGCUUUUAUUGCUUCCAUAUCACAAGAUCGUAUAAAGCUUAUUUUCUCCACACUAAUAAAUCAUACAUAUUUAGAGAGCAAUUUUUAUUGCAUACAACAAUGACAACUUACUUGAAGGAUCUUACUCAAUCCAUAGGUAGGUAUGGUGGACUCUCAUGGCAAAACCGGGUUUAAGGAUAUUUGGAAGCACAAGUAGUAUCUCUACUUGGUGCAAAGAAUUUGGCUAGCAUGAGGGGGAAAGGCAAGCUCAACAUGUUGGAUGAUCCAUGACAAUAUACUUUAUUUUAAAUAUAAGAAAACAUAACCCAUUACGUUGUCUUCCUUGUCCAACAUCAACUCUUUAGCAUGUCAUAUUUUAAUGAGUGCUCACAAUCAUAAAAGAUGUCCAAGAUAGUAUAUUUGUAUGUGAAAACCUAUCUUUCUUUGUUACUUCCUAUUAAUUGCAACCAUGACCAAAACUAUGUUUGUCAACUCUCAACAACUUUUAUUCAUCAUACUCUUUAUAUGUGAAGUCAUUAUUCUCCAUAAGAUCAAUAUGACCUCUUUAUUUAUUUUUAUUCUUUCUUUUCCUUUUAUUCCCUCACGAUCAUAGCAAGAUAAUCAACCCCUUGACUCAAAACUAAUCUUUAUUAUAUAUAGCUCACGGACUCGAUUACAUAGAAGGAUCAUAAAGCAAAACUCAAAAACUAAAUCAUACUAAAACUUUAUUCUACUAGAUCAAGAUAUUACCAAAAGGAUCAAACUAAGAAAAACGGUAAAGACAUGAGUGUGGUGGUGAUACGAUACCGGGGCACCUCCCCAAGCUUGGCAGUUGCCAAGGGGAGUGCCCAUACCCAUGUAUUUAUGUCUCUUUCUUCGGAGGUGAAGAGGAUGGUGAUGAUGAAGAUAAUUGUGCCUUCAACUUUUUCAUAUUGUACUUGAGAAGAGCAAUUUCCUCCUUUAAAUCAUUGACCUCCGAUUCUAGCUUCAAGAUCUUGUCACAUAAAUCUCCUUUGCUUUUCUGUGGAAAAUGAGAAGGAAUAGAUCGGUUGUUAGACACUUUAGCCCUCUUAGGAAGACUAGAAUUCUUGAACUUUCAUGUGCAUAUCCCCAUGUUGAGGUAGAGGGACAUCCUCCUCCUCCGAACUUGAAUCAUUGAUCCUCAUCAAAUGAGCAUCCUCCUCAUCAUCUGUAGUUUGACCACAAGGAGAUAGAUCCCCAUAGGUCUUUGGGUCAGUGUCGGCCUUCUGGGAACGGGUGUCCCCAGACUUGCCUGGCUGCGGCCCACGGCAUGGCUCCACCAGCGGCCCAGUACGGCCGGACUUCACCAGCCAACACUAAAGACCCUCGGGAGGGGCCAAGCCUCGCGAGGCGGAAGACACAAGGCCUCAUUAGGAGCAGCUUCACUAGGCAGGCUCGCGAGGGGGCGGGGAGAUCAAGGCAAGGGGUACCUCGUGAGGUUCCCGUGACGCAAGCCAUGACGACCAAGGCCAGUCGGGCGCCCGCGCGCGCAGUGUCCUCGUGUCCCCUUUGGUUCUAAGGGGGCAAGCGCAGGCGCGGAGUACCCAGGCAUCAGGCAAAGGUUUCCAUAUCGGUGCAACAAGACCAAGACCAGCAGGACGGAGGUCAUCGUGGAGCCCAAGAUGGCGUCACCACCAGCGCCUUUGGCAGGCGAAGACCACCUUUAGCAGGAUAGCUUGUACUAGCUGUCCCCUUUCAAAUUGGCCGUUGUUGAAUCCCUUCCCGCUCAAUAUUUGGGGAGAGGACCAGGGCCUCUAUAAAUAGGACUAGCCACCAUUGUAGGAGGCAUCUCAACCGAAACUGAUCCAGAUCAUCCUCAACCACACACAAGUUCACCAAGCACAAGAACACCUCUCCUCAGGAGGCUGUUCUUCCCUUGUACUGUUCAUCAUAAGCCCAAGAGGCAAUCCACCACCACCACAUUGGAGUAGAGUAUUACACCACAAUGGUGGCCCGAACCAGUAUAAACCUCAUGUAUCUUGUGUUGUGAGUUCAUCGAGCUAAUCUUAGAGAUCGCGGCGAGGCUGAGGGCAUGAUUCGGUAGGGGGAAAUCAUCAUGCGCAUCCCAGAGUUCGAACCUCAAGGGCUUUCCUUCUGUCGGUUCGCACUCCGCGAACACCUCGCUUCGCCCUCAUGGCGGACAUCGCACCCCCGGCCCUGGCGGCCGAUGCUAGUGCUGGGGCUAGGGGCUCUGGGCCUUGGCCCCUGCCUUAUAGUGGGUGGAGUGGCCGCCCAAGUUCAAGCCAGAGAUGCCGCCGCGCUACGACAGCACGGCAGACCCGGUGGUUUUCCUGGUGGCGUACGAGGAGGCCGUCCUUAAGGCCGGGGGCGAUGACAAGGUCAUGGCCACCUGGCUUCCCGUGGCCCUUACUGGCGUCCCACGCGCCUGGCUGCUCGACCUUCCCGGGUCCAUGGUGGCAUCUUGGGAGGAGCUGCACAGUCUCUUCGCUGCGCGCUUCGCGGAUCCGGCGCCCCGCGUGGUCGCGGCCCUCCUCGGUGGCUCGCAAGCGCCACCCUCAGACCGCCACGCCAAGUCGUUCUUUCGCCGGAUCAGCGCCGUCCUCGCGUGGCAAGGAGCUCCCCCGGCUUGGGUGGCACCCAAGGCCGACCUGACCUUCGAGUCGGAAGAUCACCCCGCCACCAUUUCCUGCUCGGGCGCGCUCCCGAUGCUCUGCACGCCCACCAUCUGCCACAUGGCCAUCACCAAAACCCUCAUCGACAGUGGUGCCAGCCUCAAUGUGCUCUCGGUGGAGGCCUUCAGCCUCCUCCACGUACCGCUGGAGCGGCUCCGUCCUAGAGAACCCUUCUCAGGCGUCGGAGGCGGUUCCUCCAGUCCCCUGGGGUAGAUCCGCCUUCCCGUGACCUUCGACACCCGUGACAACUACCACAUGGAGCUAGUCGACUUUGACAUUGCUCACAUCAGCCUCUCGUACAAUGCCAUCCUCGAAUACCCUGCCCUGGCUUAGUUCAUGGCAGCAACCCAUCCGGCCUACAACCUCAUGAAGGUGCCCGGAAGCAAGGGCAUCCUCACCAUAGCUGGAGAUAGCAAGGAGGCUCUUAUGGCGCUCAAGCUUGCCCUCAAGGCCUCCGCAGUGGCGCAGCCCGCCGAUGCGGACGCCUCCAAGGCCAAGAAAGCUGCGCCGACCAAGAAGAAGCAGUUGUUCACUCAGGAUAAGGCGGAGACCAAGCAGGUGCCAGUUGAGGAAGAUGGGUUCUCAGGAGCCACCUUCACCAUAGGUGCCAACCUCGACCCCGACCAAGAGAAGGCGUUGGUGAAGUUCUUGCGCUGAAACAAGGAGGUGUUCGCAUGGGAACCCAAGCAGCUAGUGGGGGUCCCAAGGGAGGUGAUUGAGCAUCACUUGAAGGUGUGCCCCAAUGUACGCCCUGUGAAGCAGAAGGCGAGGUGGCAGUCCACGGAGAAACAGGCCUUCAUCAUCCAAGAAACCCGCAAGCUAGAGGCAGCAGGUGUCAUUCGUGAGGUUCGCUACCCCGAAUGACUGGCGAACCCCAUUGUCAUGCCAAAAAAGGGGGGAAAGGAGCGCAUGUGCGUCGACUUCACCAACCUUAACAAGGCCUGCCCCCAAGAUCCGUUCCCGCCCCCCCGCAUCGACCAGAUCGUCGACUCCACCGCCGAGUGCGACCUGCUGUGUUUCCUAGAUGUGUUUUCGGGUUAUCACCAGAUCAAGAUGGCAGUAGAAGAUGUGGAGAAGACAGCCUUCCUAACCCCAUGUGGGGUAUACUGCUACACUUGCAUGUCGUUCGGGUUGCGCAACGCGGGCGUGACCUUCCAACGGCUGAUGCACAUUGCAUUGGGCCGGCAGCUCGGAAGAAACAUCGAGGCUUACAUCGAUGACAUUGUGGUGAAAUCUCGGGAGGCAAGGACCUUGAUCCAGGACUUGGAGGAGACCUUCGUGAGCCUCCGCCAGGUAGUCCUGCGACUCAACCCAGAGAAGUGUGUGUUCGGCGUCCCUUCCGGCAAGCUACUGGGCUUCCUUAUGUCCCACAGGGGGAUCAAAGCCAACCCGGAGAAGGUCAAGGCGAUCGAAGACAUGAGUCCACCGCAAACCCUCAGAGAGAUGUAGAAGCUCGCCGGUCGCGUGACCGCGCUAGGAUGCUUCAUCUCCAAGCUGGGGGAGCGCGCCCUACCAUUCUUCAAGCUGAUGAAGAAAAAGGGCCCAUUUGAGUGGACACAGGAGGCCUACCAAGCGUUUCAAGACCUCAAGAAAUACCUGACCAGCCCUCCCGUGAUGGUGGCGCCGCGCCCUCUCGAGCCCCUGGUGCUCUGCCUUGCCGCCACUCCCUACUCCGCCAGCGUAGCCCUGGUGGCGGUUUGGGAGGAGCGCGAGGCUAAGGCCGCGUCCCGCCCAGCCACGACCUCAGCCAGGUCAGUACAGGACCAGGAAAGCCUCGCGAGGACCACGACAACGGUAGCAAGGGACCAAGUGCAGUAGGACGAUGCCCCCGGGGCUGAAGGGGUUCCACCAAGUGACCGGGCGAUGGGGGCUCCAUUAUCUUAGGAGGCGCCUCAACCUCCGGAAGAUGCAGGCCACGUUAGCGCACCCACCCUUGUCGAGCAUCCGGUGUACUUCGUUAGCACGGUUUACGGGAUGCAAGAGCACGGUACCCUAUGCCUCAGAAGCUCUUACUCGCGCUCUUGGUGGCCUCACGUAAGCUGCAACACUACUUUCAAGGUCAACCCAUCAAGGUCGUCUUGGCCUACCCCUUGGAAAGGGUACUUAGGAGCCCCAACUCUGUUGGGAGGGUCGCCGAAUGGAACAUUGAGCUGCAAGCGUUCCAGUUGGAGUUCAGCACAACCAGGGUCAUCAAGGGAGCCGCACUUGCCGAUUUCGUGGCUGAAUGGAUGGACCCACCAGAGCUCAAGGUGGGCGAGGAUCGGUCUCUCUCCCCAGGAAGUGAGGCACCAGAUGGCUGGGUCAUGUAUUUCGAUGGUGCCUUCUCGCGGCAGGGCGCGGGGGCUAGUGCAGUGUGUAUAUCACCCACUCAGAACAAGCUCUACUACGCCGUACAGCUUUGUUUCCAGCAGGGCGAGAAGGUCUCCAACAACAUAGCAGAAUACAAGGGCCUCAUAGCAGGCUUGAAAGCUGCAGUAGCGCUAGGAGUGAAGCGCCUCGUCAUCAAGGGCGACUCACAACUCCUCGUCAACUUCUCCAACAAGGUGUACGAGCUGAAGGAUGAGCACAUGGAAGCAUACCUCGCGGAAGUACGCAAGAUGGAGAAGCAUUUCUGGGGGCUGGAGUUGCAGCAUGUGCCCCUCGGCACCAACAAAGAGGCUGACAACAUCGCCAGGAGGGCGUCCAAAUGGCUGCCCCAGGAGCCUGGCAUUUUCGAGGAAUGACUGUUCAAGCUGUCAGCGGCACGACCACUUUCAAGAACGGCACAGCCUCGGGAAGAACUCCCUCAGCCACCUACCACAGGAGCCCCGGCCUAUGGCCCGACCUCGGGAGCGCGCCUACUCUUGGAGCUGGAGCCUCGGGAGGGAUGCUGUACCAAGAAAUUCAAGGAAUACCUGACGCAAGGGACGCUGCCGGAGAAAGAAGAGGACGCGGAGCGCGUGGCCCGACAAGCCAUGACCUACCGCAUCCAAGACGGUGGGCUAUACCGGAAGCGGCCGAAUGAAGUUUCCCUAUGCUGCAUCUCUAGGGAACAGGGGAUAGAGCCGUUGACCGACAUACACGGCGGAGAUUGCGGACACCACUCAUCGUCACGGACCCUCGCCGGCAAGGCAUUUCGCAGCAGAUUCUAUUGGCCUACAACACUCAACGAUGCGACCGAGCUGGUGAAGUCCUGCGAGGCCUGCCAAUUCCACGCCAAGAAGAUCCAUCAGCCAGCUCAGGGCCUACAGACCAUCCCGCUCUCAUGGCCGUUAGUGGUCUGGGGGCUAGAUAUCUUGGGCCCAUUCCCUUGAGCACUUGGGGGCUACCGCUACCUCUGCGUCGCCAUCGACAAGUUCACCAAGUGGGCGGAGGUGGAAGCCGUCCACACCAUCCCAGCCAGCUCCGCUAUCAAGUUCAUCAAAGGCCUCGUGAGCCGGUUUGGGGUCCCUAACCGCAUCAUCACCGACAACGGUUCGCAGUUCACUAGCAAUCUCUUCAAGACGUAUUGUACUAACCUUGGAACGCAGAUCUGCUACGCUUCGGUGGCGCACCCCCGGAGCAAUGACCAGGCCGAACGCGCCAACGCGGAGGUCCCGAGGGGCCUCAAGACUAGGACCUUCAAGAAGAAGCUGGAGGCCUGCGACAGGGGCUGGCACGACGAGCUCCAGUCCGUGUUGUGGUCCAUCCGCACCACCGCCACCAAGCCAACAGGUGAGACCCCAUUCUUCCUUGUCUAUGGAGCGGAAGCGGUUCUCCCUCACGAGGUCAGGCGCCACUCCGCACGGGUCCUGGCGUUUGAUGAAGCGCAGCAGGACGCCAUGCGGGGGAUGGACCUCGUGCUGGGGAGGAACACCGCCGUGAAGCCAUGCUAUGGGCGGCAAGAUACCAGCAGGCGCUACGGUGGUACCACUAUCGCAGCGUCCGCCCUAGGACGCUCGAGGUGGGUGACCUCGUCCUGAGGCGGGUGCUCUCUAGGGAAGGGCUGCAUAAGCUCUCACCCAUGUGGGAGGGCCCGUUCAUGGUCGUCCACGUCUCCAGGCCUAGCGCCACGCGCUUGGAGACCCAGGACGGGGUACCCAUCCCGAAUGCCUGGAGCAUCCAGCACCUCCGGAAGUUCUACCCCUGAAGGAAGGCCCGGUGCCUGUGAAGAAGGGCCAGUGCCUGUGAAGCUCGCCGCCCGUGACACUCUCACGUAAUAAUGAGUGGGGCUGUACACGCCCCGGAGUCUCAUGAAUGCCGCCCUUGGGCCUCGGGGGCUCCCUCCCACGCCUAGUGGCAACACUUAGCUCCGCGCUGGUGAGAAGACUUGAAGACUAGACUAGGUGCCGGACCCGGCUUUUCGUUUGCUUUCUGCAGUUGGCUCGCUCUUCCUUGGUUGAACCUUGAUUAAAGUUGCUUCUGCUGUUCUUUGCCGGUUCUGUUCCAUCGCCUUCUGCCUCCGUUUUCUGUCUUCAGCUCUUUGUCUGACGUGCUCUCUCUCGCAUACCUCGCGAGGGGGCUGUACAGGCGCCCUCGUGGGCAUUUUUCUUCUGAUUUUCGUGAGGCACUCUCGUUUGAAUUCACAGAAGGAGCACCCCUCUCAGUCAGUGCCCCUUGGGUACCGCGACACGGAGCGCCUGGCCACGGUCGGCAGCCCUUGCAACUAGGGUUCAGAAAAUGAAAGUCUCUUAACGAGUUUCUUGCAGCUCCUAAGGCGCCUGGCAAGGCCUGAAGCGGGCACCUCGCGAGGCAGAAACUACUUCAAACGUGCCAAGCUAAGUUGUUCCUACACGCCGACGUACAACAAUGACGCCAUGACACAGCACAGGAACAAUAAAUGCAGCAUGUUAACAAGAAAUCAUAGUUUGUUGCAUGCCCCCGUGGGACCCCAUACUUGUCUCUCUCAAUGCAGGAAUAAAGGAAAACAAAACAAAAGAAGCACGCGCCUCACAGCAGUUCGUGAAGAGGGAUCUACGGCGACCUCCUGAACUCAACCAGACCCCACCUCGCGCUUCACUGAAGCAUGGCAAUGGGACGACCCACCGCCGCCCUCGAGGCGGGCACGGCGGCGUGGCGGUUGAUCGUAGCCGCUGCUGGAGGAGCUGUCGCCGGAAUAAGAGCCGCCGUAGCAUGACGAGCCGCGGUCGCUGCCGGGAGCGAGUUCGUCUUCACCCUCAUCACGACCGUCACCAAGACCGAGCACCUCGUCGCCGUCGUUGUCUUCAGAGCAGCACCCAACACGGCGGCCAUCCUCUUUGAACACCCUCACAUAGAGGGUCACGUCACCAUCAUACUUGAAGUGGAGGGUGCACCGCCUACCUAGACCGCGUGCGCGGGCAAACAUCUGCCAGCCUCGGGCCAAGGCUGCGUUGCCAGUGACGGAGACCUCCACCGCGACCCAGGAGGCCUUGCUGCAGCAGCCGUCUGCCUACAACCAGAGCCCGCCUAGGCCAGCGGCCAGCAGCUUGUCGACGAAGAAGCGCGGGAGCUGAAGCCAGUUGCCAGCCGGGUUUUCCGACCACACGACGAAUUCCAGCAGCACCUCCGCCGAGUGGAACCGUGGUCGGGGAGGCCGCGCGGCCACAUCACGCCUCGCUCCACCAACUGGGCUGCCUCGACACGGGCGGACCCCACCAUGUGAAGGGCCAGCGCCGCGGCUGUGGGGAGCCACGGCGGGGGUCGCGGAGUGCUUGCGAGGGCGACCGCGUCCGUGCUUGGGCGGAGGAGAGCCAGGCCCUUCCUGGUGAGCCUUCCCCUUCUCCGCGACCAAAAACCUCUUCGCAGGCACCAUGGGGGACGCUGCAAGCAACGGGGCAGGGAAGGAGAAGCGAGCGAGAUGGGAAGAGAUGGGAGACGGGGGCUCUCACUCCUUCUCAUUUAUAGCUCAAGGGAGGCCAACCGUCGACCUCCACGAUCGCAGGUAAUGAUGACCCAUUUUGCAUGCAGCAGGGACUCGUCAAGUCGGGCAAUUGCCGAGGCAACGUGGGGAAGCAGGGACUCCCAUGUCCUAUCAGUCGCCUCGCGUCAACCAAUGUCGCAGGCUGUUGGGGCCCGCGACGCUCCACACUUGCCCUUUGGCUUCACCGCCAAGCCAAGCCCGAGCGUGCCUUGGGCCCGCGGGCUACUGUCGGUGUUCUGGGAACGGGGGUCCCCAGAUUUGCCUGUCUGCGGCCCAUGGCAUUGCUCCACCAAUGGCCCAGUACGGCCGGACUUCACCAGCCAACACUCAAGACCCUCACGAGGGGCCAAGCCUCGCGAGGCGGACGACACAAGGCCUCCUUAGGAGCGGCUUCACCAGGCAGGCUUGCGAGGGGGCGGAGAGAUCAAGGCAAGGGGUACCUCAUGAGGUUCCUGUGACGCAAGCCAUGACGACCAAGGCUAGGCAGGCACCAGCGCAUGCAUUGUCCUUGUUUCCCCUUUGGUGCUAAGGGGGCAAGCGCAGGCGCGGAGUACUAAGGCAUCAGCAAAGGUUUCCAUAUCGGUGCAACAAGACCAAGACCAGCAGGACGGCAGGACGGAGGUCAUCGUCGAGCCCAAGACGGCGUCACUACCAGCACCUUUGGCUGGCGAAGACCACCUUUAGUCAGGAUAGCUUGUACUAGCUGUCCCCUUUCAAAUUCGCGGUUGGUGGAUCCCUUCCCGCUCAAAAUUUUGGGAGAGGAACAUGGCCUCUAUAAAUAGGACUAGCCACCACCAUAGGAGGCAUCUCAACUAGAACUGAUCCAGAUCAUCCUUAAUCACACAAAAGUUCACCAAGCACAAGAACACCUCUCCUCAGGAGGUUGUUCUUCCCUUGUACUGUUCAUCAUCAGCCCAAGAGGCAAUACACCACCACCACACUGGAUAGGGUAUUACACCACAACGGUGGCCCGUACCAGUAUAAACCUCGUGUCUCUUGUGUUGUGAGUUCAUCGAGCUAAGCUUAGAGAUCAUGGCGAGGCUGAGGGCAUGAUUCGGUAGGGAGAAAUCUUCAUGUGCACCCCAGAGUUCGAACCUCAAGGGUUUUGCCGGAACCCAAAAUCCGACAGUCAGGAACGAGAUGUGAGACAUAGCUCUCUCCGUCGAAAUCCUAAGAUGACAUCUUGCUCCAAACCUGCUACAAAAAUAGCUCGAAAUAAAAACAAAGGAUAUUUGCGUGGUACGAUGGUCAAAACCCUCGAGAGAUUAUAUAAUGAAUUUUUACUGACUAAAAGAAGAAUCGUGCAAGAGAACAGAGUCCGGAGAGCACACGAGGGGCACACGAGGCAGUGGGGCAUGCCCAGGGGGUAGGACGCGCCCUCCACCCUCGUGGAUGCCUUGUGUCCCUUUCAGACUACUUCUUAUUUUCCUAUUUUCUUAAAUAUUCCAAAACGGAGAAAAAUUCCCAUUAGAACUGUUUUGGAGUCGGUUUACUUACCGUACCACAUACCUAUUCCUUUUCGGACUCUGAAACAUUCUAGAAAGUGUCCCUUAUGUAUUCCUCCGGGGUCACGGUUUCAAUAACAUUAGUUUCAACAUUUAUUGGAUUACCUAAGAUAUAAUUUUUGAUUCUGUGACCGUUCACCACCUUCGGAUUUGUGCCUUCGAAGUUGUUGAUUUUUAUGGCAUCGAAACGAUAGACCUCCUCGAUAACGUAAGGACCUUCCCAUUUAGAGGGAAGUUUUCCUACAAAAAAUCUUAAAUGAGAGUUGAAUAGCAAAACAUAGUCACCUAUAUUAAACUGGCGCUUUUGUAUCCUUUUGUCAUGCCAUCUUUUAACUUUUUCUUUAAACAGUUUGGCAUGCUCAUAGGCCUGGGUUCUCCACUGAUUAAGUGAGCUAAUGUCAAGUAACCUCUUCUCACCGGCAAGUUUGUAAUCAUAAUUGAGCUCUUUAAUGGCCCAAUAUGCCUUAUGUUCUAGUUCAAGAGGUAAGUGACAUGCUUUUCCAUAAACCAUUUUAUACGGAGACAUACCCAUAGGAUUCUUAUAUGCAGUUCUAUAGGCCCAUAAUGCAUCAUCAAGUUUCUUGGACCAAUUCUUUCUAGAUCUAUUAACAGUCUUUUGCAAAAUUAAUUUAAGCUCUCUAUUACUCCUACCUGGCCACUAGAUUGUGGGUGGUAAGGAGAUGCAAUUCUAUGAUUAACGUCAUACUUAGCAAGCAUUUUACGAAAAGCACCAUGAAUAAAAUGUGAACCACCACCAGUCAUUAAAUAUCUAGGGACUAUAAACCUCGAAAAAUAACUUCUUUAAGCAUCUUAAUAGAGGUGUUAUGAUCAGCACUACUAGUUGGAAUAGCUUCUACCCACUUAGUAACGUAAUCAACAACAACUAAAAUAUGUGUAUAACCAUUUGAGGAAGGAAACGGUCCCAUAUAAUCAAAGCCCCAAACAUCAAAUGGUUUAAUAACAAGUGAGUAGUUCAUAGGCAUUUCUUGGCGUCUACUAAUAUUACCAGUUCUUUGACAUUCAUCACAAGACAAGACAAACUUACGUGCAUUCUUGAAGAGAGUAGGCCAAUAAAAACCGGAUUGCAAUACCUUAUGUGCACUUCUAUCUCCAGCAUGGUGUCCUCCAUAAGCCUCGGAGUGACACUUGCGUAGGAUCUAUUCCUGUUCAUGCUCAGGUACACAACGUCUAAUAACACCAUCUACUCCUUUAUAAAGGUGUUGGUCAUCCCAGAAGUAAUGUCUUAAAUCAUGGAAAAACUUUUUCUUUUGUUGGUAUGUGAAACUAGGUGGUAUAAAUUUAGCAACAAUGUAAUUAGCAUAAUCAGCAUACCAUGGGCAGUACGAGAAGCAUUUAUGACAGCUAAUUGUUCAUUAGGAAAAUUAUCAGCAAUAGGUAGUGGGUCAUCAAGAACAUUCUCUAACCUAGACAAGUUGUCUGCAAUGGGGUUCUCAGCUCCCUUUCUAUCAAUAAUAUGUAAAUCAAAUUCUUGUAGCAAGAGAACCCAUCUAAUAAGUCUAGGUUUAGCAUCUUUCUUUUCCAUAAGAUAUUUAAUAGCAGCAUGAUCAGUGUGAACUGUUACUUUAGAAUCAACUAUAUAAGGUCUGAACUUAUCACAAGCAAAUACAACUGCUAAAAAUUCUUUUUCAGUAGUAGCAUAAUUUCUUUGGGCACUGUCUAGAGUUUUACUAGCAUAUUGGAUAACAUUUAAUUUCUUAUCAACUCUUUGUCCUAGAACAGCACCUACAACAUAAUCACUAGCAUCACACAUAAUUUCAAAGGGUAAAUUCCAAUCAGGUGGCUGAACAAUAGGUGCAGAAAUCAAGGAUUUCUUAAGUAUUUCAAAUGCUUCUACACAAUCAUCAUCAAAGACAAAAGGAACAUCUUUUUGUAAGAUAUUAGUCAGAGGCCUACAAAUUUUUGAGAAGUCUUUAAUGAACCUCCUAUAAAAACUGGCAUGACCAAGGAAAUUUAUUAUUCCUUUAAUGUCCUUAGGACACAACAUCUUUUCAAUAGCAUCAACUUUAGCUUUAUCGACUUCAAUACCUCUUUCAGAAAUUUUGUGCCCCAGGACAAUACCUUCCUUAACCAUAAAGUGGCACUUCUCUCAAUUCAAUACAAGAUUAGUUUCUUCACAUCUCUACGAAACUCGAUCAAGGUUGCUCAAGCAAUCAUCAAAAGAAGUUCCAUAUACGGAGAAAUCAUCCAUGAAAACCUCAACAAUCUUUUCACAAAAGUCAGAUAAUAUAGCCAUCAUGCAUCUUUGAAAGGUACCAGGUGCAUUGCAUAAACCAAAAGGCAUACGUCUAUAAGCAAAGGUACCGAAAGGACAAGUAAAAGUGGUCUUUUCUUUGUCCUCUUUUGACACAGGUAUUUGAGAGAAACCAGAAUAACCAUCUAGAAAGCAAAAAUGUGUCUGUUUGGAUAAUCUUUCUAGCAUUUGAUCAAUAAAAGGUAAAGGGUAAUGAUCCUUUUUAGUAGCUUUAUUCAAUUUGCGGAAAUCGAUUACCAUUCUAUAACCUGUAACAAUUCUUUGUGGGAUCAAUUCAUCUUUAUCAUUAGGAACAACAGUAAUACCUCCCUUCUUAGGGACACAAUGGACAGGACUUACCCACUAACUAUCAGCAACGGGAUAAAUUAUACCUGCCUCUAGAAGCUUUAAUAUUUCUUUUCUUACCACUUCUUUCAUCUUAGGAUUUAACCGUCGUUGGUGAUCAACAACUGGUUUAGCGUCUUUCUCCAAUUUUAUUUUGUGCUGGCAUAGAGGCGGACUAAUGCCCUUAAGAUCAUCAAGAGUAUAUCCAAUAGCAGCUCAGUGCUUCUUCAGAGUUUUCAAUAAUUUAUCUUCUUCUUGCUCUAAAAGGUUAGCACUAAUAAUAACAGGAUAUAUCUUAUUUUCAUCAAGAUAAGCAUAUUUAAGAGUAUCAGGUAAUGGUUUAAGCUCAAAUACGGGAUCACCCUUGGGUGGAGGAGGAUCCCCUAGAAUUUCAAUAGGCAAGUUGUGUUUCAAAAUAGGUCCCUAUUUAAAGAAUACUUCAUCUAAUUCCCUUCUUUCAUUCAUAAACAUAUCAUUUUCAUGGUCGAGCAAAUAUUGUUCUAAAGGAUCAUUAGGAGGCACGGCAAUAGAAGCAAGACCAAUAAUUUCAUAUUUACUUGGAAAUUCUUUAUCAUGGGGUUGUCUACAAAAUUUAGCAAAAUUGAACUCAUGAGACAUAUCCCCCAAGCCAAUAGUAACAACAUCCUUUUUGCAGUCUAUCCUAGCAUUAACAGUAUUCAAGAAGGGUCUACCAAAUAUAAUGGGACAAAAGUUAUCUUGUGGGGAACCAAGAACAAGAAAAUCAACAGGAUAUUUAAGUUCCCCACACAAGACUUCAACAUCUCUAACAAUCCCAACUGGUGAAAUAGUGUCUCUAUUGGCAAGCUUAAUUGUAACGUCAAUCUCCUCUAUCUCAGUAGGUGCAAUAUCAUGCAUAAUUUCUUUGUAUAAGGAAUGAGGUAUUGCACUUGCACUAGCACCCAUAUCACACAAGCCAUGAUAACAAUGAUCUCCUAUUUUAACACAAAUAACAUGCAUGCCUACAACAGGUCUAUGUUUAUUUUUAGUAUCAGGUCUAGCAAUUCUAGUAGCUUCAUUAGAGAAGUAAAUAACAUGCCCAUCAAUAUUAUCGACCAAGAGAUCUUUAACCAUAGCAAUACUAGGUUCAACUUUAAUUUGCUCAAGGGGUGUGGAUGUUCUAGUAUUACUCUUACGAACCACACUUGAAGCUUUAGCAUGAUCCUUUAUUAUAACAGGGAAAGGUGGUUUCUCAAUAUAAGCAGUAGGAACAACAGGAUCAACAUUAUAAGUGAUAGUCUUUUCUUCAACUUUAAUGGGUGCAACAAAUUUUACUUCAAUGGGAGUAUUAUAUUUAAACCACUUCUCCUUAGGGAGAUCAACAUGAGUAGCAAAGUAUUCACAGAAAGAAGCUACUAUCUCAGAGUCAAGCCCAUAUUUAGUGCUAAAUUCACGGAAAACAUCGGUAUCCAUAAAAGAUUUAACACAAUCAAACUUAGGUGUCAUACCUGACUCCUUACCUUCGUCGAGAUCCCAAUCUUCAGAGUUAUGUUUAAUUCUUUCCAAUAAAUCCCAUUUGAAUUCAAUAGUCUUCAUCAUAAAAGAACCAGUACAAGAAGUAUCGAGCAUGGAGCGAUUAUUGAGAGAAAGCCGAGCAUAAAAAAUUUGAAUAAUAAUUUCUCUUGAGAGCUCAUGAUUGGGGCAUGAAUAUAGCAGUGACUUAAGCCUCCCCAAGCUUGAGUAAUGUUUUCUCCUUCGUGAGGCCAAAAAUUAUAUAUAUAAUUACGAUCACGAUGAACAAGAUGCAUAGGAUAAAACUUCUAAUGAAAUUCCAAUUUCAAUCGGUUGUAGUUCCAUGAUCCCAUAUCAUCACAUAGCCUAAACCAUGUCAAUGCCUUUCCCUUCAAAGAUAAAGGGAAGACCUUCUUCUUGAUAACAUCCUCGGGCAUACCUGCAAGCUUAAAUAAUCCACAAACUUCAUCCACAUAGAUUAGGUGCAAAUCGGGAUGUAAUGUUCCAUCUUGUGUAAAAGGAUUAGCUAGCAGUUUCUCUAUCAUACCCGAAAGAAUUUCAAAGUAAACAUUUUCAGUAGGUUCAGUAGGUUGAGGAGAAAAUCUUUGCUCUACUGGUCGGGGUGAAUAUACCCCGAACAAGCCCCUCAAAGGAUUAUGUUCCAUAGUAACAAGUGACAGUAAAUUUCAGCACACUAUAUAAAUUUUUCCUUACCAAAUUCCACCUACCAAAGGCGCUUCACUCCCCGGCAACAGCGCCAGAAAAGAGUCUUGAUGACCCACAAGUGUAGGGGAUCUAUCAUGUCAUUUCGAUAAGUAAGAGUGUCGAACCCAACGAGGAGCGGAAGGAAAUGACAAGCAGUUUUCAGUAAGGUAUUCUCUGCAAGCACUGAAAUUAUCGGUAACAAAUAGUUUUGUGAUAAGGUAAUUUGUAACGGGUAACAAGUAAUGAAAGUAAAUAAGGUGCAGGAAGAUGGCCCAAUCCUUUUUGUAGCAAAGGAUAAGCCUGGACAAACUCUUAUAUGGAGGAAAAUGCUCCUGAAGACACAUGGGAAUUAUCGUCAAGCUAGUUUUCAUCACGCUCAUAUGAUUCGCGUUCGUUACUUUGAUAAUUUGAUAUGUGGGUGGACCGGUGAUUGGGUGCUUCCCUUCCUUGGACAAGCAUCCCACUUAUGAUUAACCCCUAUUGAAAGCAUGCGCAACUACAAAACAAGUAUUAAGAUAAACCUAACCAUAGCAUGAAACAAAUGGAUCCAAAUCAGCCCCUUACGAAGCAACACAUAAACUAGGUUUAAGCUUAUGUCACUCUAGCAACCCAUCGUCUACUUAUUACUUCCCAAUGCCUUUCUCUAGGCCCAAAUAAUGGUGAAGUGUCAUGUAGUCGACAUUCACAUAACACCACUAGAGGAGAGACAACAUAUAUCUCAUCAAAAUAUCAAACGAAUACCAAAUUCACAUGACUACUUAUAGCAAGACUUCUCCCAUGUCCUCAGGAAAAAAUGUAACUACUCACAAAUCAUAUUCAUGUUCAUAAUCAGAGGGGUAUUAAUAUGCAUAAAGGAUCUGAACAUAUGAUCUUCCACCGAAUAAACCAACUAGCAUCAACUACAAGGAGUAAUCAACACUACUAGCAACCCACAGGUACCAAUCUGAGGUUUUGAGACAAAGAUCGGAUACAAGAGAUGAACUAGGGUUUGAGAUGAGAUGGUUCUGGUGAAGAUGUUGAUGAAGAUUGACCCCCUCCCAAUGAGAGGAUCGAUGGUGAUGAUGAUGGUGAUGAUUUUCCCCUCCCGGAGGGAUGUUUCCCCAGCAUAACAGCUCCGCCGGAGACCUAGAUUGGUUCUACUAAGGUUCCGCCUCAUGGCGGCGGUGUUUCCUCCCGAAAGCUUCCUUCUGAUUUUGUCCAGGGUGAAAGACUUCAUAUAGCAAAAGAUGGGCACCGGAGGCCUUCCAGGGGGGCCACGAGAUAGGGGGCGCGCCCAGGGGGUAGGGCGCGCCCCCCACCCUCGUGGCCAAGGUGUGGGCCCCUCUGGUUGAUUCUUUCGCCAAUAUUUUUUAUUAAUUCCAAAACGUGCCUCCGUGAAGUUUCAGGACUUUUGGAGUUGUGCAGAAUAGGUUUCUAAUAUUUGCUCCUUUUCCAGCCCAGAAUUCCAGCUGCCAGCAUUCUCCCUCUUCAUGUAAACCUUGUAAAAUAAGAGAGAAUAGGCAUAAGUAUUGUGACAUAAUGUGUAAUAACAGCCCAUAAUGCAAUAAAUAUCGAUAUAAAGGCAUGAUGCAAAAUGGAUGUAUCUGGAGACUGCUAAUGUGACACUGACCCUUUGCAGAAACUGUGUGCGAUGCAAUAAUCGCAAACGAUGGUGUAAAAAACCGUCAAAAAGGUGCAAAAUGUUUGCGAUGAUGUAUGCAUCAAACACGGUUCAGGUUUAAGUUGUGUGUGCGACGAAGGGCGUAUGGUUAAUCCUUUCAAACUGUCUGUGAUGAGGCAGAACAACAGAAACGUGCAGCCAUAACAAUGUGUGUGCGAUGCAGGACACACGGUUAAUCCAUUCGAAUUGUUUGCGAUGAGGUAGAACAACAGAAACGGGCAGCCAUAUCAAUGUGUGUGCGAUAUACGGCAUACGAUUAACUCGGAUGAACUGUUUUCGAUUAGGGAACACAAUAGAAAUGGUUCAACUUAAUAAGAUGCGUGUGAUAUGCAGCAUACAGUUCACAUGGAUGAACUGUUUGCAAUGAGCCAAAAAAACACAAACGAGUCAUGUAAACAAGAUGUGUGUGUGAUACGUAGCAAACAGUCGACUCGGAUGAACUGUUUGCGAUGAGAAAUUACAACACAGACGGUCAAUACAGUUACUUCGUGUGUGAUUCUGUGUGUACAAAAAAUUUGGAAAAUGCAAACUAGUUGCUUGCGGUGGCUAGGAAUAUCGCACAUGAUGCGUCUGCGAGUACUCGUGUGCGAUGAUUAGUAUGUUACACAUACAUUUCCUUAUGUGAACAUGUGUGCGAAUUUGCAAUAUGGACAGUUAAUAUGCAAAUGCCUUCUAGACAUCGGGCACAUGUUUAAACUCAAUGAACUGUGUAUGAUACUAAUACUUUCCAUGAAAUUUUAUGAACUUGGGUAACAACAUUUGAGUAACAUAUAUAUAGUGGUUACACUAUUCGACAAAAGGAGGAUCUUCGUAACACGGUUUUGACAACCAUAUGGUCCAUAUCUACAUACUUAAUAUAGUAACAACUAUCACAUUUUAAGAGGCUAAGGGCCAACAACCAUAUGGUCCAUAUCUACAUACUUAACAUAUAUAGUAACAACUAGCACAUUUUAAGAGGCUGAGGGCCAACAACCACAACUAUCCACUGGAAGCAGCUUGAUCACGGCGACUCGGCAUCUUGUCAAUGAAAAGGAAGAGCCCUCCUGUGCCUUGGUAGAGCAGGAGUAGAACAGUGUCUCCAAUUUUCCAAUAUGGAUGCAUUGCCACGAGAAGCGAGAACUUGUUAAUUUGAAAGGUUCCAUUUUGCGGGAAAUGCAGUACCUUGCAAUCACUUUGGCGUUAUUAGCAGGCACAAGUGUAAUUCUACCACACCGAGAAAUCGAUCCAGGAACGGCUACAGGGGCAAUUUCUAUUGACAUGUAGAAUAAAAAACAAUUGUAACAAUACCGUUGAAGAUAUAUAUAGUUUAUGAGCAUCAACAUUAAAAUAAGACUUUUUACCAGCGCUUUAUGCACACAAUUGGUCUUGUUGAGUGUGUGCACCAUAGGUCUAAUUAAUCCCAUCCAAAUCCAGCAUUCAUAUGUUGUGCCAUCUCUGUCAGAUUAUCAACAAAGUUUAUGACAUGCUUCAAGUCCUUCCAGUGAAAUUUAGUACGCUUAGUAACAUACAGAUCGUUCACUAUGCAUCCAACAUAUCCUGCUUAAAAGGUGGAAAGGUAUUAUUUAUUUAGAACAUGGCAGAAGAAUAUAUAGUGCACAUAAAUUGGUAAAUAGAAUUUGUUACUACCUAGGAACAGAGUCAGAAUAUGAUAUCACAAUUGGUUGCUUAAAUAGUGAUCAAUUGGUUGCUUAAAUAGUAAUAUGACAGCAUGGAGAAAUUUGAAAGGACACUAACCUCGAUCAGACUUUGAUCGGCUGAUGACGUUGGGGAAGUAAACAUCCAUGUUAAUUAGACCAGGUUGUGGUGCACACACUAGAAUUUUAUUGUCAGCUUUCAGUUCAUAACACUUAGACAUUUUUCUCCAGAGGUCCGCAUUAAAAUAGGAGUGAGCAUCUUUAUCAAGUUUUACGCUAACCGUCAUUGUAAACCCAUGUUGCGUUGUCAAUAUGACAUCCUGGGAAUCAUCAGGAAAGUAAAGCCCAAGACUUCCUUCUACUCCUGUUCUUGCAAAGCAAGGGAUGUACUGCUUGAAAUGAAAAUUAAGAUCAUAAAUUAGAUAUAUUGAAAUAACCGAGCAAGAUGCAAAUAUGGGAGUAACUGAUAGAACAUAUCCAUAUAUAGAUGCAAGCAAAGUACAAAAAUAUAGAAUUAAAAAUAGAUAAUGUAACAAAGAUUUGAUGCAAAUAUAUAGAUAAUGUAGCAACAGACGGUAUAUGUUCACAAAUUUAGGCCAUGCCGACCGUGGUAGGUUGAGAUUGAACAUACCGAGUGCUCCUUGAAGUCAUCCGGAAUGGUGAGAUAAAACUUCAUUUCCAACUGGCCACGACCACAGUUGCCCGAUUUGUGCUCGCACUGUGCACACAUGAAUGAACACCCAUGAAUCAGCUAGAACAAAAAUGAUUCCAUGGUGAUUUCCACCGGAUGAUUAAUAGCGACAGACGGACUACGAUAAGAGAUGAGUGAAUAUUUUGCUAAUUAAGUUGAUUACCUUCUCCAUGAGAAAAAUUCACGGCCCAAUCCCGCAGAAAACCCUAGUCGACCAGAGUCUAGAAUGUCGGUGCAGAUAGGCGGUGGAUAGCGAUGGAGGCAAAAUCCGGUGUCGUUUGGAGCGCGACCUACGGCCGCCGCCAAUAGCCGUCGAGCUUAGGGUGCAGAGUUGCGAAGGAGUCCGCGGCGAGUGAGCGGGGACGAAGUGGGCGAGGGUUUUCUUUUCCUUUUGCAUGUGUGAGUGAACACACACGGUUCGUAGAGGCGACGGAGAUGAACCAUGUGCAAUAGUAAAUCACCGAGAUUGAAUGGGAAUCCAAAUUUCCUUUGUCUUUCAUCCAUGAGUUUUUUUCUAGGAUGAACAUAAACCCUGCUAGUCACCAUGUUCAAAUUUGACACUUUUCCGGGUUCAUUUACAGUAUUUAGGGGAUUAUGUGCAUUUUGUAGGCAUUAAUGCACAUAAUUCAAAUUCAAACAAUUGGUGCAUGAAAGGGUGCACAAGAACGGUCUGGAAAAACCAUACUUGUGGUAUUUAGUAAUUUCUCAAGCCUUUUACAAGGAAUGGGCAGAGAUUUCAAUGGAGUCAACCACAAACGCGUCAUUUACUGGGUUAUCAACUAUAGAACAAUGAAAUAUGUGCUUGAAAAACAUGACGGCUGGCAUGGUGCCAUGGUAUGGCCUCACUGUGCCCUGGUUAAAAGCUGAGAAGGUUUGAUUUAUGUCGUCAUGCACGCCCUUCAUAAAUCGAACCAUCACUGAGGAAGUUCAAUGCUUUCGAGAGGGAAAUCACCAAGAUUGAAGGAGAAUCCAAAUUUCUGUCAUAGUUUGUCUUUCAGUUUUUUCCAACAAUCAACAUACCGCCUCAAAUGAAACGUGUUCAAAUUUGACAUUUUACUGAACUCAUUUACCAUAUUUAGGGGAUUGUGUGCAUUUUCUAGGCAUUAAUUAUGCACAUAAUUCAAAUUCGAACAAUUGGUGCAUGAAAAGGUGCACAAGAACGGUCUAGAAAACCAUGCUCGUGCUAUACAAAAAAGGAAACACAUGGUUGGAAAACAUGACACCUGGUGUGGUGCCAUGGUAUGGCCUCACCAUGCCCUGGUAAAAAUUGGAGAAUGUUUUCCUCAUGUCGUGAUGCGCGCCUUUCAUAAAAUGAACCAUCAUCCGAGUAAGUUUCAUGGUUUCGAGGGGGAAAUCACCAAGAUUGAAGGGGGAUCCAAAUUUCCUUUGUCCUUUGUCCAUGAGUUUUUUCUAUGAUGAGCAUACAACCUACAAAUCACCGUGUUCAAAUUUGGCACUUUUUCGGGUUCAUUUGCCAUAUUUAGUUGAUUAUGUGCAUUUCCUAGGCAUUAAUGCGCAUAAUUCAAGUUCAAACAAUCGAUGCAUGACAGGGUCCACAAGAAUGGCCUAGAAAACCAUGCUCGUGCCAUUUAGUAAAUUAUCAUGCCUUUUACAAGGAAUAGACAUAUAUUUCGAUGAAAUGUGUGGCAAUAGUCAACCACAAAUGUUUCUUUGUUGGGUUUUCAACUAUAUAAAAAAUGAAAUAAAUGCUUAAAAACAUGACACCUAGCAUGGUGCCAUGGUAUGACCUCAUCAUGCCCUGGUAAAAAUUUGAGAAGGUUUGGCUUAUGUCGUCAUGCACGCCCUUCAUAAAUCGAACCAUCACCGAGGAAGUUCCAUGCUUUCGAGAGGGAAAAUCCCCAAGAUUGAAGGGGAAUCCUAAUUUCCAUCCUAGUUUGUCAUUUAGUUUUUUUCCAACGAUCAACAUACCGCCUCAAAUGCAACGUGUUCAAAUUUGGCAUUUUUUCGGGCACAUAUACCAUAUUUAGGGGAUUAUGUGCAUUUUCUAGGCAUUAAUGGACAUAAUUCAAAUUCGAACAAUCGGUGCAUGAAAAGUUGCACAAGAAUGGUCUGGAAAACCGUGCUCGUGUUAUUUAGCACAUUCUCAUGCCUUUUACAAGGAAUGGGCAGAUAUUUCAAGGAAAUGUGUGGCAAUAGUCAAACAUAAACGCGUUGUUUACUCGGUUAACAACUAUACAAAAAAGAAACACAUGGUUGGAAAACAUGACGCCUGGCUUGGUGCCAUGGUAUGGCCUCACCAUGCUCUGGUAAAAAUUGGAGAAUGUUUUCCUUAUGUCGUGAUGCACGCCUUUCAUAAAUCGAACCAUCACGGAGGAAGUUUCAUGGUUUCAAGGGGGAAAUCACCAAGAUUGAAGGGGGGUCCAAAUUUCCUUUCUCCUCUGUCCACGAGUUUUUUCUACGAUGAACAUGCAACCUGCAAAUCACCGUGUUGAAAUUUGGCACUUUUCCGGGUUCAUUUGCCAUGUUUAGGGGAUUAUGUGCAUUUCCUAGGCAUUAAUGCACAUAAUUCAAGUUCAAACAAUCGAUGCAUGAAAGGGUCCACAAGAACGGCCAAGAAAACCAUGCUUGUGCCAUUUAGUAAAUUCUCAUGCCUUUUACAAGGAAUGGACAGAUAUUUCAAUGAAAUGUGUGGCAAUAGUCAACCACAAAUGUCUGUUUGUUGGGUUUUCAACUAUAAAAAAUGAAAUAAAUGCUUAAAAAACAUGACGCCUCGCAUGGUGCCAUGGUAUGACCUCACCAUGCCUUGGUAAAAAUUUGAGAAGGUUUGGCUUAUGUUGUCAUGCACGCCCUUCAUAAAUCGAACCAUCAUCGAGGAAGUUCCAUGCUUUCGAAAGGGAAAUCCUCAAGAUUGAAGGGGAAUCCAAAUUUUCUUCGUUCUUUGCCCUGGAGUUUUUUUCUACGACGAACAUACACCCUGCAAAUCACCGUGUUCAAAUUUGGCAUUUUUUGGGCUCAUUUACCAUAUUUAGGGGAUUAUGUGCAUUUUCUAGGCAUUUAGCGCAUAUAAAUCCAAUCCAGCUACAGGUGCACGGGUGUGAUGUGAGGGACGUGGAUUGCCGUUUGAUCACGGCGCAUCCAACGGUGCACAUGCGCAAUCCGCAUGGAUGGGGAUCCGGCCAAUCAUAACACAACACACAAUAGGCUCAGGCACACUAUUUCUGGAAGCAAUGGAGAUGAACCGUGUGCGAUAAUGAAUGAGCAAAAUUGUAAGGGAAGCCAAAUUUCUGUUGUCGUUUGUGGUUGAGCUCUUGAAUACCACCACACUGUACGGCUGCCCGGCCCCUCCAUCCCAGAGCUCUCUCCAGGCGUCGUCCAUGGCACCGUGGCGCACAGUAACUGGUAAGGAAACGAUGGCAUCCUGUUGCGAAGCGUUCCUCGCCGCCCGCAACCGCACACAUGGUAAGGAAGCGAUGGCAUCUCGCCGUGCCGAGUUCAUCACUACCGGCGGCCAUACAGUUACAUGGGCGGACUUUGACGCUGCCAUGGCUGAAUGGGUGGUGGAUCUAGAGGCGGCCAAAGCCGCAUAGAAGGAGCGGAAAAAGGCUGAAAACAGUCAAGAAAAAAGAGUCCCGCCGCCGCAAGAAAAAAGAGGCCGCACGCCGUGGUGAGGAGAGCUUGGCGGUGAUCGAAGCACGGUGGGCUGCUACCUACAAGGCUGGGAAGGAGAACGUCGGCGUCUGGCCAGCAUGCCCUGAUGGCAGCAUGUGAGAAGUAGUUUAAGUUUGUAGUAUUAGAGCAAAUUACUAGUAGUACUUUAAGUUUGUAGUAUUAACGUACAAUGUUAGUAAGAGCAUCCUUUGAGGGCUUUGAGCGUUGAUUAGCAUGUGUGCUCGUGUGUGUUUUUUUGCGUUAAUCAUUAGAAAAUCACAAAAGACACGGUUUCUAUGCCAUACUCGUCUGCGUUUUUUGCGUUAAUGACCCAUAAGUCAAUUACCUGUGCGAUAUUUCCUAAUAAACCAGGCGUACCAUUGACCCAAAAAAUCAAGUACAUGUGUACAUUUUUUUGGAGACGGAAUCUGCCAACUUUCUUUUUUCUCGCACACGAGUAUUUCACGCGCUUCGUCUGCGUUGUGUGUUCCCCCGCCCAAGUUUCAAAUUUCGCAUUGAAAUUUUCAUUAGGCGCACAAUUUCAGAAUUUAUUCCUCCAACCACAUCCCCUUCCCCUCAGUAUCCCCCUCCCUCGCGCCUCCCCUACUGGCAUCUCAAACCACCGCCGCCGCAACCACAGCUUCAACCACAUCUACGUUUUGCUCGGAUCUAGUCAGGUAACCCACCGAUCUCUAUCACGUCCCCGGCCUGAUUGCUUAAAUGGCGCAUGCGAAACAUCCUCAUGCCUCCAAAUCCCCCUCGCCAGGAGAUGAUGGUGGUCCAUGGUGCGAUGGCCGCUGUGCGUGUUGACUCGGAGGAACACCUCUCCUCCGCCACCGACGACGACAUGGUGCGGGCUCUGGCCCAGAUGAAGUCCCCCAGCGACUACCCCCAGGACUUAACAGGUAAGAUCUGACUAGCUAAAUCUUACCAAUACCACUUGCAAUGGCUAUGAUUUGUACAGUUGAUGUAUUAAGCAUGUUCGUGCCUUGUUUAUUUCAGUAUUACACACUGUGUGAUGUUCAAAUAUUGUGUGUCCAGCUCAAUUUCACCAAUACCAGCAACAAACUUACAAUACAUGACUCAGGAUAUCACUAGAGAUGCUGCCCAUUUGCUAUUUUUAGUGGAUGCUAACCCUGUUGCACUUAACAUGCAUGUCCAUGUACUUACGCAGGGUCAUAAUGGCCGAUGCUUUUGUUUGCUGUCGAGGUGAGAUGCAUCCCAUGUCUUACAGUAUUUCACAUAAGUUGUGCAAUUGCAGUUUAACUUCUACCCAUUUACUGGUUGCCUGCAGGUACACAUGUCAGUGGCACUGAUCCACGCUUCGACCCGGAGGAACAGCUCGCCUCCGCCGUCGCUGACUUUGGGCGAGCUCUGGCCAAGAUGAAGUGCCCCAGCAACUACCUCUCAGGACUUACCAAGUAUGUACUCACCAGUUCAAUCUUACCAAUACUAGUUGCAAUUAAUGGAUAUGUUCUGUAUGGUCGAUGUAUUAAGCAUGUUCUAGUAAACAUGCCUAACACGUUUUUGCUACUAUCCCUAACUUUUUAUAGACAUAUGGGCCAUUCUCUGCUCUGGCAGCACCUGCCUUGUGAUGUUUAACUAUGCCCAUUGCAUUUUUAUCAAUACCGGUUUCAGUGUCUAUUAACCUGUUGCAAUUAACAGUUGAAUCCAUUUUAAACAGUUGCAUUUCAAUGGCUACAAACUUACAAAACAUGACUUAGGAUGUUGUUAAGCCUAUUGCAAUUAACAGUUGUAUGCAUUUUUUAAUCUGUCCAUUUGCUACCAUGCUACUCUCCGCAAUGAAGAUAUACUAGAGAUGCUGCCCUAUUUGCUAUUUUUGGUGGAUGCUAACCCUGUUGUACUUAACAUGCUUGUCCAUGUACUUACGCAGGGUCAUAACGUCUGAUAUUGUUGUUUGCCGUCAAGGUUAGCUGCAUCCCAUGUCUUACAGUAUUUCACAUCAUUUGUGCAAUUGCAGUUUAACUUCUACCAUUUACUGGUUGCCCGUAGAUACACAUGUCAGUGGCACUGAUCCAUGCUUUGACCCGGAGGAAUAGCUCGCCUCCGCCGCCGCUGACUUUGGGCAGGCUCUGGCCAAGAUGAAGUGCCCUAGCAACUACCUCUCAGGACUUACCAAGUAUGUACCCACCAGUUCAAUCUUACCAAUACCAGUUGCAAUUAAUGGCUAUGUUUUGUACUGUCGAUGUAUUAAGCAUGUUUUAGUAAACAUGCCUAACACAUUUGAGCUACUUUCCCUACCUUUUUAUAGAAAACUGGGCCAUUAUCUACUCUGGCAGCACCUGCCAUGUGGUGUUUAACUCUGCCAAUAGCAUUUUAAUCAGUACCAGUUUCAAUGGCCAUUAAGCCUGUUACAAUUAACAGUUGUAUCCAUUUUUAAAGAGUUGUAUUUCACUCGCUACAAACUUAAAAAACAUGAAUUAGGAUGUUGUUAAGCCCGUUGCAAUUAACAGUUGUAUCCAUUUUUUAAUCUAUCCCUUUGCUACCGUGCUACUCUUUCAAAAUGAAGAUAUCACUACAGAUGCUGCCGUUUUAUUACCAUUUGCUAUUUUUGGUGGAUGUUAACCCUGUUGUAGUUAACAUUGGUUUUCCAUGUACUUACAUAGGGCUACAAUGGGCGAUGAUGUUGUUUGCCAUCGAGGUUAGCUGCAUCCCAUGUCUUAUACACCAUCUAUUCCUAAAUAUAAGUAUUUUUAGAGAUUCCAAUAUAGACUACAUAAGGAGCAAAAUGAGUGAAUCUAGAUUCUAAUUUAAACUACAUCUAUAAUUCUAUAUACAUCCGUAUGUAGUUCAUAUUGAAAUCUCCAAAAAAACUUGUACUUAGGAACAUAGGUAGUUGUAUUUUACAUCAUUUUUGCAUUCUUAGUUUAGCUUCUAACAUUUACUGGUUGCUUGUAGGUACAUAUAUGAGGCGUACUGAUCCAUGCUUCGAUCCCUUUUGCAAAUGGGGCAAUGAGAUAUUCAUGAACAAGCGUCAAGUGAGGAAACUAAGAAAGAUUGUUGGGCAAAAGAAAUGGGUGAUUGGAAUUAAGCUCUUCAUUUACACUUUGUUGAAGACAACAGUGAACUUUAGGAUGGUAAGUAAUGUGUUGCCUUUUCCCCCUGCCCAUAACAAGUUACUCUAUUAGACCUCAGUAUUGGAUAUUUUUCUCUUUUCAGUGGUUUCCGAAGCUAUUUACUGAUGAUUACCUUGCAAACUACAUGACCGGAGUGGAGGCAACUAAGGUUAAAGUAUAUAAUUCAUGCUACCAUGAUAAUGCUCUAGAAGUCUUCAUGAAGGUGGUGAAGAAUGGGCGGGCGAUCGUCACAAGGGGUUUGACAAAAGUGGUUCGUGCCUAUGGCAUGCAGGAAGGCACAUUAUGGGCAUUCCGGAUCUUCAACACCGUUGGCAGUCAAAAUGAUUUACACUUGUCUCUUCACCUUUACCGCCUUUAAAUACUACGGUUCAUCAUAGUUAAUUGCUGCCUAAUCCUGUAAUUACUGAACAUAUUGUACUCGCAAUUUUAUUUAUGGAUUCGUUAUUGAACCAUUGUGCUGAGAAUUUGAAUUGCACGUUUCGUAUUUCAAAAUUUCCAAUUAGAAUAAUAAAUUACAGGAAAAAAUAAAAAUAGAACAGACGGUCAUGGACCUUUGCAAACGGUUCUAGCAGUAAAAGCGCUUGCGAUGGAUAGCCCAAUGCCACACAGUUUUCUACAUCAAAUCAUGUGUGAUGUAGUUAAUGAAAGCAAACAGUUAACCAAGGCAGAGCGUGUGUGAUAGUUACACCUUUCACACACGAGCGUAUACAUAAAACCAUGUGGGAUGUACAUCCGAACGGAAACGUUUUCCUUGGAUUGACUGUGUGGGAUGUACAUAAGAACGGAAAUGUAUUCCUUGGAUUGAUUGUGUGUGAUAUACAUACAUAAAUGUUUUUCUGGGAUUCACCGUGUGGGAUGUACAUACCUACGGAAAUGAUUUCUGGGAUUCACCGUGUGGGAUGUACAUACCUACGGGAAUGGUUUCUGGGAUUCACCGUGUGGGAUGUACAUACCUACGGAAAUGAUUGGAUUUCGAUGCCCCGCCCGAUCGCACACGGCCCCAGCCUGGGUCCCAGGAGGGCCUAUCCCCGACGAUUUCUGGGUCGUGCGGGAAGGACACCCUAUCCCACACACUCACUUGGCGACGGUUCCAAAUGCCGUCGUGGAAAGGGGUUUUAAACCAUUUGUUUAGGACCGACGCGCACCAGUGGUACUUAGAGUAGUGAUUUGCUUUAUUAUACUAACGAAUCUUACCGAACUUUCUGUUGAGUUUUGUGUGGAUGAAGUGAUCAAAGAUCGAGGAGGUCUCGAUGUAAGGAGAAAGAGGAGAGGAAAGAGCUCAAGCUUGGGGAUGCCCAAGGCACCCCAAGUAAAUAUUCAAGGAGACUCAAGCGUCUAAGCAUGGGGAUGCCCCGGAAGGCAUCCCAUCUUUCUUCAACAAGUAUCGGUAUGUUUUUGGUUUCGUUUCGUUCAUGUGAUAUGUGCAAAUCUUGGAGCGUCUUUUGCAUUUAGUUUUUCCCUUUUUAUUUUAUGCACCAUGCUGGUAUGAGAUAGUCCAUGGUUGAUUUAUAUAAUGAUCAUUGCACUUCACUUAUAUAUUUUGAGUGGCUUUAUAGAAUGCUUCAUGUGCUUCACUUAUAUCAUUUGAAGUUUGGAUUGCCUGUUUCUCUUCACAUAGAAAACCGUUAUUUGAAGAAUGCUCUUUUGCUUCACUUAUAUUUAUUAGAGCAUGGUCUUUUGUAGAAAGAAUUAAACUCUCUUGCUUCACUUAUAUCUAUUUAGAGAGUCAAAAGGAAUUGGUCAAUUGCAUGGUUAGUCAUAAAAUCCUACAUAAAACUUAUGGAUCAUUGAAUAUGAUAUGUUUGAUUCCUUGCAAUAGUUUUGUGAUAUAGAGAUGGAAUAUGUGGGAGGUACUACUAAAUAGUUGUGGUUCAUAAGAAUAUUGGUGUUAAGGUUUGUCAUUCCCUAAGCAUGCACGUAUAGUCUUUUGUUUUGCUAUGAAGUUGGAGCAUGAUUUAUUAUUGAUUGUCUUCCUUAUGAGUGGCGGUCGGGGACGAGUGAUGGUCUUUUCCUACCAAUCUAUCCCCCUAGGGGCAUGCGUAGUUGUACUUUGCUUGAAGGGCUAAUAAACUUUUGCAAUAAGUAUAUGAGUUCUUUAGGACUAAUGUGAGUCCAUGGAUUAUACGCACUCUUACCUCUUUGCAAUUUGCUAGCCUCUACGGUACCGUGCAUUGCCCUUUCUCACAUCGAGACAUGGUGCAAACUUCGCAGGUGCAUCCAAAUCCCGUGAUAUGAUACGCUCUAUCACACAUAAGCCUUAUUAUAUCUUCCUCAAAACAUCCACCAUACCUAUCUAUUAUGGCUUUUCCAUGGAUAUUCCGCCAUGCAACUUCCAUCGCUUCCGUUUGAUGACUUGAGCAUUCAUUAUUAUAUUGCUUUGCAUGAUCAUAUAGCUCACGUAGUAGUUGUGGCUCAGCCACCGUUCAUCAUUUUUCAUACAUGUUAUGCUAGAUCAUUGCACAUCCUGGUACAUGCCAGAGGCAUUCAUAUAGAGUCAUAUUUUGUCAUAGGUAUCGAGUUGUAAUUUUUAUUUCUUUUGAGUUAUAAGUAAAUAGAAGUGUGAUGAUCAUCAUUAUUCAUUUUUAGAGCAGUGCCCCAGUGAGGAAAGGAUGAUGGAGACUAUGAUUCCCCCACAAGUCGGGAUGAGACUCCGGACAAUGAGAGAAAAAGAAAAGAAAAAAAGGAAAAAAAGAAAAUAAAAAAAACAAAGAGAGAAGGGGCAUUGUUAGUAUCCUUUACCACACUUGUUCUUCAAAGUAGCACCAUGUUUUUCAUAUGGAGAGUCUUGUAUGUUGUCACUUUCAUAUACUAGUGGGAAUUUUUCAUUAUAGGAUUAGAUGCACACCCACUUAGUUUUCAUAUUGAGCUUUCAUACACUUAUAGCUCUUAGUGCAUCCGUUGCAUGGCAUUCCCUACUCCUCACGUUGAUAUCAAUUGAUGGACAUCUCCAUAGCCCGUUGGUUAGCCGCGUCGGUGUGAGACUUUCUUACUUUUUUAUCUUCUUUAUAUUUACCCCUAUCAUCAUACUCUAUUCCACCCGUAGUGCUAUAUCCAUGGCUUGUGCUCAUAUAUUGUCUGAGGGUUGAAAAAGCUGAACCGCAUUAAAACGUAUGAACCAAUUGCUCGGCUUGUCAUGGGGGUUGUGCAUGAUAAAUACUUUGAGUUAAGAAGAUAGAGCAUGACAAGACUAUAUGAUUUUGUAGGGAUAGCUUUCUUUACCAUUGAUAUUUUGAAAGACAUGAUUACUUGUUGGAAUGCCUGAGUAUUGAUGUCUUUAUGUCAAAUUAUAGACUAUUGCUUUGAAUCACUUAUGUCUUAAUAUUCAUGCCAUGAUUAGAUAUAUGAUCAAGUUUAUGCUAGGUAGCAUUCCACAUCAAAAAUUAUCUUUUUUAUCAUUUACCUACUCAAGGACGAGCAAGAAUUAAGCAUGGGGAUGCUGAUACAUCUCCGUCGUAUUUAUAAUAUUUGAUUGUUUCAUGCCAAUAUUAUACAACUUUUACUUACUUUUGGCAACUUUUUAUAUGAUUUAUUGGACUAACCUAUUGAUCCAGUGCCUAGUGCCAGUUCCGGUUUUUUGCAGGUUUUUUGUAUCGCAAAAAAUCCAUAUCAAACGAAGUCCAAAUGCAAUAAAAUUUCACGGAGAAUUAUUUUGGAAUAUAUGUGAUUUUUGGGAGUUGGAAUCACCGCAAACGGAGUCCCUGGUGGGCACAACCCACCAGGAUCCGACCCCUGAGCCAGGCACGUGGUGGUGGGUUGUGCCCACCUCGUAUGUCGGUUGGAGCUCUACUUCGGGCGCAAGGAAGCUUAUAUCCGGAAAAAAAUCUUGUUAAAAUCUCAGCGCAAUCAGAGUUACGGAUCUCCGGGAAUAUAAGAAACGGUUUUUGGCCAGAUCUAGGGAAUGCGAAACUGAAGAGAACAGAGAGGGAGAUCCAAUCUCGGAGGGGAUCCCGCCCCUCCAGGGCCAUGGAGGCCAUGGACCAAAGGGGGAACUCUCCUCCCAUCUAGGAGGGAGGCCAGGGAAGAAGAAGAAGGAGGGGGGCUCUCUCCCCCUCUCUCCCGGUGGCGCCGGAGUGCCGUCGAGGCUAGGAUUGUGACGGCGAUCUACACCAACAAUCUUGCUACCAUCAACACCAACUCUCUCCCCCUCUAUGUAGCAGUGUAACACGUCUUCCCCCCACUGUAAUCUCUACUUAAACAUGGUGCUCAACUCCAUAUAUUAUUUCCCAAUGAUCUAUGGUUAUCCUAUGAUGUUUGAGUAGAUCCGUUUUGUCCUAUGGGUUAAUCGUGAUCUUGGUUGGUAUGAUUGUAUAUUUUAUUUAUGGUGCUGUCCUAUGGUGCCCUCUGUAUCGAGCAAACAUGAGGGCCCCCCGCUGUAGGGUGUUGCAAUAUGUUCAUGGUUUGCUUAUUGUCAGUGUUGCGGGGGAUGACAGCAGUCCAAACACGGAUAGGUGGGUUAUGGCGAAUGGGAGUAAAGAGGACUUGAUACUUAAUGUUAUGGUUGGCUUUCACGACCUUAAUGAUCUUUACUAGUUGUGGAUGCUUGCUAGGGGUCCAACCAUAAGUGCAUAUGAUCCAAGUAGAGAAACUAUGUUAGCUCAUGCAUCUCCCUCAUAUAAAAUUACAAGAAUGAUUACCGGUACUUGUUAUCGAUUGCCUAGGGACAAAUAACUUUCUUGUUGACAAAACCUCUCUACUAAAACUAACUUAGUUGUGUCUUUAUCUAAACAUCACCUAGAUUUUAUUUACGUGCUCUUUAUUAUCUUGCAAACCUAACCUAUCACAACUACAAAGUAAUUCCAAUUUCAUACUUGUUCUAGGUAAAGUGAACGUCAAGCGUGUGUAGAGUUGUAUCAGUGGUCGAUAGAACUUGAGGGAAUAUUUGUUCUACCUUUAGCUCCUCAUAGGUUUGACACUCUUAUUUAUCAAAGAAUGCUACAAACGAUCCCCUAUACUUGUGGGUUAUCAAGAGGCCAUGGUUGGUCCACUUCCUCGCCCCGUGCUUCCUCGCGCCGUCCGACCGGACGUGCUGUUCACGCUCGGGGUCGCUGCCGCUGCCGGAUCUUCUCCCGGAGCCGCGUCCGGAGCUCCACAUGCGGCCCCACAUGGCGGCUGGAGGCGGAAGGGGCUCGUCGACGGCGAGAAAUGUGAGGAGGGGAGUGGGGAAUUAUGGAGCGCGGCGGCGGCGGGGGGAUAGGGUUUAGACCCGCAAACGCAUCGCGAACCCAUAGAUAUACUGGUCGGGGCAGGCGGUUUGCGGGCCGCGGUAAAUAUUUUUACGGGUCGGGCGAGUAUACGGGCUCUGUUCUGGCCAAAAAAUUGGGCCGAGCCCGUAUACUUGCUGGAAUUUUGCAGGUUUGCGGCUUUUGCGGGGUCUGCUAGAAUUGCUCUAAGAAAUAUGCAAAACCCGGCUUCAUUCAUUAGAUUUUAUUACUUCAAGAAUUUGAUUUGCAAAUUAUCAAUAACAUGGGCGAAGAUAACCAAGUUCGGUUUAAUCUUAUAUUUCUUAACCGCCACAUAAUAUUGUGCAGUAGGUGCACACAUAUAAUCAUUCUUGGAAGCAGUGAAGUCCCAAGUUUCUUGCUAGCCAUAAUGGUAAAUUAUUGAUUUUUUUUAAGUUGCAAAAAAUAGGUUGACAACAAAAACAAAUUAAAACUGACGCGAAAAUAGAGUAACCUUACUAGGAAAGAACCUUGUCAGUGGCGCCAGAAAAAGGGUUGAUUAUCAUUGAUCCUGUCUCGGGUGUAGAUAUGGCCUUCUUCUCUAGAGAUCCUAUAAUUUAAAAAAUCCAUAAAGUGAUGAUGCUUGGUACAAAAAUAUCUGCAAGUACUUGUUAUUUCAAGAUGUUCGAGUUUGCUUGGCCAAUCGUAGAGGCGGUGAAAACACUAAUAAAGAAAUAGGCCCGGGCUUAAGAUUUCACCUGCCCUCGUGCACAUGGGCUCGGGAUACAAACUAGAUAAAUCAACAUGGCACUAGUAAACAUUGUUAAUUAUGUAGUGCAUGAACUAUGUGUGGUAUGCAUCCGAAUAACCCCAGGACCGACUACCACCCAAUCGAGGUUGUGUUGUCCAACCGAGACAAACGCAUUAGGGGGUUACUGACUACACCAUAAUUACCACCGAAGAUUUUAUUCUAGCUAUCAUACUAAUCUUACUAUCACUGACAUUUGACGUACCUUUCGACUCCUCUCAACACUUUAACUCUGUGUGUUUCGAUCUUCAGUAUCUUGGGUACCAGCAAACCCUAGUAUUGAGGUAGAGAGAAGAGACAAUAUAGUUGCACAACACAUAUAAAUAAUAUAAUCUCAAAGUAAACUAACAAUCUCCUAAUGCGCAUACAUGGGGCUGCGAAGCUAUGCCUCAACCCUUAGCCUAAGGUGACUACUCACACAUCACGAAUAAAUCACAAAGAAUAGACAUUAUAAGCAAAGUUACUUGAAGAUAAAUGAUUGAAAGUCUUACAAUGCUCAUGAUCAUGAUGUAAUAUCAAUUGCAAGUUAUUAAACUAAUCUAGAUGGAGGCUAUGGUGGUGGAGAUGGCGAUGGUGGCAUCACAAAGGCGAUGUAGAUAGGAAUGGUGACUACUAGGAAUGUAAACCGGCGAACUCAAAACUCUCAGGACUCCUCGAGGGUUUUCCUCUCCUUUAUAUAGUGCAAAUGGAUGGAGAAGGAUUUUGGGGCGCCUGUACUAUGAAUCAGCAUCGGAUCCUUUUGCAAAAGUCGUCGGGGAUGGUAUCAUCGAGGCGGUGGUCGUACCAUGCACAAUCUUCUCAUCAGUAUAUUCAGUAUAUGUCUUGAAUUUUCACGUAAAUCACGCAGUUCUGUAAGGAACAAUAUAAACAAGGAGAUUUUUAACCCUUCAAAUUUAUUAGUCAUUAGUAGGCAAAUCGAUGUGACUAUACAAAAAUACUUGAAAAAAUCUGGUUUAAACAUGAGUGAAUAUGAGUGGAGAUUCCACUCGUCAGCACUGUCAGCACAUCAAGUUUAGUCGCCAGUUUUGAGGCAGGCGUCAUCGAUGGAAUUGAUAGCAGUUGUACCUUUGGUGGGAAUGUAGGCAACAUUCCAGAGACGGGCAGGUGCGCCUGCCUAAAAGAUCUGCCAUGGCGAUUAGAAGCCUGGCAGCAAAUUUAGUAGCAUCUUUUUUAGCGAAUUAUAGCAGCAUCUAGCCCCCACCCCAGGGUAAGGAAAUAUUAUUGGUCACCACCGGUCCACCACCCAUAGAUUUUGCAAAGGUUAAGGGCACAUUCGGCAGCCCACAAAAUCGCAAUCAGGCCCAUUGUAUGCAACAUCUUUUUGGUGUUGGGUUGUUUGGUUAGAUGCAAAUAUUGUUGAGACUGGUGCAUCGGGCAGCCCGGUCACGGGCGGCGGCGACUUUUGCUGCGGCGGCGCGUCAUCUGACUUCAGAUCGGCAGCGGCAUGGAGGGCCUUGUGGGCUGCGCUGCGGCAUCUUUGGUCAGAUCUAUUCUGGCCAGUGCACCCGGCGGUGGUGGUCAUCUCCUCCAUCGGAGGUGGUCAGCCUAAGGCUGGGUGAUCGAAUCCCGAGAUCUGUCAUCUAGUCCCGGUUGCGAGUUAGGGAGACAUGGUUGCUUGUGAAAACCGAGCCAACGGCAGGCGAUAGUGGUGUUUUGCACCGUUACCUUGAUGAAGGCAUCAUCGAGUAACUACUGUCAACCCAUUUGUGCUGCUUCGGGGGAAACCCUAUUAUCUUGUGUUCUAGAUUAGACGAUGGAAGCACUACGGUGUUGUCUCUCUCUUGGGAGUAUUGUUUGUGGAGCAGCGCUGGAAGGCAGAGGCAGGAGGCGAAGCGGCUUCGUCUUGAACGGAGCUUCGGUGGACAUGUCAAGUCAUGCUUGGCCGACAGGUGCUACGCUUUGUCAUGCCUAGUCGGCAGGUGCUAUGCACGACAGAUCUUCCAGAGUCUCAGCGUCUGGAUGGACGAGCGCAGGGUGGUGGCGUCGUUGGGUGCCAUGGUGGCGUCGACGGUUGGUUGGACUAGAAAGGAUGAUGCAGAUCUCUCUCCUGAAGAUGGGACAGUGGUUUGAUGAUGAUGGCGGCUUCUAAAACGUGUGCAUGUGGUGUACGCUUUAGGUCUGCCACACCGGUUGUUGGUUCUGAUACGUUAUAUGGAUGGAUCGGUGAUGACAUCGGUUAUAGAUAUAGGGACUGAGAGCACUCCACAUUAUCAAGUUUGUAGGUGUGAGUGAUGACUUCGGGUGGCUUGAUGUAUGUUUAUGUCAGUCCUUCGUGGAAUAAUUAAUAAAGAUGGCAGUAUGCAUUGAUUGAUGCAGAAGCCGGGGGUUUAACCUCCUUUUCCAAAAAAAUACUGUUGAGCCUACAUAGCAUGGUUCUUAAGGCAUCUCUCGGCAGUUUCCAGCAAGCCAGGCCCGAGUGGUUAUUUGGAGCAAACAUUGAUGGCUCGCUAGGAACGUGUUUGCACGUGAUCACUUAUCCUUAAUCACUUAUCUUCCCCUCUCUCUCUUACCUCUUUCCCUCUGUUCCUUCACAUGGAACAAACAAGAGUCAACCCGCCGCCGGCCCUCCUCUACGUCACCACCAAGUCCCACGACCACCAAAAAUCAUCAGAUCCGACCAUCCCGACCUUCUAUGCAGCGCAUCCACCUUGUCCUUGCUCCACACCAUGUCAUCAGUCACCGUGGCUCCGUCGGACACUGGCCCUGGCGGCCCCCGUGCUCUCUCGUAACACCUUUUCCAGGAACCCCUGCUUCAGCUACUCUUCCUCAACAAUUGCUUGGCACCGGAUUCAGCGUUGCGUCGUCGCCCGGCCGCCCUCAUCCCCAGGGACCAGCCCGUCGUCGAUGCGCACAUCCUCGCCAGCGGGGCCGAAGGCACAUCCUCUGCAGCAUGGCCAUCAAGAACGGUCUCACGCACACCCUGUCGCGCAUGUGGCCACGCACGCCGACUCGACCUACUUCAUGGGGCUCAUCGACGCAUGGCUGUGUGCCGCUUGCUCGACUAGCUGCAGAACGUCAUGGGCCUCGACACGCUCUACGACUUUGCCAAGCAGUGGUCUUAUGCAUCGGUGGGCGUUGACAAGUUCAUCAACAAGGCGGAGAUCAAGGCGGCGCUGGGCAUGCGCCCGGACGUGACAUGGGAGGAGUGCAACGACGCGGUGGUGGCAGCCACGCAUGAGUAUGUGAUGAAGAGCAUGUUGUCGGAGGUGGCAGCUUCAUACUGCACUUCAUCCCGUUGUCGUGGGUGGUCGUUGAUAACCCACAAGUAUAGGGGAUCAAUUGCAGCUCUUUUCGAUAAGUAAGAGUGUCGAACCCAACAAGGAUCAGAAGGAAAUGACAAGUGGUUUUCAGCAAGGUAAUGUCUGCAAGUGUUGAAAUUGUAAGUAGCAGAGUAGUUUGAUAGCAAGAUAAUUUGUAAUAAGCAAGUAACGAUAGUAGUAACAAAAGUGCAGCAAGGUAGCCCAAUCCUUUUGAGCCAAAAGACAUGCCAAAACAGUCUCGUAUAAUAAGCAAAGCAUUCUUGAGGGUACACGGGAAUUUCAUCUAGUCACUUUUCACCAUGUUGAUUCAAUUUGUGUUUGCUACUUUGAUAAUUUGAUAUGUGGGUGGACCGGUGCUUAGGUGUUGUUUCUUACUUGAACAAGCCUCCUACUUACGGUUAACCCUCUCGCAAACAUCCGCAACUACGAGAAAAGUAUUAAGAAUAAAUUCCAACCAUAGCAUUAAACUUUUGGAUCCAAUCGGUACCUUACGGAAUAGCGCAUAAACUGGGGUUUAAGCGUCUGUCACUCUCCCAACCCAUCAUCUCUUACUACUCCACAAUGCAGUUCCUUAGGCCCAAAUAUGGUGAAGUGUCAUGUAGUCGACGUUCACAUGACACCACUAAGGGAAUCACAACAUACAUACUAUCAAAAUAUCGAACACAUAUCAAGAGUUCACAUGAUUACUCGCAACAUGAUUUCUCUCGUGACCUCAAGAACAAAAGUAACUACUCACAGAUGAUAAUCAUGCUCAAGAUCAGAGGGGUAUUAAAUAUCAUAUUGGAUCUGAACAUGUAAUCUUCCACCAAAUAAACCAUAUAGUAAUAAACUACAAGAUGUAAUCAACACUACUAGUCACCCACAAGCACCAAUCUAUAGUUCCGGUAACAAGAUUGAACACAAGAGAUGAACUAGGGUUUGAGAUGAGAUAGUGAUGUUGAAGAUGUUACUGGAGAUUGCCCUCCCCAAGAUGGGAGAGUUGGUGGUGAUGAUGAUGAUGAUGAUUUCCCCCUCCGGGACGGAAGUUCCCCGGUGGAAUCGCUUCGCCGGAGGGCAAAAGUGCUCCUGCCCAAGUUCCGCCUCGAGACAGCGGCGCUCUGUCCCGAAAUUCCUCUCCUUAUUUUUUUUCUAGGUCAAAAUGACCUAUAUACCAGAAGAUGGGCACCGGAGGUGGCCCUGGGUAAGCACAACCCACCAGGGUGCGCUUGGGCUCCCUCGCGCACCCAGGUGGGUUGUGCCCACCUGUUGGGCCCCCUCUAGUACUUAUUUGCUCCAAUAUUCAUCAUAUAUUCCGUAAAAAUUCUCCGUGAAGUUUCAGCUUGUUUGGAGUUGUGCAGAAUAGGUAGCCUGACAUAGCUUUUCCAGGUCCAGAUUUCCAGCUGCCGGAGUUCUCCCUCUUUGUGUGUACCUUGCAUAUUAUGAGAGAAAAAACAUUAGAAUUACUCCAAAAAAGCAUUAUUAUGCAUAAAAACAUCAUAAAUAACAGUAGGAAAACAUGAUGCAAAAUGGAUGUAUCAACUCCCCCAAGCUUAGACCUCGCUUGUUCUCAAGCGAAAAACCGAAAUAAAAAAACAUGUCCACAUGCUUAGAGAGAGAGAGAGGUGUCAAUAAAACAAAAUACGGACAUAGAAGCAUCAUUUUGGUUAUUAUAACAACAAAAAAUUUAAACAUAAGACUUUUAUCAUAGAGCCUUUAUCAUAAACUUCUCAUGAAUAAGUAACAGUUCAUCACACAAUUGAGGUAUAAAGCAUAAACUCUAUUAGAAACCAACAAACUAUGUUCUCAGUCAGCUUUGCAACUACAAGUCAUCAUAUUUUCAGGAAGGGUCACGUAUCGGAGCCUUUAGGCAAGUCCAUGAUGUCACUUGAAGCUACGUCGGUAUUUCCCAAAGAGGAAGGGAUGAUGCAGCACAAGGACGGUAGGUAUUUCCCUUAGAUAUGAAACCAAGGUUAUCGAACCAGUAGGAGAACCAAGAAACACAACGUAAACAGCCCCUACACACAAAUAACAACACCUCGCAACCCGAUGUGUUAAAGGGGUUGUUAAUCCCUUUCGGGUACGGUGCCAAAUAAAAUAAAUAGAAAUAAAACACAACAGGGUAUUUUUGUAUUUUUGGUUUAAUAGAUCUGAAAAUAAAUUGCAAGAGAAAAAUAGAUCGCAAAGGCAAAUAUAUGAGAAAGAAGACCCGGGAGUCAUAGGUUUCACUAGUGGCUUCUCUCGAGAAAAAUAGCAAACGGUGAGUAAACAAAUUAAUGUUGGGCAAUUGAUAGAACUUCGAAUAAUCAUGACGAUAUCCAGGCAAUGAUCAUUAUAUAGGCAUCACGUCCAACAUUAGUAGACUGACUCCUGCCUGCAUCUACUACUAUUACUCCACACAUUGGCCGCUAUCCAGCAUGCAUCUAGUGUAUUCAGUUCAUGGAAAAACAGAGUAAUGCAAUAAGAACAAUGACAUGAUGUAGAGAAGAUCUACCUAUGUAGAGAUAGACCCCAUCGUUUUAUCCUUAGUGGCAACGAUACAUACAUGUCAUUUCCCCUUCUGUCACUAGGAUCAAGCACCGUAAGAUCGAACCCACUACAAAGUACCUCUUCCCAUUGCAAGAUAGAUAGAUCAAGUUGGCCAAACAAAACCCAAAUAUUGGAGAAGAAAUACAAGGCUAUAAGCAAUCAUGCAUAUAAGAGAUCAAAGAAACUCAAAUAACUUUCAUGGAUAUAAAAAGAUAUAACUGAUCAUAAACUCAAAGUUCAUCAGAUCCCAACAAACACACUGCAAAAGAGAGUUACAUCAUAUGGAUCUCCAAGAGACCAUUGUAUUGAGAAUGAAAAGAGAGAGAGGAAGCCAUCUAGCUACUAACUACAAACACGAAGGUCUACAAAGAACUACUCACGCAUCAUCGGAGAGGCACCAAUGGAGGUGGUGAACCCCAUCCGAGAUGGUGUCUAGAUUGGAUCUGGUGGUUCUGGACUCUGCGGCGGCUGGAUGAAUAUUUCAUCGACUCAGGUGGUCCGGGGGUAUUUAUGGUGGUUUUGGGAAUAUUGGGUAUUUAUAGAGCAAAGAGGCGGUCCGGAGGGCACCCGAGGUGGGCACAACCCACCAGGGCGCGCCUGGGCCUCCUGGCGCGCCCUGGUGGAUUGUCCCCUCCUCACGAUUCCCCCCAGGCUCAACAACUGGCAAUUGGCACUAUGUCAAUAGGUUAGUACCAAAAAAAUGAUAUAAAAUGACUAUAUAAUUAUUAUAAAACAUCCAUGAUUGAUAAUAUAACAACAUGAAACAAUCAAAGAUUAUAGAUACGUUGCAGACAUAUCAGCAUCCCCAAGCUUAACUCCUACUCAUCCUCGAGUAGGUAAGUGAUAAAAACAGAAUUUUUGAUGUGGAAUGCUGCCUAACAUGUCAUAUCAUAUUUUUUCUUUAUAGCAUGGACAAUUGAACUUUUAUGUAAUUCAAAGUAAUAGUCUAGUUUUGACAUAAUAAUUUAGAUACUCAAGCAUAUCAACAAGCAACCAUGUCUUUCAAAAUAUCAAUGCUAAAAUAAGUUAUCCCCAACCCUGCUCAAUCAUUGAUCCAUUCAUGAAACACACUCAAAUAUUAGCUACAGCCAAUACUUAAGUACUAUCAUAUUGCCUCCUAGUUGGUGCUUUUAUAAGAGAAGAUGGAGACUCAAGAAAAAUAAAAUUUGCAUAAAGUAAAAAAGAAAGGCCCUUCGCAGAGGCAAGUAGGGAUUUGUAGAGGUGCUAGAGCUCAAAACAAAAAAUUAGAGAUAAAAUCAUUUUGGGAGGUUUAUCCAUCCCACCAACGAAAACGACUUAGAGUUCCCAACACUUUCCAUGCUAGAUAUAUCAUAGGCGGUUCCCAAACAGAAAAUAAAGUUUAUUCCUUUUUCCACCAUACUUUCACUUUCCAUGGCUAGCCAUAUCCACGGUUUCCCUCCAUACCAACACUUUCCAAGGAAUUUAAUAUUUGACAACAUAAACUAAAUUCAUUUUUGCAUUUCAGGACUAGGCAUCCCUAAAACCUUUGCCUUACCUCAUGCAAUGACAAGUGAAUAAACACUCAUCAUGAGAGUAACACAUCCAGCAUGGAAAAUAUUAGCCAACCCUGACCGCUCCGCGAGCGAAACAAACACACAAAAGAGAAGUUUAUUUUGAAAUUAGAGAUGGCACAUGCAAAUUUGCUUAGAAUGGCAAAAGAAUACCGCAUAUAGGUAGAUAUAGUGGACUCAUGUGGCAAAACUGGUUUAAAGGAUUUUGGAUGCACAAGUAGAGAUCAUACUUGGUGCAAAAUGAAGGCUAGCAAAAGAUUGAUAAGCGACCAACCAAGAAAUGAAUAAUCUCAUAAGCAAGCAUUAAGCAUAAUUAACACCGAAUGAUGCACCACAAGGAUAUAAUUUCAUUGCAUGACUAUUGACUUUCGUGCUUGCAUAGGGAAUCACAAACCUUAACACCAAUAUUCUUACUAAAGCAUAAUUACUCAUCAACACAACUCACAUAUUACAUCAUCAUAUCUCAAAACUAUUACUAAGAACCAAGUUUAUUUUGUCCAAUGAUCUUCAUAAAUUUUUUUGUUAUAUCCUUCUUGGAUAUCUAUCACUUUGGGGCUAAUUUUCAUGUCUUGCUUUUCAUAAGCUCAAACAAAUAUAAGUGAAGAUCAUGAGCAUACUUUUUAUCCUUCUCUCAAAAUAAUUUAAGUGAAGCAAGAGAGAAUUUCUUCAAAAAUAAUAAAUCACACCAUGCUCAAAAAGAUAUAAGUGAAGCACUAGAGGAAUUCCAUUGCUCAUAAAAAUUUAACUGAAGCAUAGAGAGCAAUUCUAACAAGUCAUGACAUAAUUUUGGCUCUCUCAAAAAGGUGUGUCCAGCAAGGAUUGAUGACUUAAGACACAAAUGAAACAAGCAAAGACUCAUAUCAUACAAGACGCUCCAAGCAAAACACAUAUCAUGUGACAAAUAAAAAUAUAGCUUUGAGUAAAAUACCGAUGGUCAUUGGAAGAAAGUGGGGAUGUCACUCGGGGGCAUCCCCAAGCUUAGUUGGUUGCUCAUUUUUGGAUAAUAGCCUGGUAUGCUGGGGCAUCCCCAAGCUUAGGCUCUUCUAUCCUUCCUUCAUCCAUCGUGAGAUAACCCAAAACUUGGAAAUUUCAAUCACACAAAACUUAACAAAAUCUUUGUGAGAUCCGUUAGUAUAAGAAAGCAAACCACUUCUAUAAGUACUGUAUCAAACCAAUUCAUAUUUUGUUUUUGUAUUAUAUACACUGUAUUCCAACUUUUCUAUGGCAAAAACUCAUCAAAGAAAACCAUAGAGCCAUCAAAAUAAGCACACAACACAAAGAAAACAGAAUCUGUCAAAACAGAAUAGUCUGAAGCAAUCUGACUAUUUUGAAUACUUCUGUAACUCCAAACAUUCUGAAAAAAUAGGACUACCAGGGUAAUUUGUGUAUUAAUCUUAUGAAAAAUAAUUGGCAUUUUAUCAUGUUCUGGUGAUUUUUAACAAUUGUUUUCGUGGCUGCACAAGUUUCUGUUUUUCAGCAAGAUCAAACAACUAUCACCCAAGAAGAUCCUAUAGGAUUUACUUGGCACAAACACUAACUAAGACACAUAAAACACAAUCAUACCAGUAUCAUAAUUCUGCAAACACACAAGAACAGAAAGCAAAAGCAAAAAUAAAUUUUAUUCAUUGGGCUGCCUCCCAACAAGCGCUAUAGUUUUACGCCCUUAGCUACACAUAAAGCGAGGAUCUAAGUAUUGCCAUCUUUGGUUCGAGAUCCAUAAGAUGCCCUCAUGAUUGAUUCAUAAGGUGGCUCAGUUCUUGUUCUAGGAAACUGUUCCAUUCCUUUCCUCAAAGGAAAUUGGAACUUAAUAUUGCCUUCUUUCAAAUCAAUCAUGGCACCGAUAGUGUGUAAAAACGGUCUACCAAGAAUAAUUGGACAAGACGGAUUGCAAUUAUCAAGAACAAUAAAAUCUAUGGGCACAUAAUUCCUAUUUGCAAGAAUAAGAACAUAAUUAAUUCUUCCCAUAGGCUUUUUAAUAGUAGAAUCCUCCAAGUGCAAAUUCAAAGAACAUUCUUCAAGAUUAGUAAGACCAAGCACAUCACAUAAAGAUUUCAGAAUUGUAGAAACAGUAGCACCCAAGUCACACAAAGCAGAACACUCAUAAUUUUUAAUCUUGACUUUGAUAGUAGGUUCCCAUUCAUCAUGCAAUUUUCUAGGAAUUGAAACUUCUAAUUCCAAUUUUUCUUCGAAAGCUUUCAUCAUAGCAUCAACAAUAUGUUUAGUAAAAGCUUUAUUUUGUUCAUAUGCAUGAGGUGAAUUUAUCAUGGAUUGCAACAAAGAAAUACAAUCAAUCAAAGAGCAACUAUCAUAAUUAAAGUCUUCGUAAUCCAAAAGAGUGGGCACAUCACUAGUUAAAGUUUUGACCUCUCCAAACCCAUUUUAAUCAAUUUUCUCAACAAGAUUUUCACCCUCUGAAAUAUUGGGACGCCUUCUACCUAUAGUUGACUCUUCUCCAAUCCCUUUUUCAUUAGUCUUAACUUUACUAAACAAGGAAUCAAUAGAAGAAACACUAAUCAUCUUAAUAUUUUCAUCAUCUUUAUCUUCUAACGAGAUUGGUUUAGCAGCCAUUUGAUUUACUAAGGUAGCUUGUGCAUCGGAUCUUUUUCCUAGCAAACUUUUAGCAAAAGCAUACUUAGAUUGGAGAUUGCAAACUUCUCUACUAAUAUCAUCAAGUUAUUUUGUAAUAGCAUCUAGCACAACAGAGUGCUCCUUAAGUUCUUCGGUAAAAUACUUAUUAUGCUCAAAUUGUGUAGUCAUACAUUCCUUAGUACUUUUCUCAAUUUCAAGCAAAAUAUUGGGGUAAGGAACAUCAUAAUAUUUUCUUUGAGGCAUCAUGAUUACGCAAACAAGAACGCACACAAAAACAGAACCGGCAAGAAAAUGGCGAACGGAAAAAAGGAGCGAAUAAAACGGCAAAUUUUUGUGAAGUGGGGGAGAGGAAAACGAGAGGCAAAUGGCAAAUAAUGUAAAUUGCAAGGAGAUGAGAUUUGUGAUUAGGAACCUGGUAUAUGUUGAAGAUCCUUCCCAGCAACGGCGCCAGAAAUUCCCUUUGAUGUCGCUUCAAUCUACGUCGGUAUUUCCCCAAAGAGGAAGGGAUGAUGCAGCACAGCGGCGUUAGGUAUUUCCCUCAGAUAUGAAACCAAGGUUAUCGAACCAGUAGGAGAACCAAGCAACACAACGUAAACAACCCCUGCACACAGAUAACAAAUCCUCACAACCUGACGUGUUAAAGGGGUUGUCAAUCCCUUCCGGGGUACGACGCCUCAAGAUAGGCAAACGGACGUGAGAUAAAUUGUAGUAGAUUGAUAGAUCGAAUGCCAAAUAAAAUAAAUAGAAUAAAAUGCAGCAAGGUAUUUUUGUAUUUUUGGUUUAAUAGAUCUGAAAAUAAAUUGCAAGAGAAAGUAGAUCGCAAAGGCAAAUAUAUGAGAAAGAAGACCCGGGGGCCGUAGGUUUCACUAGUGGCUUCUCUCGAGAAAAAUAGCAAACAGUGGGUAAACAAAUUACUGUUGGGCAAUUGAUAGAACUUUGAAUAAUCAUGACGAUAUCCAAGCAAUGAUAAUUAUAUAGGCAUCACGUCCAACAUUAGUAGACCGACUCAUGCCUCAAUCUACUACUAUUACUCCACACAUCGACCGCUAUCCAGCAUGCAUCUAGUGUAUUAAGUUCAUGGGAAGACAGAGUAAUGCAAUAAGAAUGAUGACAUGAUGUAGAGAAGAUCUACCUAUGUAGAGAUAGACCCCGUCGUUUUAUCCUUAGUAGCAAUGAUACAUACGUGUCAUUUCCCCUUCUGUCACUAGGAUCAGGCACCGUAAGAUCAAACCCACUACAAAGCACCUCUUCCCAUUGCAAGAUAAAUAGAUCAAGUUGGCCAAACAAAACCCAAAUAUCGGAGAAUAAAUACGAGGCUAUAAGCAAUCAUGCAUAUAAGAGAUCAAAGAAACUCAAAUAACUUUCAUGGAUAUAAAAAGAUAUAACUGAUCAUAAACUCAAAGUUCAUCAGAUCCCAACAAACACACCGCAAAAGAGAGUUACAUCAUAUGGAUCUCCAAGAGACCAUUGUAUUGAGAAUCAAAAGAGAGAGAUAAAGCCAUCUAGCUACUAACCACGAACCUGAAGGUCUACAAAGAACUACUCACGCAUCAUCGGAGAGGCACCAAUGGAGGUGAUGAACCCCAUCCGAGAUGGUGUCUAGAUUGGAUCUGGUGGUUCUGGUCUCUACGGCGGCUGGAUGAAUAUUUCAUCGACUCCCCUAGGGUUUUGGGAAUAUUGGGGUAUUUAUAGAGCAAAGAGGUAGUCCGCGGGGCACCCGAGGUGGGCGCGCCCUGGUGGGUUGUCCCCUCCUCGGGACUCCCCCAGGCACAACCAGGGCCCAUUACGUUCCUUUUGGUCCAAAAAAAUCUCCGUGAAGUUUCGUUGCCUUUGGACUCCUUCUGAUAUUGAUUUCCUUCGAUGUAAAAAACUUUCACAAACAGCAACUGGCACUUGGCACUAUGUCAAUAGGUUAGUACCAAAAAAUGAUAUAAAAUGACUAUAAAAUGAUUAUAAAACAUCCAACAUUGAUAAUAUAACAGCAUGAAACAAUCAAAAAUUAUAGAUAAGUUGGAGAUGUAUCAGCCCACAUACUCAACCAUCAUAUAGUCUUCUAUGAUUGCUAACACUCAUCACAUACACAUGAGCAAAACAUUUCAGCCGGACACAUAGAAAGAUAGGGGCUUAUAGUUUCGCCUCCCAACGUAUUCACCUCAAGGGUGAUGUUAACAGUAAUAACUUAUGCCACCCAUAUUCAACUGGACAUAUGUGCCUAUAUCUUCCUCACCACAUGAUGCUUACGAAAGGAGAAAAUAAAAAAGAAUAGAGAGAAGAAACUUUGACUCUUUCCAUAAAAGUAAAUACAUAUAAAAGUAAAAGAUAGGCCCUUCGCAGAGGGAAGCAGAUGUUGCCAUGCGCUUAUUUGUUUGUAUGCUCAACCCCUUAGUGCAAAAGAACGUCACGUUGCAUUACCCCUUGUGAUAGCGACCUUUAUUAUGCAGUCUGUCGCUUUUAUUCUUCACCAUCACAAGUUCAUGCAACGCUCAAUUUUCUCUUACACUAAAUGAUCUGACACAUUUAGAAGCAAUUUUUAUUGCCUUAUUGCACCGAUGACAACUUAAUUGAAGGAUCUUGCUUAAUCCCUAGGUAGGUAUGGUGGACUCUUGAAAAUAAGAUUUAGGUUUAAGGGUUUUUGGAUGCACAAGUACUAUAUCUACUUAGUGCGGAAUUUUUGGCUAGAAAAUAUAGGGGCAAGCACCACAUGUUGAAGGAUCUAUGACAAUGUAACUUCUAUGUGAAUAUGAACAAACAUAAAUCAUUACAUUGUCUUCCUUGUCCAACGUCAACAAUCUUUGGCAUAUAAUAUUUUUAUGGGGCUCACAAUCACAAAAGAUUUCUAGGAUAGUGUAUUUAUAUGUGAAUCUUCUCUUCCCUUAUUAAUUCUUUCAUGAUUUGCAUAAUUGACCAAUGCAAUGUUUGUCAAUCUCUAAUAAAAUUUUCUACUUAUACUUUUCCUUAUGUGGUGCCAUCACCUACCAUAAGAUUAGCAUAUGAUAUUUUUAAUUUAUUUCCCUUCUUUUUAUAUUUAUAUCCUUUCUUUUUAUUGCAACAUGAAAGUAAAGAAAGCAAAAACUCAAAUUAAACUUUAUUAUAUAUCUUGCACAAGAUUACAUGGAUAGAUCACUAAGUAAGCUCUCGAAAAGAAAGGAUCGAACUAAACUUCUAUUGAUAUAUACCAAUAUAAAAAGACCCAAAUGGGUAGAUCCAAUUAAUCUCGGCCAUCAAAUCAUGUCAAUCCAACGACCUAGACUGCUUCAAUGUCAGAGUGCUCAACACGUUAAGCAUGCAGUUAAUUUCAUGCCAAAUAUAGUGUUAAUCACAUAAUAGCAUGCAAAUAAUAUCCUACUCAAUAUCCGCAUGCACUUAAUAUACUUCCAAUUAACGUGCAUUGCACGUACACAAUUACUAGUCUAAAGCAAAAGAUUAAACUAAAAUAAGUAAAGGCAAAAAGAUAGUGGGGGUGGUACGAUAUCGGGGCACCUCCCCCAAGCUUGGCGGAAUCCAAGGGGAGUGCCCAUACCCGAAACUCAAUUUUCCUUUGGUGAUGAAGAAGAAGGAGGUGGCGAUGAAGAUAUCUUGUCCUCGGGUUUACAUGGCAGAGGCUAACCAUUAUAAGAGGAGGAGUGAGUCUCACGGGUCCUGCAACUGGCAGCCAAACUCAUACCUUUAAACCUUGACUCAUAUUCAAAGACUUGGUUUUGAAUAUCAUAGCUCUGGCUUUGGAGGAAGUUGAUUUGCUCGUUGAGGGUGAAGACGAUGUCCUUCAUAGACUUUCCAUCCACCUUGAGAUCAUGGGUGUAGUCCACGAUCAUGAGGUGAUUGGCAUUGACUCCACGUUCCACCACCCCCUUGCACCGAAAGACCUCCUGCUCCAUACCCUCAAGCCUGGCCUCCACGGUUCCCGUCCCCUUGGGACCUUGCACAUCACGGAUGUGCAGCACCCCCUCAUGCAUCUGGAUAGCCUGAGGGUGCUGCAUCACCUCCCGCAGAUAUGGGUUGAUGACGUUCUCGAAGAACUUGUCCUUGGAGGAGCGUGGAGAGGCCAUGGUAGACUGGAUCUGUCAGAAAAUAUCAAGUAAAUAAAACAUAAGAUUUCUCCGCGAUACGGUGGUCAAUGCGUUCGGGGGGUAUAUAAAGAUUUUUUAUCUUGGUGAACAAGCAAGCGUGAGAAAAACGGAGUCCGGAAGGUGCCCCAGGUGGGCACAACCCACCUGGGCGCGCCUGGCUUGUGUCUUGUGCCCACCAGGGUAUGCUUCCUGGAAGUUUCUUAUUUUCCUAAUUUUCCAAAUAUUCCAAAACUGACAAAAAAUAUUUUUGCGGAUUUUUUCGGGGUCCGUUUACUUACCGUAUCCAUACCUCCUUAUUUUCACGAUUCUGGAGUGUCCCGGAAGGACUCUUUUAUGUGUUCUUCCGAUGUCAAAGUUUGGAUAAUAUUACUUUCAAUAUUAAUGGGCGUACCUGAGAUAUAAUGUUUUAUUUGUUGCCCAUUAACAACCUUUAGGUUAGUACCUUCGGCAUUAUUUAUUUUGAUAGCUCCAGGCCGAUAAACCUCCUCGAUAACAUCGGGUCCUUCCCAUUUACUGAGGAAUUUUCUUGCAAAGAACCUGAAACGAGAGUUGUACAAAAGAACAUAUUCUCCGACUUUGAAAUCACGCUUUUGGAUUCUUUUAUCAUGCCAUAUUUUAACUUUCUCUUUAAAUAACUUGGCAUUUUCAUAAACUUGGGUUCCCCAUUCAUCUAAUGAGCUAAUAUCAAAUAACCUCUUUGCACCGGCAAGUUUGAAAUCAUAGUUGAGUUCUUUGAAUGCCCAAUAUGCUUUAUGUUCUAGCUCAAGAGACAAAUGACAAGCUUUUCCAUAAACCAUUUUAUAAGGAGACAUACCCAUAGGAUUUUUAUAUGUUGUUCUAUAAGCACUACUAGGAAAAGGGCUAUAGAUGGGAUUGACACUAAUGGCGCACCAGAAAGAUGGUGCGCCAUUAGUAUAUACUAAUGGCGCACCACAAUCUGAUGCGCCAUUAGAGUUUAAACUACUAAUGGCGCACCAUGCUACGGGUGCGCCAUUAGUAUCAAUUUUUUUUAACUAGUGCGCCUGUCCAAACAUACUAAUGGCGCAUCCGGGCAAAGUGCGCCAUUAGUAGUUGUAACUACUAAUGGCGCACCAGGUAGCAGGUGCGCCAUUAGUAUAGAAUUUUUUUUUGAACUAGUGCGCCUAUCCAAACAUACUAAUGGCGCAUCCUGCCCAAGUGCGCCAUUAGUAGUUGUAACUACUAAUGGCGCACCAGGCAGUGGGUGCGCCAUUAGUAUAGAAUUUUUUUUUUGAACUAGUGCGCCUAUCCAAACAUACUAAUGGCGCAUCCUGCUUAAGUGCGCCAUUAGUAGUUGUAACUACUAAUGGCUCACCAUGCAAGAGGUGCGCCAUUAGUAAGUGGGCAGCAACAAGAUAUUUGGGACAGCCUCUCCUACCCACACACUCACUUUCUCCCCACUUCAUUCUCUCCACCUCCUCCUUGUCUCGGGUGCCUCCUCUUUUUCACCUCAUUUCCACCAUAGAUUCAUUCAAAUUAAGUGGUUAAAUUACCUUGUUUUAAUAGGUAAGUAAGGGGGGAAGCUAUAUUUAGGUUGUUCUCCUUACAACAAUGUGCACAUGCACUUUUUACGGCCUAGCUAGAUCUAUGUAUGUUCGUGGUGUUGCAUAUGUUUGUGGUGUUGCAUAUGUGUUUGUGUUUGGAGGUGUACCGGUAUUUGAUAUGCGAUAGUUGCCAAUAUUUUGCCGGAAUGUUGAUUCAUUUCUGUUUCGGCGAGAAUUUUGGCAUUAAGCAUUCUUUUUGGUCCUAUUUUUAGGGAAAGUCAUGCCAAAUUUUUGUUUGGUUCUAAAAUAUCGUUUUGCUCUACCCCGCAGGCGACCAUGGUCCGCACGAUGACCGAAGGCAUCGUGAAUAGGUUUUUGAGGUCCGCGAAGGCCGAGAUGCUUCAAAAGAAUGAGACGGAGAUAAGAUGUCCGUGUCGAAGAUGCAAGCUGAAGAGCCUUAUUGCGGACCCAGAUUCCGGGCAGGUGCGGGACCACCUGCUGUUGCGUGGUUUCAUGGAUGGCUAUCGGUGGCAAGGUGAUGAAGAUGACUACGAAGUCGUCCAUGCGGGCCGGGCAAGAAAUGAGGAAGGGCAGCAAGACAACCACCGCGGCUCGGGCGGGCGAGAAGACGAAGAAUCCCCAGGAGAUGAUCACGACUGUGAUGCUGUACAUAGUCAUCAUGUAGAAGAUGCAGGACAUGAUGAUGAGGAAGAUGCCGGAGCAGGCGACGGGCAUGAUCAUGAAGAUGAUGAUGCCGGCGGAGCAGAUGACGCUGGACCAUCGAUGGGCUGGGUGCAGGACCCUCAUAUUCAAGAGCUGCUUCUCAAGCAGACGGAUAACGCAAGAGCUGCCGCCCGAGAGAAAGCCAAGAUGGAUCAACUUGAGUUAGACGUGGUUACUCCAUUGUAUGAAGGAUGCAGGCCCGAUGAUACCCGCCUGAAAGUAACGCUCAUGGCCCUGGAGAUGAAGGUAAAACACAAAAUGACCGACGCAUGCUUUGACGAGAACAUGUCAUUCUGGCACGAACGUCUUCCCAAGGGGAACAAGUGCCCGACUAGUUUGGAGGAGGCGAAGAAAAUCGUGUGUCCUCUGGAUUUACCGCACGUGAAAUACCAUGUGUGCAUGAACAAUUGCAUCAUUUAUCGGGACGAGCACGCGGAGUCUACAAUAUGUCCGGUGUGCGGUGUCACUCGAUACAAGAAGAGGAAGAAAGCUCCUCGAAAAGUGGUGUGGUACUUUCCGAUCACUCCUCGUCUGCAGCGGUAUUUCGCGGAUCCUAAGGUAGCAAAGCUCCUGCGUUGGCACGCGGAUAGGGAGGAGAAGAAGCGAGAAGAUGACGCAAAUGAUCCGGAGAUAGAUAAAAAAGACAAGAUGCUGAGUCACCCUAAGGAUGCGAGCCAGUGGCAAGCAUUGAACUUCGAAUACCCAGAAUUUGGGAACGAUCCAAGGAACAUCGUGCUGGGCGCGAGCACCGAUGGAGUCAAUCCGUUUGGCAGCCAGAGAAGCACACAUAGCACCUGGCCUGUGUUUGUGUGGAUGUACAACCUUCCCCCCUGGUUGUGCAUGAAGAGGAAGUACAUUCACAUGAGUAUGCUAAUUGAAGGGCCGAAACAACCAGGGAAUGACAUCAAUCUGUAUCUGGGGCUGCUGAAAGAGGAGCUUGACACGCUAUGGAAAACGCCAGCCAAUACGUGGGAUGCCGCAGAGAAAGAAUAUUUCCCUAUGAGAGCCGCACUGCUCACGACGGUGCACGACUAUCUCGGUUACGGAUAUCUUGCGGGGCAGGUAGUCCACGGAUUUUCUGGAUGCGUAAGGUGCAUGGAUGACACAACGUAUCGCCAGCUAGAUAGAGAUCCCGGGUCUUCGAAAACCGUGUUCAUGGGACAUCGAAGGUGGCUUCGCGACGAUGACCCGUGGAGGAAACGCAAGGAUCUGUUCGAUGGUGAAACCGAACCCCGAAAACGCCCGUGUACGAGGAGCGGCGAGGAAAUAGACAAGCUGUUGAAAAAUUGGAAAGACUGCCCACUGCCGGGAAAGAAGCAAAAGGCGCCAGAGCCAGGAAAGAAGCGAAAGGCGCCAGAGCCGCUGCUGAAGGUAUGGAAAACGAGGUCUGUUUUCUGGGACUUGCCGUACUGGAAGAUCCACCGUGUGCCUCACAGCCUUGAUGUCAUGCAUAUCAUGAAGAACGUGUGCGACAGUCUGCUUGGUACCCUGCUCAACAUGCCAGAGAGGACCAAAGAUGGGCCGAAAGCAAGGGCAGAAUUGAAAUCAAUGGGCAUCAGGCAGGAGCUUCACGCUAUAUAUGAUGAUGAUGAUGAUGAUGAUGAUGAUGAUGAUGAGGCGAAGCAGGACACAGAAAGUCGUCGCAAAGGCAAAAAGGCCAAGAAGACCCGAAAUGACUACCCUCCCGCGUGCUUCACUCUAAGUCAGGAGGAGAUCGAGCAGUUUUUCACCUGCCUCCUAGGAGUAAAACUUCCUUACGGUUACGCGGGGAAGAUAAGCAGAUACCUAGACCCAGCGAAGCAGAAGUUCAGCGGGAUGAAGUCUCACGACUGUCACGUGCUGAUGACGCAGAUACUUCCAGUUGCAAUCCGUGGGAUCAUGGACGCGCACGUCCGUGAAACGCUAUUUGGCCUAUGCAACUUCUUCGACGUCAUCUCUCGGAAGUCGAUUGGCGUGAGGCAACUCAGAAGGCUACAGGAAGAGAUCGUGGUGAUACUAUGCGAGCUUGAGAUGUACUUCCCGCCCNNNNNNNNNNNNNNNNNNNNNNNNNNNNNNNNNNNNNNNNNNNNNNNNNNNNNNNNNNNNNNNNNNNNNNNNNNNNNNNNNNNNNNNNNNNNNNNNNNNNNNNNNNNNNNNNNNNNNNNNNNNNNNNNNNNNNNNNNNNNNNNNNNNNNNNNNNNNNNNNNNNNNNNNNNNNNNNNNNNNNNNNNNNNNNNNNNNNNNNNNNNNNNNNNNNNNNNNNNNNNNNNNNNNNNNNNNNNNNNNNNNNNNNNNNNNNNNNNNNNNNNNNNNNNNNNNNNNNNNNNNNNNNNNNNNNNNNNNNNNNNNNNNNNNNNNNNNNNNNNNNNNNNNNNNNNNNNNNNNNNNNNNNNNNNNNNNNNNNNNNNNNNNNNNNNNNNNNNNNNNNNNNNNNNNNNNNNNNNNNNNNNNNNNNNNNNNNNNNNNNNNNNNNNNNNNNNNNNNNNNNNNNNNNNNNNNNNNNNNNNNNNNNNNNNNNNNNNNNNNNNNNNNNNNNNNNNNNNNNNNNNNNNNNNNNNNNNNNNNNNNNNNNNNNNNNNNNNNNNNNNNNNNNNNNNNNNNNNNNNNNNNNNNNNNNNNNNNNNNNNNNNNNNNNNNNNNNNNNNNNNNNNNNNNNNNNNNNNNNNNNNNNNNNNNNNNNNNNNNNNNNNNNNNNNNNNNNNNNNNNNNNNNNNNNNNNNNNNNNNNNNNNNNNNNNNNNNNNNNNNNNNNNNNNNNNNNNNNNNNNNNNNNNNNNNNNNNNNNNNNNNNNNNNNNNNNNNNNNNNNNNNNNNNNNNNNNNNNNNNNNNNNNNNNNNNNNNNNNNNNNNNNNNNNNNNNNNNNNNNNNNNNNNNNNNNNNNNNNNNNNNNNNNNNNNNNNNNNNNNNNNNNNNNNNNNNNNNNNNNNNNNNNNNNNNNNNNNNNNNNNNNNNNNNNNNNNNNNNNNNNNNNNNNNNNNNNNNNNNNNNNNNNNNNNNNNNNNNNNNNNNNNNNNNNNNNNNNNNNNNNNNNNNNNNNNNNNNNNNNNNNNNNNNNNNNNNNNNNNNNNNNNNNNNNNNNNNNNNNNNNNNNNNNNNNNNNNNNNNNNNNNNNNNNNNNNNNNNNNNNNNNNNNNNNNNNNNNNNNNNNNNNNNNNNNNNNNNNNNNNNNNNNNNNNNNNNNNNNNNNNNNNNNNNNNNNNNNNNNNNNNNNNNNNNNNNNNNNNNNNNNNNNNNNNNNNNNNNNNNNNNNNNNNNNNNNNNNNNNNNNNNNNNNNNNNNNNNNNNNNNNNNNNNNNNNNNNNNNNNNNNNNNNNNNNNNNNNNNNNNNNNNNNNNNNNNNNNNNNNNNNNNNNNNNNNNNNNNNNNNNNNNNNNNNNNNNNNNNNNNNNNNNNNNNNNNNNNNNNNNNNNNNNNNNNNNNNNNNNNNNNNNNNNNNNNNNNNNNNNNNNNNNNNNNNNNNNNNNNNNNNNNNNNNNNNNNNNNNNNNNNNNNNNNNNNNNNNNNNNNNNNNNNNNNNNNNNNNNNNNNNNNNNNNNNNNNNNNNNNNNNNNNNNNNNNNNNNNNNNNNNNNNNNNNNNNNNNNNNNNNNNNNNNNNNNNNNNNNNNNNNNNNNNNNNNNNNNNNNNNNNNNNNNNNNNNNNNNNNNNNNNNNNNNNNNNNNNNNNNNNNNNNNNNNNNNNNNNNNNNNNNNNNNNNNNNNNNNNNNNNNNNNNNNNNNNNNNNNNNNNNNNNNNNNNNNNNNNNNNNNNNNNNNNNNNNCAAUUUACACACGAGUUCCUGUGAAAAUUCAGGGUGGUGGUGGCCACUGUGACAGUAUUAGCUUGAGUCUCCAAUCAUUGUUCUCAUGUUUUGAUUAUCUGAAGGCCUUGGGUAAAAUGUGGUGCAUGAAAAGAUUAUCUUUAUUUCCCAGUUUAAGAUGAACUGAGUAGGUUUGAUUGAGUGCAUGAUCAGUAUUUACACCGCUUGAUCGAAACAAUUCCGUCUUAUUGCUCUCUUGGUCAUCAACGUUUCUGCCUAUGAGUUCGAUCUUCUACCAACUGGUAGAGAAUAACAUCUCACCACUGAUGAUAAUGGUGUUCUAGCAUCGCACAUUGCUGCAUUAAACAAGUUGGGUACAAUAAUAGCCUUUCAUAACUUAUAAUGACAAACAUUGGUUCCAUUAACCCCACAAAUCCCGACAGAUUCAGGGGAACGGGGUUCAGACUCACGUAAGCAACUUGCCAUGAACCGUGCGGUAAUGGUGUUCUAGCACGCACAUUGUUGUGAAUAGUAUAUAUUGAGAGGACUCCACUAUGCAACCUUUGACAUGCUCAUCACAUACUGUUAUUUAUAGUGAACCUUCUUUACUUGUAUUUACAGGGAAACAAUUGGUACAAUUCUUGCCCGGGGCCACAGCUGAAAUAGAGACGCCAGUUAGUGCUGUUUCCAUUAGGAGGAUUCCAAGGUAUAUACCCCAAUUCUAUUUAAAUAUAAAUUGGAAAAAUCUCUUUCAAAAUUUGGUACAAUUGCUUGAAUUUUUGGAAAAAUCUCUUGAACAACUGCUGAUAUCCUAAAAAUUCAGAACAGUAUAGCUAUCAUUUUGAAGUUUGAAACUAAAAAAUAUCGACAGCAGUAAUUGUUCUAAGAUGGUUCAGGAUAGUGGAUCUUAGGCAUUACAUUUUUCUUUUUGAUGAAAUAGGCAUUAUAUUUAAGCUGGCAGUACAGUAGGCAUAACCUUCUACCUCACUUAAACAGUUGACAAUUCUUUACCUUAGUCUUUGCAUCCCAUCAGCAAGCUUUUAUUGGUGGCUCACCAAAACUAAACAUCUAAAGGCAUCCUCCUAGCCUCCUGGUACAUCAAUUUCAAGGUAGGCGAACCAUGGUUCCAUUUAACCAAGUGAACUUCCUUUUCUUCUUGCUAGGAGUUGAAAAUUUGGCAUUUGUGGUUGUGACGGUUAAAUGAAUAACUUAUGUGCACAAGUGCAGCAGAAAAUUUACAACAGACUAAUUAGAUUCAUUUUUCUUUUGUUUGAGAGAGAGUUAGCUGGAAUUUUUGAAUAAAACGUAAGUCUAAUCCCAGCGAAAAAUUCAAGCUAUCUUAACCUCCAAUUUUGAUCAAGUAAACUCAAUAUUUCUGGGACAGUUAGAGUAUCCAUCGAUCAUAUUUGAACCUAAUACCAAUUCAUUCAUCUCCAUACCACUGCAGACACAACAGAACAGAGGCACUUCAUCACCCACGGCUGAGAAAGCAAGGUAGAAUCACCACUGCAUACAUACUAUUUCUCUUUUUUCUGUUCUUUUCAGAUCAAUAUUGUUGUGAUCUUUCAUGUCUUUAUAACAGGGAAAAUGGUUGUAUAUGAUAGACAUCGAACCGUUUCUGUAAACUGAGUACUAACUGAGUUCCCUAAAAAAAGAACCUUAGUACUAACUGAAAUAUGAUGGAACAGAAAAUACAAUGAAAUCAAUACGGAACAUGCUAGAUAAAUAUUGCCAUGAAACCAGAUGACACUGAUAAUUUUAGUGGAAAACAAAGGACUCUUCUGUUAUUUUUAGUGAAAAGUUGGUCCACCGACCACUCACAUAUCCAAUUUCCAUGAUCCUCAACGGAAGUCAGAAACACAACAUAUCCAUGGACUUCUCAUUGUUCAAAAUCUUCUCUUAGGAUUAACCACAACAGCAUAUCGGGGGUUCAGGAAUCAAAAUAUCAGUUACAUCAAGAGUUAGCAAUGACCAAACUGGCAUGUAACAGAGACACUAUAAAAGAUAGCCAACAUCCAGUUAGGCCAACAUAACAGUGAACAAAACUACUGUCAAUCAGCUCAGUUCUAGUGCUGUUGGAUUUUUCUCGAUUGUAUUCUUGCAGUUUUGAAAAUUCAAUUUAUUCGGUUACUGAAAAUUCAGUUAAUUCAGUUAGGCACACAAAUUUCAGAACUUUUGUGUGCCCUAGUACUUGGUGUUUGUAGAAAACCAGGAGUGUCAAUGGGACUAGAAUUCACUUGUUCUUAUAUGGGUUUGUAAAACUUGUUCAUGUACUGAACUACUAAUGCCUUGUGAUGCUCUGAAUUACUUGUGAUGCCUCUGAAUUACUUGUGAUCACAUUGAGAAAGACUUGUAAAGAUGAUGAUCAUCUUUAAUAGAAAACAAUUUGUGAUGAUUUUGCUAGUUUGCUGGGUUUUGUCUCCGACCAUCGUGUCGUGAUGAUUUUGCAGGUACCCCGAGAGGCCCUUGAGUUUGCCGGAAUGUCGAUUAACUUCCGUUCCGGCAAAUUCGGGUACUCCAUAUGUCCUAUUUUCAGCAAAGGUCAUGCUGAAAUUUUCCGUGAAUUUUAGCAUGACUUUGCUAAAAAUAGGACAUAUGGGGUACUUGUGACUAAUGCAUGGGCUGGGGUAUCUUAGUAGUUAAUUAAGUAGGAUCAAGUGCCCCGGCGUACUUGUGACUAAUGCAUGGCUUUUAGGGUGCCUCGGUGUCGAUAAAAACCGAAAUGAUGAAAAGUUAGGCUUUUAGGGUGCCUUGGCGUCGAAAAACCCUCAAUGAUAAAAGCUUAGAUUUUAGGAUGCCUCGGUGUCGACAAACCCUAAAUGAUGAGACCAUGAUCUUGUUCCUUGACAAUAACCAACUUUUUGACCAAACUUUGUUUCUAUUUAGAGAGAAACAUGGCCCACAACGAUGAGGCCGGGGGUUCGGGCGGCAAGGCAUUCUGGGAGCUGUCCCAGGAGAUGGAGGAACAACCUCACUUGUAUGAGGCCGCCGCCUUCCCCACCGAUCCUGAGACCACGGAUGGUGCCGCCGAGGAUGACCACACUGAUGCCACCACUGAUGGUGCCACUGAGGAUGCCACCACUGAUGAUGGCGGCGCACGCACAGAUAGCAGCCAGCCGAAGAGGCAACGGAAGGACCGGCGCCCGAUCGUGCUCCGCACCCUCAAGGAGGAAGUUACUGAAGUGGACUCCAACGGGAAUCCAACGGCGCCCGAACGAAUAGUCAAGGGGUACUCGCUUCAGCUCGGGUGCAUUGUCCGGAGCACCGUCUCGAUCAACACCGAGAACCUGAGGCAUCCUAACCGGGGGAAUUUGCGCCACCUCCUCUUCACGAAGCUGCACGAAUGAUACAAGUUCCCCGCUGAAUUCGAAAACACAAGCCUCAAAGGGAAUAAAGUGAACAAUGCUGCCCUCACGAAGAUGAGCAAGGCCCUGUCUACUUGGAAAAGCAAUGUGAAGAGAAUGAUCGAGAAAGGUGAGAGUUAUGAGAAGAUCAAGGAGAAAAAUCCUUCGAUCACCGAAGAUGACUACAACGACUUCAAGAUCAAUUGCUCGAGCACCGCAAGCUCCCAAUCAAGUGAGUGGGGGAAACAAAUGCGGGAGCUGAACAUAGGGGAACACACACUCGGUCCCGGCGGUUACAGAGUGGCGGAGCCUAUAUGGGACAAGGAGGAGGCGGACCGUGUCGAGCAAGGCCUACCGCCCCUCUUCGAUAAAUACGGUGACAAGCAGACCAGGAACUUUGUCAGGGCCCGGUACAAGAAGGACCCGAAAACAAAGGAGCUUACCACGGAUCCGAAGACCAGGCAGCUUGAGCUUGUUCUGGUAAGGAAUACACCCCCGCAUAAUUAGCUCCAUAUGGUUGCAUUCUAAUUAAUGAAGCCGAAUUUCUAAAUGGUUCACAUUCCUUCCGCAGGCGACUGAAAGCAGUAGCGCGGGGUCGACUCAGAGCAACCCUUGGGACAGCACUCUAAAUAGGGGGUUGAAUAUAAUGAAGAACAAGGAUAAGCUCAGUAAGCCGACGUCAGCUGGUCGUGUGGCCGGCAAAGGCUUGUCGACAAAAUGGGAGUCAUACUAUACCGCUGGUGUGCGGAAGGAGAAAAAGACCAGCUCGGAAAGCCAGGCGCAAGAGGUUCAAGAACUCAAGGCACAGGUGGCGCGGAUUCCGAAGAUUGUCCAAGAGCAAGUGGAACAACGACUCGGAGCGACGAUCACCGCCCUUGUGCCUACCUUGAUCUCGGGGUUGAGUGCGUGGAUUGCGGGCGGCCAACAGGGGCCGCCCCCGAUUCCUAGCUUCACGGCCAGCAACUCGCAUAAUGCGAUGGCGGGGCCAUUGGUGCCUCCGGCGGAGGCGGCAUUGGUGUCUCCGACGCCGACACGGGAGCUUAAUGCACCCGGGUGUACGCCGGCCGACACCUCUUCAGCAAGCGGCCGCUCCGUCAACUGCACACCCGCCGUUGGCGGUGCCUCGACAUUAGCCGAGCUCGACACCAUCAUCACGGUAACUAAUUAAGCCUCUCUCGGCCGAGGACUUCAUCUCCUUGCCUUUGACUGGGCAUCCCUGACGCCCUACAUGUUUUCGCAGGGCGCCGCCGACGUUCCGUGCACUCUCCUCCACUUCGUGAACAACGAGUUGGUCGAUGUCGCCAAGGGCAAAAUCGUUCAACCGGGCAACCCCUUGUUCCACGGUACCCAGAUGCCACCCAACUUGUUUAGGGUUCAACUGGUUCGGGUGCUGCCAGGCUGCGACGACUUGUUACCUCCGAUUCGACCCGUCGGGGCCGACGAUGAUGACGUGAUGACCCUCAGCGCCUGCCUGAGCUGGCCCCUGCUUUGGCCGAAGAGCCAGAUUCGUUUGGGGGCGGGGGACACCACCCCAAAGACAACACCGCUAGUCGUGCCGGCGCCAAGUCGGCCCCAUGGCAAGACCGCCGUAACGGUGCCGGACAUCCCUAUGCCACUGGAUCCAAACAUGCAUAUGGCACAGGAUCAGAACGAUGACGACGACGACGAUGAUACAUUUGGCAACGUCGAUCAGUACUUUGCCGAGCAUGGGUACGAUGGCGACUUCAUGGGGCCUCCUUCUCAAGAACCAAACCCAACAAAAGACGUGUGCGAUCUAGCUCGUACCGCGGAGAAGCCAAGUUGCAACAGGCGCCGUCUGGCGUUCAGCUCUCAGGAGACGCCUCCAGCUGCCGACUUCACCGAGCCUCAGAUAGGCGAGGUGCAAAAUAUUAUCAGCCCCAACACACUCAAGAAGGCGGUCUGUGAGCAGAACUCGGUCCCAUUACAGGAGAAGAAGAAGGCACGCAAAAGAAAGACUAAGAAGGGUGCGAGCCAGCCGGCACCGAGUACGAUCCGUGCUCAGGAUGGGCCACCUUCACCGCAGGAUAUCUCGAGGAGGGUGCAUGUGGCGGGUAGGGCGAUGCUACCACCAAAUAUGCUCAAUGCUGCAACCGGUGCUAUGCGGAGUCUGCACGACAGUGUUCUUUCUUUGGAGAAGCGGCGUCUCAAAGAGAAGGAUGUGGCAUACCCGGUUUUCGUGGCCAAGGUGCCAGAGGGCAAGGGCUUUGUGGAUGGCGACAUCGGGGGUACGAUCGUCCUGCGGUUUGAUGACAUCUUUGCUAUGUUUAACCUUCAUCCGCUGCACUACACCUUCGUUCGGCUAUUUUCGCUGAGUAUGGAGAUGCGGAUCAUUCGCGACAAGACCCCGGACAUCGUGAUAGUCGACCCCUUCUACAUGCGUGCCAAGAUCUUGGGCAGCGCUGGGGACCGGCAAGUCGCGAGUUCUUACCUCGAAGGCGUCAUUCUGGCAAACCAAGAUAAGGAUAACUUCCUCGUGCCUUACUUUCCCGAGUAAGUCCUCCCCUCAACCGGCCUGUAACAUAUGAAUUCUUACUUUUCGAUCGUUUUUCUUUUAACAUUCCGUGUUUUCUGCAGUGACACACGUUGCACGCUCAUCCUCCUAAGCCCCAAAUAUUCCAUGGCCACGCAUUUCGACCCGGACCGUCAGUCGAACGUAGACUACACAAAUGUCAAGAAGGUUCUUGAUGAUGUUCUCCCCGGCUACGCCCAAUCUGGAGGCACCUUCACCAGGCCUAUUCGUAAGUACGGCAAGCACGUGUUCUCCCACAAUACGACGUUCUGCUGCGUCAAGCAGCCGCCUGGCAGUCAGAAGGGUGCCUACUACGCCAUCCAUCACAUGCGGGCGAUCGUACGGGACCAUCAUCAACUUCUGCUACCGAGUAAACUCCAAGAUUGGGCCGCGAGCGUGUCGGCAAUCCAGGACGCGGACCUCCGACAAGAAUUCUUUCGCAUCCAGUCGGAGUUUGCGGAAAUCAUCCAUCAAGAUGUCCUUCGUACCUCGGGGCAGUUCUACCUCAGAAAUCAACCGUCCAACAGUGACAUCGACACAAUGCUACAAAUGCAGGAUGACAACGCCCGUUCUUUCAUGACUCCCACGAUAGACGGCGGCUUCAUCCACGCUCCGGUCCCUUGAGUCGAGUUGUCUAGUUCUGAAACAUCGAUUGGCUCAUGUUGUAAUUAAACUUUAAUGAACUUGUAGUAUGUCUCUUUGGUUUCGAGAGUCGUUCAACUUAGAUGUAAUCGAUGCUAUUAAUGUCUUGCUUUUCUCUUCCGAUAGUUCUGUUGCAUAAUUAUAUAUUGCUUAUGUAUUGUCUGUGAAUUGGUACUAACGUUUCGUUUGGCUAGUGCAUAGCGAUGCCGACGUAUGUCGUGUACAAGGGUAAGGUUCCCGGAGUCUACGAUGACUGGGAGGAGUGUCGGAGACAGGUUCACCGAUUCAGCGGUAACAGUUACAAAGGGUACACCACUAGGGCCGAGGCCGAAUCUAGAUACGCCCGCUAUCUAGCGGGAGAGGGGAGGGAGCGUUGGAGGAACCGGAUGAAGACGAGUUUCAUCGUGAUGAUGCUCAUCGUGAUGACCGCAGCUCUCUUCUAUGUGAUGGUAGUUUAGAUGAUCGAUAUCGACUUGUAAUGCGAAGACAAACUCGCUACUCGCGGUCUCGAGACUUGUAAUAUAAUGUUCUAUCUUUGUUCGGUCUUUUUAAUUCGGAGACUAAUAUGAUGAAUUGUAUUCGGAGACUAAUAUGAUGAAUUGUAUUCAAAGACUAAUCUUCUAUUGUAUUUGAUGAAUCUAUUAUUGAUGUGUGCUGUCUAUAUUUUGUCAAAUUAUACAUUUUGUAACCUGUGCAAAAAACAGAAAAUAAAAAAAUAAAAAAAAACCUAAUAUUCAUACUAAUGGCGCAUCAAACGACAGUGCGCCAUUAGUAUGACAGUGCAUACUAAUGGCGCAUCACCGGGUAGUGCGCCAUUAGUAUGCUGCGGUUACUAAUGGCGCAUCCAGAGGUGGUGCACCAUUAGUAUGCCAAAGCACCUGGGUAUACAUGCCCCCUGGGAGGCAUACUAAUGGCGCACCCUCGCAUAUACUAAUGGCGCACCAGGUGGUGCGCCAUUAGUAUACCAGAUACUAAUGGCGCACCAGGUGGUGCGCCAUUAGUAAAAAUUACUAAUGGCGUGCUAUCAAUGGCGCACCAGUGAUGCGCCAUUAAUGGCCAUAUUAGGUGCGCCAUUAGUAGUGGUAUUUCUAGUAGUGAAGCCCAAAGUGCAUCAUCUAAUUUCUUAGUGUUGGAGAUAUGCCCUAGAGGCAAUCAUGUAUGAUGAUAUUUCCUAUGUGUUUAUGAAUAAAGAUAGUCCUUGGACAUUAUCAAUGAUGUGUAUCAGCAAGUACGUGACUUGUUUGUGGGACUAUGCAUUAUAUGAUGACUGUCCUAAAAGGUCCCUAGUUGAAAGGGUUGUGUGGACGCGCAGCCGACUAGACUAGCGUAUGACACGGUCGAUGGCUUAGUCUCACUAGCCAUGGAACAUUGGAUGCUAACCGGAUAAUAUGGACUUGGAAAGGUCUGGUCAAAUUCAACAUAGUCGGAUCCGAGUCGAGAUAAGAUCAGAGUCGGAUAGACCCAACUAUGAGACACAGCGAUAUGUCAUCUGUGAGUCUCUAGUACAACAUACGUUCUAUGUCCUAAGACCUGAGCUGACGCAUGUACUCGGGAUGGUGACAGACUUUCUUUGGGCCGACCAAAUGCUACUCCAUGACUGGGUAGUUACGGAGGUAGGUUUCGGGUUUGUCCAGUACCAUGUUGAGAGACAUGGUCGAGCAAGAUGGAAUUUGCCCCUCCGAUCAGGAGAGAUAUACUCUGGACCCCUCAUGUGAUCCGACCAGGAAAAGCAUGGCCAUGCGACAAGGAUUAUGAGAUAAUCCGGAUAGUGGUCGGUAUCACUGGAACGAGAAAGAGGUCGGGCUAGCACAAGGAUGACAGUCUCACCUUGAGCCCGACAACAUAUAUCGUGAGGCAAAGGGAACAGAAGUGUGACAUGUUGUACAGGUUCGCCUAACCAGCUUCAUAGUCUGCUUGGUGUUCGGCAUGCCUUGCUAGAGGCCGCUACCAACCAUGAAGUUCGGAGGUGAUCCGAACUACGACCAAGCUGACUUGAACCUAAGGGGUCGCGCGCUUAAGGGAAGGAACCUACGAGGUCGGAUCCGAAGACACUGGUCGGAUGUGAUCCGAGCUGUAUUCGGAUUGUGCCCGAGUAGACUUGUGGGCUUUAGGGUCCGUGCGAGGCCCAAGUGUUGAGCCCGUGCCGGACGCCUAUAUAAAGUGGAGGUGCACCACACUCAUGCGGUUGAUCUCUUUGGCACUACGACUAGGGUUUGCAUGUGUUGCGAAUAGCCACCUCCACUCGCCGCCGACUGUGUGAUCGGACCUAGCAGUCCGCCGCACGGUGUUCCUCCUGCAUGCGCGAUACCGUUAGAGGCGGUGCACUUGCGUCGCUCCGGCGAACUUGUACGUGGGAUCGGACGACCGACUGUUCGAGGGAGAUCAGACGAGGAGGAGAUGAUCCACGCGGACACGCUGCCCCAACUCUUCUUCCGCUGCAUGACACUGCGCGUCUAGUGGUAACGAACUAUGAUCCAUCUCCUGUAGCAUGUUCUUGGUUGUUCUACGCGUAGGAAAAUUUUAAUUUGCAGUCGGCGCACCCUACCGUAGAUCCCAACACUUAGACCAAUUCUUCCGGGACCUAUUGAUGGUCUUUUGUAAAAUUAAUUUUAUUUCUCUAAUGCUAAGUUCAACUUGACCACUAGACUGAGGAUGAUAGGGUGAUGCAAUUCUAUGGUUAACAUCGUACUUGGCAAGCAUUUUGUGGAAAGCACCAUGAAUAACGUGUGAACCACCAUCAAUCAUUAAAUAUCUAGGGACUCCAAACCUUGGGAAAAUAACUUCCUUAAGCAUUUUAAUAGAGGUUUUGUGAUCAGCACUACUAGUUGGAAUAGCUUCUACCCAUUUAGUAACAUAAUCAAUAGCAACCAAAAUAUGUAUAUAACCAUUAGAGGAAGGAAAAGGUCCCAUGUAAUAAAAUCCUCAAACAUCAAAUGGUUCAACGGCAAGUGAAUAAUUCGUAGGCAUUUCUUGACGCUUACCUAUAUUACCUAUUCUUUGGCAUUCAUCACAAGAUAAGACGAUGCAUCCUUCAAGAGAGUAGGCUAAUAAAAUCCAUAUUGCAAUACCUUGUGAGCAGUUCUAUCUCCAGCAUGAUGCCCUCCAUAAGUUUCAGAGUGACAUUUCCGUAGGAUUUGUCCCUGUUCAAGCUCAGGUACACAACGUCUAAUAAUACCAUCUACUCAUUCUUUAUAAAUAUGUGGGUCAUCCCAAAAGUAGUGUCUUAAAUCAUAGAAGAAUUUUUUGUUUUGUUGGUAUGUAAAUCUAGGUGGUAAAUAUUUAGCAACAAUGUAAUUAGCAUAGUCAGCAUACCAAGGAGUAUUAUUAGAAACAUUUAUUGCAGCUAACUACUCAUCAGUAAAACUAUCAUCAAUAGGUAGUGGGUCAUCAAGCACAUUUUCAAGCCUAGACAAGUUAUCAGCUACGGGCUUCUCAGCUCGUUUUCUAUCAAUGAUAUGUAAAUCAAAUUCUUUAGCAAGAGAACCCAUCGAAUAAGUCUAGAUUUAGCAUCUUUCUUUUCCAUAAGAUAUUUAAUAGCAGCAUGGUCGGUGUGAAUGAUAAAUUUAGAGUCAACAGUGUAAGAUAUAAAUUUAUCACAAGCAAACACCACUGCUAGGGAUUCUUUUUCAAUAGUUGCAUAAUUCCGUUGUGCACCGUCUAGAGUUUUACUAGCAUAAUGAAUAACAUUCAGUUUCUUAUCAACUCUUUGUCCUAGAACAACACCAAUAGCAUAAUCACUAGCAUCACACAUAAUUUCAAAAGGCAAGUUCCAAUCAGGUGGUUGAAUAAUAGGUGCAGAAAUUAAGGCUUUCUUGAGUGUUUCAAAGGCUUCUAAACAAUCAUCAUCAAAAACAAAAGGAACAUCCUUUUGCAAAAGAUUUGUAAGAGGCCUAUAAAUUUUAUAAAAGUCUUUGAUAAAUCUCCUAUAGAAACCAGCAUGACCUAAGAAACUACGAAUACCUUUGAUAUCUUUAAGACAUGGCAUUUUCUCAAUUGCAUCAACCUUAGCUUUGUCCACUUCAAUACCUCUUUCAGAAAUUUUAUGCCCCAAAACAAUACCUUCAUUAACCAUAAAGUGGCACUUCUCCCAAUUCAAGACAGGAUUUGUUUGCUUGCAUCUCUACAAAACUCGAUCAAGAUUGCUUAUACAAUCAUCAAAAUACUUCCCAUAAACAGAGAAGUCAUCCAUGAAAACCUCAACAAUCUUUUCACAAAAGUCAGAGAAUAUGGCAGUUGGACAUCUUUGAAAGGUAGUAGGUGCAUUGCAUAAACCGAAAGGCAUAUGUCUAUAAGCAUAAGUUCCAAAGGGACAAGUAAAAGUGGUCUUUUCUUGAUUAGGUUGAGAAACACGUAUUUGUGAAAAACCAGAAUAUCCAUCAAGGAAGCAAAAAUGUGUGUGCUUAGAUAAUAUUUCUAACAUUUGAUCAAUAAAAGGCAGAGGGUAAUGAUCUUUUCUAGUUGCUUUGUUUAAUUUUCUAAAAUCAAUUACCAUUCUAUAGUCUGUAACAAUUCUUUGUGGAAUAAGUUCAUUCUUAUCAUUAGGAAAAACAGUAAUACCUCCUUUCUUAGAGACACAAUGAACAGGACUUACCCAUCUACUAUCAGUUAUAGGAUAGAUUAUACCUGCUUUCAGAAGUUUUAAGAUUUCCGUUCUCACCACUUCUUCAUUUUCAGAUUUAACUAACGUUGGUGAUCAACAACGGGUUUAGCAUCAGGUUCCAUAUUAAUCUUGUGCUAACAUAGAGUGGGACUAAUGCCCUUUAAAUCAUCAAGAGUAUAUCCAAUAGCAGCUUGGUGCUUCCUUAGAACUUUCAAUAAUCUUUCUUCUUCAUGUUCUGAAAGGUUAGCACUAAUAAUAACAGGAUAUAUCUUCUUUUCAUCAAGAUAAGCAUAUUUCAAAGUGUCUGGCAAUUGUUUUAAUUCAAACACAGGAUCACCUUUAGGUGGAGGAGGACCUCCUAGAGUUUCAAUAGGUAAAUUGUGUUUAAGCAGAGGACGUUGUUCAAAGAAAAUCUUAUCUAUUUCAUUUCUCUCAUGCAUAUGUAAAUCAUUUUCAUGGUCUAGCAAAUAUUGUUCUAAAGGAUCAGUAGGAGUCACAACAAUAGAAGCAAGACCAAUUAUUUCAUCCUUACUAGGAAAUUCUUUUUCAUGAAGCUUUCUAUUAAACUUGGAAAAAUUAAACUCAUGAGACUCAUCACCAAAGCUAACACCGACAGUUUGUUUUUUACAAUCUAUUUCAGCAUUAACGAUGUUCAAGAAAGGUCUACCAAAGAUAAUGGGAAAAAAGUCAUCUUGUGGGGAACCAAGAACAAGGAAAUCAGUAGAGUAUUUUAUUUUCCCACACAAGACUUCAACGUCUCUAUCAAUCCCAAUUGGUGAUAUAGUUUCUCUAUUAGCAAGUUUAAUAGUAACAUCUAUGUCUUCUAUCUCUACGGGUGCUAUGUCAUUCAUAAUUUCUUGAUAUAAGGAAUAAGGAAUAGCACUCACACUAGCACCUAUGUCACAUAAACCAUGAUAACAGUGAUCUCCUAUUUUAACUGAGACGAUAGGCAUGCCAACAACAGGUCUAUGAUUAUCCUUUUUAUCAGGUUUGGCAAUUCUAGCAGCUUCUUCACAGAAGUAUAUAACAUGCCCAUCUACGUUUUCUUCCAGGAGGUCCUUAAUCAUAGCAAUACUAGGUUCUACUUUAAUUUGUUCAUCGGGUUUAGGUGUUCUAAUAUAACUUUUGUUAACCACAGUUGAAACUUUAGCAUGUUCCUUUAUCCUAAGAGGGAGAGGUGGCUUCUCAAUAUAAGUAGUAGGAACAACUGGAUCAACAUUAUAAAUUAUGGUGUCCUCUUUAAUUGGUACCGGUUCUUUAAUUUCUUCUUUAAUAGGUGGGUGAUAUUUGAACCACUUCUCCUUAGGGACAUCACCAUGAGUAGCAAAUGAUUCACAAAAGGAGGCUACUAUCUCAGAGUCAAGUCCAUAUUUAGUGCUAAACUUUUGAAAAGGUUCGGUAUUCAUAAAAGAUUUAACACAAUCAUACUUAAGCUUAAUACCUGACUCUUUACCUUCAUCGAGUUCCCAAUCUUCAGAGUUGCGUCUAAUUCUUUCCAAAAGAUCCCACAGGAAUUCAAUAGUCUUCUUCACAAAACAACCAGUACAAGAAGUAUCAAGCAUGGAUUGAUCAUCACAAGAAAGCCGAGCAUAAAAGUUUUGGAUAAUAAUUUCUCUUGAGAGCUCAUGGUUGGGGCAUGAAUAUAACAUUGACUUAAGCCUCCCCCAAGCUAAAGUGAUACUUUCUCCUUCACGAGGCCAAAAAUUAUAUAUAUAAUUCCGAUCACGAUGAACUAGAUUUUUAGGAUAAUUUUUUUUGGUGAAACUCCAAUUUCAAUCGAUUCCAAUUCCAAGAUCAAAUAUCAUCGCAUAGCCUAUACCAUGCCAAUGCUUUUACCUUCAAAGAUAAAGGGAAAACUUUUUCAUAACUUCAUCUUCGGGUAAACCUGCAAGCUUAAACAAUCCACAAAUUUGUUUCACAUAUAUCAAGUGCAUAUCAGGAUGUUCGGUUCCAUCUCCUACAUAAGGAUUAGCUAGCAGUUGUUCUAUCAUACCCGAAGGAGUUUCAUAUUCAAUAUGUUUGGUAGGUAUAGUAGGUUGAGGUGUAGAUAAUUGUGGUUCCGGUCGAGGUGAAGAUACCCCGAACAAACCCCUCAAAGGAUUGUUUUCCAUAGUAACAAGUGACAAUAAAUUUCAGCAUACUAUAUGAAUGUUUCCUUACCAAAUUCCACUUACCAAAGGCGCUUCACUCCCCGACAACGGCGCCAGAAAAUAGCCUUGAUGACAAGAAGUAUAGGGGAUCAAUUGUAGCUUUUUUCGAUAAGUAAGAGUGUCGAACUCAACGAGGAGCAGAAAGAAAUGACAAGUGGUUUUUAGCAAUGUAAUGUCUGAAAGUGCUGAAAUUGUAAGUAGCAGAGUAGUUUCAUAGCAAGAUAAUUUGUAACGAGCAAGUAACAAUAGUAGUAAAAAAAGUGCAGCAAGGUAACCCAAUCCUUUUGAGGCAAAGGACAGGCCAAAACGGUCUCUUAUAAUAAGCAAAGCGUUCUUGAGGGUACACGGGAAUUUUAUCUAGUCACUUUUCACCAUGUUGAUUCGAAUUAUGUUCGCUACUUUGAUAAUUUGAUAUGUGGGUGGACUGGUGCUUAGGUGUUGUUCUUACUUGAACAAGCCUUCUACUUAUGGUUAACCCUCUCGCAAGCAUUCACAACUACGAGAAAAGUAUUAAGAAUAAAUUCUAACCAUAGCAUUAAACUUUUGGAUCCGGUCGGUCCCUUAUGGAAUAGCGCAUAAACUGGGGUUUAAGCUCCUGUCACUCUCGCAACCCAUCAUCUACUUACUACUCCACAAUGCAGUCCCUUAGGCCCAAAUAUGGUGAAGUGUCAUGUAGUCGACGUUCACAUGACACCACUAAGGGAAUCACAACAUACAUACUAUCAAAAUAUCGAACACAUAUCAAGUUCACAUGAUUACUCGCAACAUGAUUUCCCCCGUGACCUCAAGAACAAAAGUAACUACUCACAAAUGAUAAUCAUGCUCAAUAUCAGAGGGGUAUUAAAUAGCAUAUUGGAUCUGAACAUAUAAUAUUCCACCAAAUAAACCAUAUAGUAAUCAAGUAUAUGAUGUAACCAACACUACUAGUCACCCACAAGCACCAAUCUAUAGUUCUGGUAACAAGAUUGAACACAAGAGAUGAACUAGGGUUUGAGAUGAGAUGGUGAUGUUGAAGAUGUUGCUGGAGAUUGCCCUCCCCAAGAUGGAAGAGUUAUUGGUGAUGAUGAUGACGAUGAUUUCCCCCUCUAGGUGGGAAGUUCCCCCGACGGAAUCGCUCCACCGGAGGGCAAAAGUGCUCCUGCCCAAGUUCCACCUCGAGACGGUGGCGCUCCGUCCCGAAAAUCCUCUCCUUAUUUUUUCUAGGUCAAAAUGACCUAUAUACCAGAAGAUGGGCACUAGAGGUGGGCCUGGGUGAGCACAACCCACCAGGGCGCGCCCAGGUGGGUUGUGCCCACCUGGUGGGGCCCCUCUGGUACUUAUUUGCUUCAAUAUUCAUCAUAUAUUUCAUAAAAAUUCUCCAUAAAGUUUUAGCUUGUUUGGAGUUGUGCAGAAUAGGUAGCCCGACGUAGCUUUUCCAGGUCCAGAUUUCCAGCUGCCGGAAUUCUCCCUCUUUGUGUGUACCUUGCAUAUUAUGAGAGAAAUGGCAUUAGAAUUACCCCAAAAAGCAUUAUUAUGCAUAAAAACAUCAUAAAUAACAGUAGAAAAACAUGAUGCAAAAUGUACGUAUCAGUUGUCUUGCUUCUCGCAGCGGCCGCCAUUUUCGUUGUGCCGUCCUUGUGCAUGGCCUCGUUAAUAGCGAUGGCGGGCGGCUGCUGGUACACCAGCAUUGGCAGUAGUGCUGGUGCCGACCAGUGGACGUGCCCAUGGUUCCCUCUGCCAUAGUCGUUUCGUUUGCGUCCGAAGCACAUGUAUUGUAAUCUCCCUGUUAAGUGUAGUCGUUAACUCCUAAUCACCAUGCAUGUAUGCAACCAAACACCGUGUGAAAAUUACUUUCACGAUGGCAAGACCCGUAUGCAUGCAACGAAACUACUUGACAACAUCGUUUUUUGCCUCGUUUUUUCUUAGCCAAGCCCUGCUCAGCCUGACUCGUUUUUCCUCGUUCCAACUAGGCCUUGCUCAGAAAGUAAUCAAACAUGCCCUAACUUUGAUGCUUCUUUUGAUUCAAGACCAUCUAAAAGGAACCAAUGGAGUUGUUAUCCAUGACAAUAAAGAAAAGUUUUUUUAAACGGAGGCAAAAGAUUUGCCUCACCGAUUAAUUAAAGCUGAAGAUAUUUGCCUAGUUAAUUAAAAGAAAACCGAACGAAAAUUGAUACAAACAAACCACAUGCGGGCUACUCAUAGAGCAUGCAACCCAGUAAGCACAUGGUCAAUCUGACAACCAUACCCAACACGCAAUGAGCACCACCCCCCAUAUUUCCACAACACAAAGAAACCCCCAACGAGAGAACCUCGGCCGAAGACCACAUACACCGCCAAAUCCAGAAAGGUAGGCCAUGCCAUAAGGACAACCCAAAAGACUUAUGACCAUCAAUCAAGCAAUUGCAGACGUCUUUUCUGUGGCGUCACUCUUCUUGCUUUUGCUUCUAAGAGCUUUCCCACAAUCCUCUUGCUGCCAGAUCCAGGGCUACCCACCUCCAAAUGUUUGAGCAAGCUAUGAAGCUCUAUCUCGAACAGAAUCACAGAAUCGCAUCAAUCUACAAGAAAGGAAAGCUCAUUGUUGCAAAGAAGAAAAAAUGGUAUGCGCAUGAGACUUGCGCGUCGAUUCAAUAUGACAGAAAAACUUGAAACUUUACAACGGCGCACCCGAGACCUAUGAGGACCCCACUCCCCAGGCACCACAUACCAUCGGUUACAUUGCAAGUUUACUACUCCCUAAAUCCAACCGUACCACGCCCAACUAGUUUGUGCCGCAGCGCGAACUGCCACACGCUCCACUCACCCCAGAUAAGCGACGCCAGACCGUUCCUAGUCAUAGCCAUGUUGUCGAACACUCUACGAUUCCUCUCCUUUCAGAUGGAAUGCAAGACUAGGAUGGUUAGGGCGUUCACCUCCCUCCUUGCUACCUCCUGCAGCACCUCGCUCGCCACCGUCCACCAAGCCACUAUUGUAGCUUGAGUCGUCGGUGUGAAGUUUUCCCAACCUUUAACCUCUAGCACAUCAAACCAAACAUACCGGUUCUUGCAAGCAUACCGGGCAACAUGGCUGGUGCGGCAACCCUCUUGCCGCAAGACGGUCCGAAGUCCAACAUUGUUGCAAAGAAUUCAAAUAUACUUUCUUCCUUUCUAAAUACUCUCUUUGUCCGAUAAAGCUUGUCCCAUGGUCUUUUUUCAGAAAAAAAAACAAGCGAAUUCCCGACAAGCCCCUUAACUUCCUGUCGUCUCCCCCGCUCCUCUCCCGCGCCGGAGCUCCCCUGCUCGGCUCCCCCGCGCGUAGCCGAAGCUCCUCCGCCCGACGCCUCCCCCACAGCUUCCCUCUCCUUGUCCCCUCCCCCUUCCUCAUGGUGAUCCAAGGCGAGGAGAAGGCUCGAUUUUUCUUCCGACGGCGGCGGCCUUCUCUGAGUUCGAUUCUCUCCAAACCCUCGUCCUCGGCGCCAUGGCGGCGGCGGCCGUUUCCGGGUCGUCCUCCUCCUCGGUGCUUCGGUAGCAGCUCGCCCGCGGCGGCGGCAGGAGCGAGCAGCAGCAGUGGCCGCGCGAGUAUGCAGCGAAGGAGGUCACCUUUGGCGUCGGCGCGCACGCCGCCAUGCUGCGCCGGAAGCCCUGUCUCGCAUGCGUGGUCGGUGUUGCAACAGCCGCUUCUCCUUUGCCAUGGGUGAUUUUUUGCUAUGCUAGUCGUCCCCCCCCCCUUCUAUUUUCCCAUGUUUCUUCUGCUUUAGUUUCCCAUGUGUUCUUGUCAGUCUCUUAGGUGAUGUAAUGUGGGUUUGAUUUUGCUGGUGCUUGCAGAUUUCUUCAGGGGUCGGAGGCCAACCACCACAUGGCAAUAGUCUGAAGACUGCAUUUGAAAUAUGCCUUCAACAUAGUUAACUACCUUGCUAAACUUGUCAUGUUGUGUGUAGAUACUGCCCCCGUGCUUGGCAAACUUGUCAUGAGGCAUCCUUUUGUUGCCUUUCCUACUGUUGACAAGACCAGGGUGACCAUCAGGGAGCAGAAGGAGGUCACCGUCCAGCUAAUUAACUACACCAAGAGCGGUAAUUAAUUUUGCAUCAUCUAGUGACAGAUUCCUCAACUCACAUUUUAGUUCUGCUCCCUGCCCUCUAGGCCCUCCAGUUUCUUAUCAUAUCUGCUUUUGUUUGUGAUGGAUCAGGGAAGAAGUUCUGGAACUUGUUUUACCUGCAGCCUAUGUGGGUUCAGAAGGUAGCGAAAUGUUAUUGAAAUGCUGAAUUUGUUUUGGAGCUUGCAGGUACAGUUACAUGGAUAUUACUCUUCAUGAUUUAUACUCAGACAUCAAUGAUCAAUGAUUAAUGAUUUAUACUCCAGCAAUUCCAGGAAUGACUUUAGGAUAUUGCUCUAGAUUAGGAGUUUUAAAUGGAGUACUCCAUCAGAUUAGGAUACUACUCUAGAUUAGUGUAGCCACUAUCUAACAAUUUUUUUCAGAACUGAAUUUCAGAGUACUCUAAAUGAUGUGUGCCCUAGCAUUUUUGUGUUCCCUGGCAUUUCUGUAGCAUUCAGUACCAUGACAAUUUUAACAUGUUGAGAAAAUUUCAGUAACAUGAAUUUGAAAUUGAGUACUCAGUGUAAGGAUUAAAUGCACACAAUUUGGGUAUUAGCUUCCCAUUCAACAUUGCGGAAAUUUCAAAUAUGCUAAGUAUCAUUGCUAGUGGUUGGCUGACCAGAGAAGAGAAGACAGUUUAUUUGGCAUGGUUCAGACUAGUAAUUUGUGUUCAAGAAUCUUCCUGUUCUCCCAUUGUUACCAAGCAUGAUCUUGCUUGCAUUGCCGCCUUUGCUACAUGAAGCAAUAGGGUAGGUUCAGUUUCGCUGAAUUUUUGAAACUAUACAUCAUUUGCUGAAUUUUUGCUCAACAUCACUUGCUCCUUGUAAAUUAUUGCAUAUAUAAUUUUUGAAACUAUAGGUGAACCUCUUCAGCAAACAUAAAACAGUUAACUGAAACUGUCUAAAACAGUUAAGUCCACUUGAUGCUUAGCUAAUGCAGGCCAACAGAAUGAAAUGAACUACGAAUUUGUUCUCUGAAAUAGUACAUGCUUUCUCUAGACUGAGUUUCCUGCCUUUUCCAACUGAAACUCAGUCAGCCCUGGCUAAUAAUUAUCUUGCUCACUGACCCAACAACAUCUCAGACUUUGAAGACAUGAGCUGCGAAAUGAUAUAUGGUCAGGUGCCCCCACCAGUGGAAGAAGAUCCAGUGUCGAAACAACCCUGCUAUCCCAGCCUCUGUGAGUGCGCCCAAAUUUGGCAACACUUUACAAGUACUGAACCCAUCUAGCGCUGAACUUGCACUAACAUGCAUCACCUGUCACAAAUUUGUUGUGCUGCUACAAUUUUUCAGGUUCCAUAUCGACGCCCUCCGCUGCAAUAUGUCCCAAAAUUCAGAACUAGUCUUCUGCAAGCGCUCACAAGGGUUUUGAUACAAAAUUGUGCAUGGUGCCAUGGUAUCGGAUAGGCCAGAAUUUCAACAGGGACAAUAGAUAAUGCAUCGGUAAAUUUCUGAAACUUGGGGAUGCAUCACUGGGACAAUAUACAGUCACUAUAGAGAAUAAUUUCAUUACAGAGUAAAUUCACUAUACAAUGAUGCUGCCAUGAUGCUGUAAUUAACAUCAGUUCCACAUCAAUUUGGCCAUAUGACAAGGAUUUCAGGGCAGGGGCGCCGGUACCUUUCACGAGUAGCAGAGCCGGAGUCGUCUGGACGAAGAAGUAGAAGAUCGGGGGCUGCCUGUACGAAGAUCGGGAGCUGCACCACCACUAACAGAAGCAGCAGAGUCAGAGGAAGACGGCAACAGCAGAAGAGGACGGAGUGGCGGAAUACAGCGCGCCGUCAGCCGUGGAGCCGCCGCCCGUCGAGGUGCGCGCAGGUAAGCAGGGGCGGCGCAAAUUGGCAGCCGCGGCUCAGGUGGGCCUUCGUCGCCGGCUGAACACCACGGUGGCUGGGGCGUGCGGUGCAGCGGCGAGGGAGGUGGAAGAAGCAGACGGUUGCUUCGAGUUGGAUUAGGAGCCGGGAAAGGAAAGAGUUGCAGUGUUGCCCGGCGAGGGUCUCAAACUCUCAAUUCAUGCUUAAUUAAGCUUUGGCGCGAAGCUUCAAAUGCACGCAAGCAAAUCCGAUUUUCUCACGGAUCACAUCACAUACGCAUCCACGGUUUGGAAUCGGCCUGAGCUCAUCAAUAAAAGGGAAGGCAGCCAACCUGCUGCCUUUGCCCUCGCCUCGCUCUGACUUCUCUUCUCGCACUUCCGAUCUUCCCCAUCGUCUCCUUCACCAAUCACCAGCCCUUACCCAGCGAAGCGACCGGCGUCCCCUGUUCCCUUCCCAUGGAGAUUGCCUACCCCUACGGCGGGGAGCUCACCAGGAAGCACGGCUCCGUGACAGGCCAGCCGUUUGCCGCCAAGAUCGACAUCAUGUCCGGCCAGAAGCGCGCGAGGGAGAUGCAGAUCCUUCGGCAGCGGUUCCAAGCAGAGCUCGUCGCCGUCCGUGGCCUCCUCCACAAGGCGGCCGCCGUGCUAAUUCCCGCCUCGUCCCCGUUGGCUCCCCGCGUUAAGGAGAGUCGUCCAGGGUUCUUGGCCGAGGAGCCGCCGGCCAAGAAGAGGAAGGCGUCUCCUCCCGUUCCUGUGAUCAAUCGCAAGAAGGCGCCAACGAAGAAGAAGAUGACGGCCUCUGAGAGGGAGAUGCUCGCGGAAGACCUGGAGCUGUUCGUUGCGGAAAUCCCCGAUCACAUCGUCCAGCUCUUGCAGAAGCACAGCUGCGCCACCCGCCCCGGCGAAAUCGAGAUGGACCUCCACGCGUUGGACGACGCUGCUGCUGUCGAGUUACAGGAGCAGGUUGACAAGUUCGCUCGAGAGAGGAGGUCGGCGAAUCCGUCGCCCCAAGAACGCCACCAAGACGGCCCUGAGGCGAUGAACGAAGAGGAGGACGAAGAAGUUGACAUCUGUGGCGGCGUCUCCCCCUUGGUGAUCGUGCCGCAACCUCUGCUGCAAGAACGCCACCAAGACGGCCCUGAGGUGAUGGCCGAAGAGGAAGAGGAGGAAGAAGUUGACAUCUGCGGUGGCGUCUCCCCAUUACCGAUCGUGCCGGCACCUCUGCUGCUCGUCGAAGAUGAAACAGCCAGCGGCAGCCCAAGCUCCAGCAGCAGCAGCAGCAGUUCAGAUACUGAUUCCAGCGACAGCGAUUCAGACACUGAUUCCGGCAGCAGCGACUCGGGUUCAGAGCACUCCGGCGGCAGUGACUCAGAUUCUGAUUCUGACGAGAUCGUCGACAGUCCAGCACCGGCCAUCACGCCUCCAACAUGUGAGCAGCUCGCCCGUGCUCUGGAAAGGCAGCGAAAGGAGGCCACGUCCCGGGCGAGGGAGAAGGCCCGUCAGGAGCUGCUCCACAUGGAGAAGACGGCAAUGCCCGACGAUACCCUACACCGAGAGGAUCUGAAGAGGCUCGGCAUUGAUGAGUACAACACGGCGAAGCCCAGCAACUUGUUGCGGCAGAUUGGGCUCUACCUCAAGGUUGACGAAGACUGGAAGCAGCAACGCCGUCAAAGCUUCCACGAGGAUUUAGAGGAAGGCGAGAUUCGGUCGUGAUCGUCGUUGCUAGCAAGGUCCUAUAACAAGUGAUGCUGUUGCUGAUGGCUUGAUGCCUCACACAAAACUUGUAGCUCUCUUUUGUAGAUUGUAUGUGUGCUGAACAUGAUUGGAUAUACGAAAGUACAUGAUCAAUUACACUGAGUAUCAAUUAAAUUAGUGAUAUCUUCUUUGUACACAUGUUUAACAGAUAUGUCCAUUUCUAAUAUCAAUCAUAUUGAAUAUUUAACAUGAACCGCAAGCAUAUAUAAUAAUGACAUAUAAGGACCAAUAAAUUUAGAAAAAAAUUGAGAAUAGGACCACGAAAUUUCAAUCAAGCCACAUAUAUAAAAGAGAGUUUUUAUAACUCGGAGGCUCAGUAUUUCUGAAAAGACAUCUUCACAUACAUAUGGAGAUUAAUAUCACGAUGUAUGAUUGAUGCCUCAAGACCCUGAAUGAUAGCAUCACCUUAUACGUUCAAUAUACAAAAAAGAUACAUAUCAAGGAGGUUUGUUCCUUGUUUCAAAAAAAAGGAGGCUUGUUCCAGUGGCACCGAGAUUCGAGCCUUUUCAGUUUUCGUUUUGUGCCUGAAUUUCCUACUAAUGGAUAUGCUAACUAGCUCCUCCUUGACAUUCUCAUUCUUUAUACAACCCGCUUGCACCAUUCUCAUUCCCAACUGCGAACUAUACAGUUCUUCAGUUAAGCAUCCAACAACCUUCAGCUUA
Molecule: long non-coding RNA, 157453 nt
Filed under: Triticum aestivum (bread wheat)
Lineage: Eukaryota; Viridiplantae; Streptophyta; Magnoliopsida; Poales; Poaceae
Description: long non-coding RNA (TAES_LNC007261)
Source: RNAcentral